This 96904-nucleotide long non-coding RNA is filed under the name Solanum melongena (eggplant). Its description in RNAcentral is "long non-coding RNA (SMEL_LNC000183)". The stretch from base 47529 to 47656 matches the Rfam family "Eukaryotic small subunit ribosomal RNA", at positions 985 to 1112 of the family's 1831-position model. The record is from RNAcentral. Lineage: Eukaryota; Viridiplantae; Streptophyta; Magnoliopsida; Solanales; Solanaceae.
UUAAUCAAGCCUUCUUCUAUACCAAGGCAUCAUCAUUAAUAAUGUAUAUUAAAGUUUCUUUUCAAGAUUUGGGAUUCAAUAUUUUCAUCAUGCUUAUCUUAUCACAAUCACAUAAUCAUAUUCAUGCAAACAUACCAUUAAGCAUAUAGUAGGGUUUACAAUACUACCAAUACAUAUCAUUCACUAUUAAGAGUUUACUUAUGACGCAUGAAAACCAUAACCUACCUCCACCGAAGAGUUGAAUCAAGCAAGAAUUUUCCCAAAGCUUUGUUUCUCCCUUCUCGUUCGAUUCUCUCUCUCUCUCUUGUUCUUUCUAUUUUCUUUAUUCAAACCCUCUUUCUUUUACCCUAAUUAGUAUAUAAUUAAGAAUAAAAGAUGGCAAUAAUACCCCACUAAUUAACUUAGGGUUACCUCUUUUAACCCCUCAAGAAUUUUAGUUAUUAAUAUAACCCCACGAAAUCUACAAUUAAGGAAAGAAUAGUCCAAAAACGUCCCUUAAAACUUCACUAGAAAUCCGACUUUGCCUGGGAUUUGCGCAACUUAUGACGGGCCGUCGUGCCUGAGAUGGUCCAUCCUGCAGGUCGUCGCAAAGUUCAGAGAAUGGAUUUUCACUGAAGUCUCCGUGACGGUCCGUCACGCUUGUGACGGUCCGUCCUGCCAUUCCGUCACUAAGUUCAGAGAGUCGAUUUUCAGUACCCAAUUUCAGAUUUUUUAAGUGUUUUGAAACGAGACCCUGCGACGGUCCGUCGUGCCCAAGACGGAUCGUCGUUUGGUCCAUCGCCUCAGCCUGUUUUUCCAGAAUUGAAGUUUGUUGCUCAAAACGACUAAAUAGGUCGUUACAAUAGAUACCAAUUUACCCAUCGUUCGUCCCCGAACGAUCAAAAGAAGGAAAAGAAGGGCGAAAAGGAGUACCUGAAUCUGUAAACAGAUGUGGGUAUUUUUGUCGCAUAUCCGCCUCCUUCUCCCAAGUGGCUUCUUCAACGGGUCGAUUCUUCCAUUGCACCUUGAUGGAUGCAAUCUUUCUUUACCUCAACUUGCGAACUUCUCUAUCUAAAAUAGCAACAGACUCCUCCUCAUAAGACAAGUUCUCAUCAAGCAAAACUGAAUCCCAACGGAUGAUGUAGUUUCCAUCCCCAUGGUAUCUUUUCAACAUCGACACAUGGAAUACCGGAUGCACUCCGGACAGCCCUGGAGGCAAGGCUAACUCAUAAGCCACCUCUCCUACUCGCUUAUGUACUUCAAAUGGUCCAAUGUACCUUGGACUUAGUUUACCCCUUUUACCAAACCGCAUCACCCCUUUCAUUGGUGAAACUUUCAACAAGACUUGUUCACCCUCCAUGAACUCUAAGUCUCUAACCUUUCGAUCUGCAUAUUCUUUUUGUCUACUUUGCGCCGCUAGAAGCUUUUCUUGAAUAGACUUCACUUUCUCAAUCGAAUCCCUCAAAAGGUCAGUACCCCAAGGCCUAACCUCAAAUGCAUCAAACCAACCAAUGGGAGACCUAGAUCUCCUACCAUACGAUGCUUCAAAUGGAUCCAUAUCAAUGCUUGAGUGAUAGCUAUUAUUGUAUGAAAACUUUGCUAAGGGUAAGAAGCUAUCCCAAUGGCCACCAAACUCUAUCACACAUGCACGAAGCAUAUCUUCCAACACUUGAAUCGUUCUCUCAGACUGACCAUCGGUCUGAGGAUGGAACGCAGUACUAAGGUCCAACCUAGUACCCGAUUCCGCAUGCAAUGUUUUCCAAAACAUAGAAGUAAACUACGUACCUCUAUAUGAUAUGAUGGAUAGUGGAACCCCAUGCAAUCGCACCACUUCCGAGAUGUAAAGUUUGGCUAACUUCUCUGCAUUGUAAGUCACCUUGACCGGAAUGAAGUGAGCAGACUUACUUAACCUAUCAACAAUUACCCAAAUAGAAUCAAACUUUCCCAAUGUCUUGGGAAGACCAACCACAAAGUCCAUUGCAAUUCUUUCCCACUUCCAUUCCGGAAUGGGCAUUCUUUGAAGGGUUCCUCCGGGCCUCUGGUGUUCAUACUUUACUUGUUGACAGUUUGGACAUCUGGCAAUAAAAUCAACAAUAUCACGCUUCAUUCAACUCCACCAAAAGUGUUGCUUUAGGUCACCGUACAUCUUGGUUGCACCCGGAUGUAUCGAAUACUUUGAACUAUGGGCCUCUGUCAGAAUAGUGUUGAUCAAAUCAUCGACGCGGGGUACGCAUACCCUUCCCUUGAUCCUCAAAACACCUUCCUCAUCGAUUUGUGCUUCCUUAGCCUCUCCUCUCAAUACCUUAUCUUGAAUUCUGCGCAGUUUCUUAUCAUCAUACUGUCUUCCCUUAAUCUUGUCAAGAAAGGAAGAUCUUCCCUCCACAGAAGCCAACAAUCCUCCCCUCUCAUUUACUUCUAAUCUCAUCAAGUCAUUAGCUAGAGUUUGAACCUCUCUAGACAAUGGGUGUCUAGAAGCUUGCAAGUGAGCUAGACUUCCCAUGCUUCCCGCCUUUCUACUUAAAGCAUCCGCUACAACAUUCGCCUUCCCCGGAUGAUACAAAAUAGUGAUGUCGUAGUCCUUUAGUAGUUCCAUCCAUCUCCUCUGUCUUAAGUUCAAAUCUUUCUGAGUAAAGACAUACUGAAGGCUACGAUGAUCCGUGUAGACCUCACACUUAACCCCAUAUAAAUAGUGUCUCCAUUGCUUUAAUGCAACCACUACCGCAGCCAAUUCCAAAUCAUGAGUUGGAUAGUUACGUUCAUGAACUUUUAAUUGUCUUGAAGCAUAAGCAAUAACACUCUUCUCUUGCAUUAGUACUGCACCCAACCCAGAAUAGGAUGCAUCACAAUAAACAAUGAAGUUCUUACCCUCUAUUGGCAAGGUAAGGAUAGGUGCGGUAGUCAACAAAGUCUUGAGCUUCUGAAAGCUUUCCUCACAUUCGUCCGACCAUACAAAUGGAACAUUCUGCUUAGUCAUGUUCGUCAAAUGGGAAGCAAUAGAAGAGAAUCCCUUGACAAAUCGGCGGUAGUAGCUAGCUAACCCAACAAAGCUCCUUAUUUCUGACACAUUAGUAGGUCUUACCCAAUUCUUCACUGUCUCAAUCUUAGAAGGAUCCACCAUCACUCCAUCCUUAGAAACCACGUGCCCCAAGAAGGACACUGCAUCUAGCAAAAACUCACACUUAGAGAACUUGGCAUAAAGCUUUUUCUCCCUCAACAUUUCCAAUACCAUUCUCAAAUGCUCUUCAUGUUCCUUCUUGCUCUUUGAGUAUACAAAUAUAUCAUCAAUAAAUACGAUCACGAAGAGGUCCAAAUAUGGCUUAAAAAUCCCGUUCAUCAAGCUCAUGAACGCAGCAGGGGCAUUAGUAUGACCAAAGGACAUCACUACAAAUUCGUAAUGCCCAUACCUCGUUCGAAAAGCAGUCUUUGGCACAUCCGUUGCCCGUAUUUUCAAUUGAUGAUAACCGGAUCUCAAGUCAAUCUUAGAGAAGACACAAGCACCUUGUAACUGAUCGAACAAGUCAUCAAUGCGAGGAAGAGGGUACUUGUUCUUUAUGGUUACCUUAUUGAGUUGUCUGUAGUCUAUGCACAUUCGAAAACUGCCAUCCUUUUUCUUUACAAACAAAACCGGAGCACCCCAAGGAGAUGCACUUGGUCUAAUGAAGCCUUUGUUCAAUAACUCUUGAAGUUGUGCUUUUAAAUCUCUUAACUCCGCGGGAGCCAUUAUAUAAGGGGGUAUAGAAAUGGGGCGAGUACCGGGUUCAAGAUCAAUAUAGAAGUCAAUAUCCCUAUCCGGUGGCAUACCAGGAAGAUCUGCAGGGAACACAUCCAGAAACUCACGAACUACUGAAACCGACUCAAUCGAAGGUACUUGGGUAGUGUCAUCCUUGAGAUGUGCCAAGAAAGCUAAACACCCUUUACUAAUCAUUUUCUUAGAACGAAGAAAGGAGACGAUGCGGACAGGAUUGGAAGUGUAGUCACCCUCCCACACUAACGGGUCUGUCCCAGGCUUGGCUAACGUCACCGUUUUAGCAUUACAAUCCAAGAUUGCAAAUUGCGGAGAAAGCCAAGUCAUACCCAGAAUCACAUCAAAAUCAUCCAUUUCUAAGAUAACCAAAUCUACAUAGGUGUUGCUCCCCACAAAGUUUACCAAACAAGACCUAUACACCUUUUGAACUACCACAGACUCACCCACCGGAGUAGAAACACGAAUAGGCAUAUCAAGUAAUUCACAAUGUAAAUUUAGACCAUUAGCAAAUGAGGAAGAUACAUAAGAAAACGUGGAUGCAGGAUCAAACAAUACAGAAGCUAUCCAAUCACAAACCAGAAGAUUACCUGUGAUGACAGCAUCAGAUGCCUACGUUUCAGACCGCGAAGGGAAAGCGUAACAAUGGGCCUUAUCGUUCGUCUGUCCGUUGUCCCUACCAUGUUGUGAUGUAGUGGCCCCAGUUUGCCCAUUACCUCUGCCGUUUUGGUGACCACCAUUACCUCGACCACCACUUUCUCCAGAAUAACGGCCUCUACCAUGACCACCUCUACCUCUAGCUAUUGGGGGUCUAUAACUUUGUCUGGGACAAUUUUUCCUAAUAUGUCCAAUCUCCCCACAUCCAUAACAUUCUCUGGAGUGAAUCAUAGGCCCCUCGGAGAAGUGUUGACCGGUCUGAGGUGGUCCCCCAACUACAGUCUGUAGUGAAGACUGAAUUGGUCGGACUAAGUAACUUCCCGAACCCUGUCCUCUAGUGUAAGAACCAUUAAACUCACCUCCCUUUCGAAGCCUUUUUGAUGUCGAUGUUGUGGUGAAGUCGUCUGGCUUCACUCCUUCCACUUCUAUUACAAAGUCUACCACUUCUUGGAAGGAUUUUGUCGUUGCCGCUAUCUGUAAGGCCAAAAUCCGCAAUUCUGACCUCAACCCCUUCACAAACCGGCGAAUCCGCUCUUGAGGACUGAAACAGAGUUGAGUGGCAUAUCUGGAUAGUGCACGGAACUUAGCCUCAUAAGCAUUAACCGACAUCCUACCUUGCUCUAGGCUCAGGAACUCAUCCCUUUUCCUAUCCCUCAAAGUUCGGGGGAUAUACUUCUCCAUAAACAAGCUAGAGAACGAGGCCCAAGUCAUAGGUGGUGCCUCUAUUGGUUGACACUCAAUAUGUGACCACCACCACAUUUUGGCGUUCCCUUGAAACUGAUAAGUCACAAACUACACACCAAACCGUUCUACUAUACCCAUCUUGUGUAGUAGCUCGUGACAGUCAACCAGAAAAUCAUAAGCAUCCUCCGAUUCAGCACCCUUGAAGACUGGAGGUUUGAAUUUCAAGAACAUACUGAAAAGUUCAUGCUGAUCACUUGUCAUUAUAGGCCCAGUAGUCAGACGUGGAAACGUGCCUAUUUCCAAUGGAACAUCUAUGCGGGGAGCCAUAGUAGCCGCAUGUUGUACCUCCGGAGCCUGAAGUGCUGGUGUAGAAAACACUGGGGGUGUCUGGCCCUGAUCAGAUAACCCGCUAAGAUAAGCCAGAACCUGAUUGAUCAUCUCUGGGGUAGGUUGGGGUGGCAUUUCCUCAUUUUGCACUUGUUCAUUUUCCCCGUCCUCCCCUUCUCUUAUUACUUCUUCAGUCGGUGGAGGAGUCACUGCUCUAGUAUCAGAUGGGCUAGGUGCUCGUCCUCUUCCCCUAGAGGACGUCCUCCCACGACCUCUACCACGACCCCUUGCCGUUGUUCUUCCUCGAGCCACAGCCCCAGUGGCUGGCUCAGUUGUUUCUUGUCUUGCCGGUGUUGGUGUUGACGUAGUCAUUGCUCUAGUUCUAACCAUCUGCGAAAGAGAGUGAAGAUAGUCAGAUACCAAUUCGUAUCGCCUAGAUACCAAUUGGACUCAAGUAGUAGCACGAAAGAAAGAAUGAAAGAGUGAAAUUUUCCUAAACUCUUAUAGCCUCUCAAGGAAAAGUAAAGGAGUCCCCCUACCGUUCCUUAAGAAUCUACUGGACCUGUUCUUGUGUGAUGAGACCGACGAACCUAAUGCUCUGAUACCAAGUUUGUCACGACCCAAAUCGGAUCGCGACUGGCACCCACACUUACACUCCUAUGUGAGCAAACCAACCAAUCUAAACCUUAACAUUUCAAUGUAAUAACAACAGAAAGUAAUGCGGAAGACUUAAACUCAUAAGUAAAAAUAAAUAAUCAACUUCUAUAACUCAAAAACUUAUCAUUAUCCCCAGAAUCUGGAAGUCAUCAUCACAAGAACAUCUACUUUAAACUACUAAUUCUAAGAGUUUCUAAGAAGCUAAAAAUACAUAAGAAGCUAGUCCAUGCCGGAAGUUCAAGGCAUCAAGACAUGAAGGAGAAGAUCCAGUCCAAGCUAGAAGCGUUAGCUCACCCUGAAGAUCCGGUGUGACGAAGACUGGCUUGAGUUACUGUUGAGUCGAAGAUGACGGCACGUUUGCUGCACUCCACAAAUAACAAGAAGAAAAACAUAAAAGUAGGGGUCAGUACAAAACACGGGUACUGAGUAGAUAUCAUCGGCCAACUCAAAAUAGGGAACAGUAUAUAUCAAUAUUAUCGUAAAUCAACUAUAAAACUCAACAUGUAGCAACAACAAGUAUUAUAAUCAUCAAUAAGUACCAUCAAGUUCAUCCAUGAGGGCUCAAGCCUCAAUGCCAUACUCAUUUGGGAAUUAAGUUUAUUAAGUUGAGUAUAUUAUAAUCUUUCAAGAUUCAUUAUCUUUCCUCUUCUUGUGUCGGUACGUGACACUCCGAUCCCCUACUACUAUGUGUCGGUACGUGACACUCCGAUCCCCUAAUUCUAUGUGUCGGAACGUGACACUCCGAUCCCCUACAUGUGUCAGAAAGUUACACUCCGAUCCCCUACAUGUGUCGGUACGUGACACUCCGAUCCCCUACUACUAUGUGUCGGUACGUGACACUCCGAUCCCCUAAUUCUAUGUGUCGGAACGUGACACUCCGAUCCCCUACAUGUGUCGAAACGUGACACUUCGAUCCCCUACAUGUGUCGGAACGUGACACUCCGAUCCACUAAUACUAUGUGUCGGAACGUGAUAGUCCGAUCCACUAAUACUAUUCUGUAAAUCAUCAAGCCUUCUCUAUUCCAACGCAUCAUCGAUCCCAUUACUUUAAUUCAUCAAGCCUUCUUCUAUACCAAGGCAUCAUCAUUAAUAAUGUAUAUUAAAGUUUCUUUUCAAGAUUUGGGAUUCAAUAUUUUCAUCAUGCUUAUCUUAUCAGAAUCACAUAAUCAUAUUCAUGCAAACAUACCAUUAAGCAUAUAGUAGGGUUUACAAUACUACCAAUACAUAUCAUUCACUAUUAAGAGUUUACUUAUGAAGCAUGAAAACCAUAACCUACCUCCACUGAAGAGUUGAAUCAAGCAAGAAUUUUCCCAAAGCAUUGUUUCUCCCUUCUCGUUCGAUUCUCUCUCUCUCUCAUGUUCUUUCUAUUUUCUUUAUUCAAACCCUCUUUCUUUUACCCUAAUUAGUAUAUAAUUAAGAAUAAAAGAUGGCAAUAAUACCCCACUAAUUAACUUAGGGUUACCUCUUUUAACCCCUCAAGAAUUUUAGUUAUUAAUAUAACCCCACGAAAUCUAUAAUUAAGGAAAGAAUAGUCCAAACACGUCCCUUAAAACUUCACCAGAAAUCCGACUCUGCCUGGGAUUUGCGCAACUUGUGACGGGCCGUCGUGCCUGCGACGGUCCAUCCUGCAGGUCGUCGCAAAGUUCAGAGAAUGGAUUUUCACUGAAGUCUCCGUGACGGUCCGUCACGCCUGUGACGGUCCGUCCUGCCAUUCCGUCACGAAGUUUAGAGAGUCGAUUUUCAGUACAAAUUUCAGAUUUUCUAAGUGUUUUGAAACGAGACCCUGCGACGGUCCGUCGUGCCCAUGACGGAUCGUCGUUUGGUCCAUCGCCUUAGCCUGUUUUUCCAGAAUUGAAGUUUGUUGCUCAAAACGACUAAACAGGUCGUUACAGUUAAGGAACAGAAUCCUCAAAAAAAUUGGGAAGAGUUACGAAAGGUAGAAAUUACCGAGUUUUGGGAUGAAAUCCUAAAGAAAUUUGGAAAGAGAAACAGAAGGGAGAAAGAACAAUGAAAAGCUUAAAAAACAUGAAGAACACAGAAGAACAAAGAGCAGUAAAAAACGUAAAUUGUAAAUUCAAAUCAUAAACUCAAUAAUUAAUAUACGUAGAGAAAAUUUAUACUUAUAAAAUUUUAUUAAUUUAGGUAUAGAGAAUAUGGAUUAUGGGAAAUUGAAAAGAUGGGAAAUAUGGAAAAUUGGGAGAGAAUGGUAGAGAGGUGUCAAAGUCGUAUGAUUUUGAAUGCCUCCUACUUAUUGAAGUUGAAAGCCUUAAAUAGGCCUUAAAAGUGCCGACUCCUAACUUAUUAUGCUACCUAUUUUACAUGUGUGCAUACACUAAUACACAUUUUUAUCUUACACAUUAUUAUUACUUAUUACAAAUAACUUAUGGUAAUUGUACAUGGCUUGAUAGAUGCCACGUAGCUGGAACUAGUAACACGUAGCCUUCACCCAUGUUUAUCUUCUUUUGCUGAAAAUUUGUCUUCAAAAUAUAUACCUUGUUAUUUGGUCCUUUUUUCACUUUGUAGCUUUUGGCUUUAUUCCUGCACGGUAUACCUUUUUGCUUGUUUGUUGACAUAAUAAAUAUUAACAUAUGCUUGGCCCUUUCUUGUCUUUAUUGAAGAUGAUACAUAUCCUCAUUGCUAUUUUCUACUGGUAUGUGAGGAUUCAACGCCUAAUAAUUCCAUUAUCUUUUCAUGAUUGGUAUUUUUGCCAUUAUUUAAUAAGGCUUCUUCCAUCCUUCUAUUAAAUUCUUCUUUUGAAACAUCAUAUUUCCUUCAUGAUGAAAAGCCAAUAACUAAUUUUUCAUCAUGAUCUUUCGAAUUGCAUCAUUUAAUCUUGAUAGUCUUGCUACUUGAUUCUUUCAAUUUCAUGAAUAUCAAAAGGACCAACUAAUAUUAUAAAAUUUUCUUGUUGGAAAUAAAUAACUUAUACUAUUUAAUAUGUUUUGGGAGUUUAGAGAUAUUUUGGCCUGCGUGGAACUUCUCAAACUGCAUUCCAAAUUGUGGUGAUAAUACAUGUUUUAUUGCCUCCGAACUAGCUCCACCAUUUGUAAAACCGCCGAGGGAUCUUUUAAAUAUUUAUCAAAGCAUUUAUGGGUAUUUUUCCAGAGAUAAAUAAAAUUAUAGCAAGCCGCCUUGUAAUGAUACCAAUUAUACAUCUGGGAAUGAUAAGAUGUUGAUAGUGGAAUGGGUUUAUGUAGAUGAUCUACAAACCACUCAAAAGGACUUAAUUUUAUUUUAAUUGUAAAUCUUGAAAAUUCAAUACUAUAUGGAUCAUUCUUGUAAGCUAAUGUAUGCUCAAUCAUGACUGAGUCAGUAUCUUUUAAUAUAGACUAAUAAUACCUUCGUAUUUUUAGUGGAUUCUCAGUUUCAACGUAAUUCUGAUUAGUGUCACACGCCGAGAGCACACCCUAUAAGAUAUGGCUCUCUUAGAGUGCAACGUCGCAUAUUUGACUUCUCGGAGGUAUUGGACACACCCUUUAAAAUCAUUCAUUGCAUACAUGUAUAAAAGUAGUACAAAAUUAAAAAAUUUCACAUAAAUUAUCUGAAAACAUCUUUCAUAUUAAAAUCAUUGGAAAAUACUAAGUCUCAAUAUAUGUUAAUCUUAGACUCAAAAUAAUUGGGACACGACUCAUACAAUACGAAUAUAAAAAUACUUAGUCUAUUGCAAUAUUUUGAAAUAAAAGAAGUCUAAAGAUAGUUAUGUCCUCGAGCCAAGUGAGGACAUACUUCAACUUGCUUGAAAAAAUACUAGUUUCCAAGUUUUGCUUCAAGACGCUUAUCACCUUCCUCCUACACAUUUAGAUAUAAUAAAAUGGAAUUAGUGUAUAUACGUGAACUAAAUAUAGCUUAAUGCAUAAAGCAUGAGAAACAGACAUUUAUAACAAACAUGCUCUUUUUUAUUAAAAAAUCAUAUUAAAAGCAUCAACAUGACAUUUAAGCACCAAACAUCACAUUUAGAACAAAAUACAAGUCGAAGGCAAUUUAUAUCAAUUUAAAUGAACCUUAAAAUGAUCUUACAUUGAACUUCACUGUAACAUUUCAUAAACUAACAUAUUUCAAUAUAGCAUAAAUAACACCCACAAAACACACAAACAUGAGAUCCUCAUAUCAAAGGUGAUUCUAAGACUUUCUGGAGUGCGUUAUGAACCGACCGCCCAUACAAUCCCUUCACACAUACCUAAGAGAUAAUUUAGACUGCCUUAUAAAAGAUCAUUCUCACUUCACAGGAGAGUAUGCAUAUAAUAUUACAUUCCCCUCUCAAAGGUUAUCAAAAGACUUACAUAAGUAAUUCAUGAAGAUAAUUUUCAUACCCUUUCUCCGUGAGUCCAAAAUAAUCCUUAAAAAUACCUAAGUUUAGAUCCUAUCUAUUCUAUGAAUUUACUUUCCUAUCUAAAGGCCUUCUUAUGAAUUCCCAAGAGAAAACAUGAAGUGACCUUUCCUAUGCCCCCUUCAAACCUAAACUAAGCAACCUUUAAACUACUCUAGUUAAGUGAUUAGUCAUUAACAUACUUUUCAACUUAAGUCAUAUCUUUACUAGUUCAUUAAAAUACAUUUAAAACAUGAGGACAUUCAAGUAAUUGUCUUAGAGAAGACCAAGGGACUAACUCAAUAACAUCUUCAAAGCCUAAUCGCGUAAUGUCUAGAUAGAGUCCUAUACCAUUACCUAAACUUCAUAGAAGUUCUACAAUACUAGUAUGCAUUCCAUAUGAUGAGAACAGGAAAUAAUUGAUAUAGACCAUACUAGCUACGCAUGAAAUUCGGAGCCAUGAACCUACUCCGUUAGAGGUUUGUUCUACAGGCUAAUGGUCAAAAUAGGACACGUCCCAUAUAGGUACAUAGUUAAGGAAUAUGAAAGGUUUCCUUGUACUCUAGCCUCAUGCUUAUCUAGAGAUACUUCCCAAACCAUAAUACUCGGUCCUAGAAUUUGUUCUCCUAGAGUAUUUCAAUGAAGGAGUACAUGAAAAGGUUCCACAUCUAGUUCACAGCCUAAUCACAUUACACUUAACCAAGGAGCGUCUACCAAGAAUACCUAGAAUAGAUAAGAGGAUAGCUCAAUAACUUUCCUAAGAAUGAUUUCAUUUCGUUCAAUCUAAUCAAUCCUAAGUCCACUAUUCACAUAAGAAGGAUACCAUUACGACUUUGAACUUGAAGCAUAUCAUAACAUUCAUACUAGGUUUUAGGUUCCACAUAAAGGACUUUCUUUACAAUAUUGAAGGUCACAUGUCAAUCACAUAUAUAAGGCUAAGGAUCAAGAACUCAUAUUCACAUUCUACACGUAUCAAGUAAUGCACACAAGUCUACCAAACAAGACACACACAUACUUCACAUAUAGCAUAUCACUCUAAAGCACAUAGGUAUAAUCAAGAUAAUCUAUAGGUAACCUUAUUCCCUACUAUAAUAUCAUCAAUCGAAUUAUCACAAAUAUCAUAUAAUCUAUCAAGACACAUCAUACUUUACAUCAAGUAUUCCACAUAAUGGCUACACGAUAGUCCAGUAGAGACACACAUUUUCAAUUUGAAGAACUCCUUCUUUGACUCCACAUAAACACAUAAGUCAUCAUGAUAUUAAUAAUAUCCACAUAAUAAUGUAAUGAUAAAUCAAUAAUUUUUGAAGAAAUGCCAACGAGGACACAUCAUUCACAAUUCAUGAAUUAAUGUCGAUAAGUGCACAUUGGUUACAAGCAUAGCACAUAAGAAUCACCACAAUAAGUGGACCAUACCAACAUCAUUAUCAACUAAGACCCAUAAUACACAAUAUAGACAAAGUGAGGUCAACAUACUGUUGAUCCAACCUCACAACUUCAAUUCAUAGUCAAUUCAUCCAACAAAAUAUACCAAGAUCCUUACUAAUGGUCGUGCUCAUCCAUUACACCCAAUAAUAACAAUACAUAAUAAAUAAAGGACAAUAAAACAUGAAUUUAUAAAAUUAAGGCAGCCAACUAAUAAUUCUAGGAUGACUCAUUCCUUAUUCAAUAACCCUAAUCAAACUACAUAAUAAGUCAAUAGCGUUAAGACAUAACCAAUUCACCCACAAAGUAGUCAAAUCUAGGGUUACAUGAAUUUCAUGGGUUCAUAGAGCUUUUAGGUUAAAAUCACCUAAUUCAUAACUAUUCAAUCAAUAUACAAUGAUUCAAAUAAUUUUAUGCAAGAACCCAUGAAAGAUUGCAAAAUAGGACAAGUUCAGCUUUGUAAGACUUUAGAAAUUACUUUGAGGUUUGGCUCUUUGAAGAAAAGAUUUUCAUGUAUUAAGGUUUUACAUUAGUUGAUGCUAGAGAACGAAUUUGAUGAAGAAUAACCAAAUAAAUCUUCAAUCGAAACUCAAUUAUGAGUUUUGGCUCCAACGGAGUUUUAGAGAAUAUUCAUCGAGAAUUUGGAAUUGAUUUAGAAUAAUGAAUUCAUCUUUGUGUUUUAGACUAAUAAACUUAUUAUAUUACCCUAAAUAGACUUAGGAAAGCACACAUUUAUUUAUUUUGACAUGAGGUUAAUUUACCAAUUCACCCCUACACUUAUCAGUUACUAACGAACAAUUGCAGGCCACCAUCGAUGGGGCAUAUAUCCCUUGAUGGGUUAUCCUGUGUAACCGUCAAUGGGAUCAAAGACAUGGCUUUGGGAGCUUGAGAUCUCUAGGCUAUGUAGUGACCCACGCCUCCCAACUACGGGGCGUAGGUUGUACUUAGUAGGUUAGACUGUGUUUGGCAGUUUUGCAUCAAAUGAUAAGUCCUUCAUCAAGGACCCUUGGUUGGUCCUUGGGGAAUUUUUACUAAACAUUUACAACCCGAAUAUAUUUGUAUACAAGUUUAGGACAUCUAACAUCAAUUUCAUCCAAAACAAACAAGUAAUACUUUACGAAACACACUAAUAUACAAAAUUUCAUUUCAAGGCAAACCUUUCGAAUGUCAUAGACGUUCUUGGACGUUUGACCUCCAAACUUCAUGAAACUUUAAACACUGCCUUCUAACCUCAUUAUACACAAUUAAGGACUUCGAAACAUUAAUACAAAAGAGUUAAACUCUUAUAUCUAAGUAAUUUUAGAGGUGUUACAGUUAGUGUACAUGGUUUUAGGAGGUCGGGUACUCCAAAAGCAUUCAUAUUCUUUGUCAAGCGCCAUCAUUGGCAGUACCUAAAAAAGUGUAGUGGGAAAAUCCUUUUUAUCUUACUCAAUAACAUUUUCUUUAUUUUUUGUUGGGGUAGUUGGAACUACCGCCUAUCUGUCUCUUUUUGGUUGUUUGAUUUCAUAACUAUCUUUUGUUUGGACAAAAAUAGUUGUUGAUGAGGGUUGAUUUGAUGAUGAGGAGUUGGGUUUAGGUAGAUUUGAAAAUUCCUCCAGAGCUGAGUAGUGAUUUUCUCAUUAUUUAUCGCCCUCUUUGAAGGGUUAUUUUCAUAUUAUCUUCUGGUUUGAAGGGCUAUAGUUGGAGCCUCGGAGGCCUUCUCCUGGUACUCCUCGUCUAAUUAUUUCCUUUAAAAAUUUAUCUUUUCAAAAAAUCGAGCAGAGAAUUAGUUUCUCCUUUUAUAAAUCCUAUUUCAAAAUCAAAGCUAGAUAAUAAAUCUUGUCAUCUGGAAUUUCUUUUUUUUAGAAAUAGAUUUUUAACAUCUUUUUUCAGAACAUCUUUGGCUGCUUUGCAAUCGACUCUUAAUAAAUGUUAUUUUUUCAAUAAAUCAUCGUGAGAUUUUGUAGUACAUAGUACUAUAGAAAAAAUUUCCUUUUUAAUAGUACUAUAAUUUGUUAAGUAUCAUUCCAAACUCUUGAAUUAAAUCUUACUAAUUUUACAGUGGAUCCUACGGUAAUUUUUUGUUUAAGUAAACCUCCAUACGCUAUAUCUGAGUCAUUUGUUUCUACUAUCAUAAAAGCCUCCAGAUGUGGUAUACAUAUACAUGAGUUUUUGGACAGUUAGUUUUAUUUUUUGGACUACACUUGUGUCAUCUAAUCCCCAUUACUCUGGAUUCUUUUUAAGGCAUUGAUAAAGAGGCUUGCAAACCUGUCUAAUAUUAGGAAUAAAAUCAGCAACAUAAUUGAGACUCCCUGAAAAUCUCCGGAGCUUUGUUUUAUCUGUUAAUUCAAUGCGUCAUCUACGUUGACUAUAUAAAUAUGACUACACUCAUAAAAUAUAUUAUUCGUGAUGUUUUGAAAUUCAGGUGGAACAUUUUUUAGUAUGAAUGGAAUUACAUUCCAUUCGUAUUGUCCAAAAACAACUUUGAAGUUUGUUUUAUAUUUGUCAUUUUUGGCGAUUUAUAUCUGCCGAAAUCUUGAUUUUAUGUCAAACUUACUAUAAACAUUAGCUUUGUAAGUUCUCUUAAGUAGAUCACGUUUGCUAGGUAUGGAUACCUUAUCCAUUUUGAUACCUUAUGAAGGGGCAUAUAAUUGAUAACUAGUCUUGGGGCACUUCUUUCCUUUUUGGCACUAAUAUUUACAUAAAAGGUCGAGCAACUCCAAGGUAAAUUGGAUUGUCUAAUAAUAUAUUUAGCAAACAAAUAAUUAAUUUCUAUUUUACAAUAUUCCACAAAUUCAGCUUCAUUUGAAUGGGUCUUGACUUAGUGGGGAUGAUCUUUUCAUAGAAUCCCUCAAUAUAAGGUAAUUCAACAAAAUGUAUUUUCCUUUCCCAAAAUUGAUUAGGAAAUCAGAACAAAAUUAUCGUUCUAUAUCAUCUUGUAAGCUUUUAAUUUUAAUUUCUACUCUGGAUUUUUUAAAGAGGAUUGAAUUCUCUUCAUCUUGAUAUAUUCUGUUAAAUAAUUAAUUUGUUGUGAGAGUAGAUUUAUUAUAAAUAUAUUUUUAUUUUUAUAUGGUCACUUUCCCAUGUUGAUAUACUAUUUAAAUAUAGGAAAAUAAUCUUUUCUUUCCCAAGAUAGUUGUGUGAAUUCCAUCUAGGAUAGCCUUAUAUGGUUUUACUUGUGUUAUAAAGGGAAUGCCUAAAAUUAUUUCUUCAUUUAUAUUUUUAGUUAUUACAAAAUCAUUUAUGAAACAAAUUCCAUCGUUACAUAUAUGUCUUGUUGAGUUUAUAAUUUAUUUAAGUCUUUCUUCUGAUGCAAAAAAUAAUCGAGUAGUAGUUUUUUCAAGAUACUUAGUAGGGAUAAUUCCUUCAAUGAUGGGACUUUUAUUUGCACUAGUUACUAAUAAAGCAAUUUUUUGGAUAGGUAUUUUUUUUUAUUUAUAGCUAAAGUAAUGAUUAUAUGAUAGUUAUGAGCUUCUACUAAUCCUAUAGUCUUGACUCCUGAUUUUAUCAUUUGAAUAUUUCUAACGGUCUUAACUCUAAAGGUAAACUUUGAUUUUGGGUGGAUGUUUCUCAAGAAGUUUUCACCUUUUAUUUUAUUAUUUUGAUUUCUUUCUUUACAUGUAUUAAUUCUGUUAGAUGAUCUUGAAGCAUUGUUCAGAUUUUGGGUGGAUGUUUGUGUCACAACACAAAAUGAGCCGCGAGCGGCACCCACACUUAUCCUACUAUGUGAGCGAACCAACCAAUCUAAACCCCAACAUUUAAACCAUAAUACACAAAAUAUAAUACGGAAGACUUAAAACUCAUUAAUAUAACCAAUAAAUAACUUCUAAAAUUUAAUAAUUAUUAUUCCCAAAAUCUGGAAGUCAUCACCACAAGAACAUUCUAUCCUCAAAUUACUAAAUGUAAGAGUAUCUAGGAAGCUAAAAUACGUAAACAUAUGGUCCAUGUCCGAACUUCAAGGACAUCAAGAUAUGAAUGAGAGAGAAUCCAGUUUGAGCUAGGAACAAUAGCUCACCCUCAAAUCUGGCCGAUGAAGACUGACUAGAGUUGAGGACGAGUUGAGGACGAUGGCAUGUUUGCUGCACUCCACAAAUAACAAAGAUGAAAAUUACAAGUAGGGGUCAGUACAAGGCACAAGUACUCAGUAGGUAUCAUCGGCCAACUCAAAAUAGAAAGCAAUAUAUAAUAGAUAAUAACAUAAAAUCACCCAUAACACUUAACAGGUGACAAUAACAAGUACCAUAACCAUUGGACACAACACCAAGAACAUCUAUAUGGACUCAAGCCUCCACACCAUACUCAUUUAGGAAUUAGGUUCUUCAAACCUGAGUAUAUUAACAUAGUUCAAGAUUCAUUCUCUUUACUAUCCUGGUGUCGGAACGUGACACUCUGAUUCCCUCAAUAUUCAUUCAUCUUACUAUACUGGUGCCAAACGUGACACUCCGAUCCCUUACUAUCCUUGUGUCGGAACGUGACACUCCGAUCCACUAAUACUAUGUGUCAAUUCAUGACACCCGAUCCCCUAAUUCUACGUGUCGGUUCGGGACACCCGAUCCAUUAACCUCAUUCUUUUCAGUUCAUCAAGCCUUCUUUUAUAUCAAGGAAUCAUCAUUAAUAGCGAUAUUUUUAAGGUUUAAGAUUCAACAGCCUCAUCAUUCUAAUUCAUCACAUUUAUAUAAUCACAUAAUGCAACCACACAAUUAAGCAUAUAGAAGACUUUACAAUACUACCCAAUACAUAUCAAUCACUAUUUAGAGUUUACUAUGAGAUAGCACAAACCAUAACCUACCUCCACCGAAGAUCGUGAUCAAGCAAGCUAUCCCCCAAACCUUUGCUUUCCUCUACGUUCUUCUCUUUCUCUCGCUCGUUUCACCCUUCUUUUCUGUUCUUUCUAUUUUUCCUUAUUCAACCUCUUUUUCAUUUACCCUAAUUAUCAUAUAAUUAAGUAUACAAGAUGGUAAAAGUAACCCACUAUUUAUUUCAAGGUUAUCUCCUUUAAGCCCCAAGUAAUUGAAUUAUUAACAUUAAACCACUAACUUUAUAAUCAUAAGCAAAAAUAUUUCAAAACAUCACUUAAAUACUUUAGCAGAAAUCCGACCCAGUCAGGGUUACGCAACCUGUGACGGUCCGUCAUGCCUACGACGGUCCGUCCUGCAGAGUCGUCACAGAGUUUAGAGAGUCGAAUUCAUUAAAGAGUCUGUGACGGUCCGUCAUGCCUACGACGGUUCGUCCUGCUCUUCCAUCGCGAAGUUCAUAGAGUUGUUCUCAGUACCCAAUUUUCCAGAGUCUAAGUGUUUUGGAAAGAGACCCCCUAGACGGUCCGUCGUGCCCAUGACGGUCCGUCGUGGGAUCCGUCCACCCAGACAGCUAUUACCAGAAAUAAACUCUGCUGCCCAUAACGACUAAAUAGGUCGUUACAAUAGAUACCAAUUUACCCAUCGUUCAUCCUCGAACGAUCACAAGAAGAAAAACAAGGACGAAAAGGAGUACCUGAAUCUGUAAACAGGUGUGGGUAUCUUUCUUGCAUAUCAGCCUCCUUCUCCCAAGUGGACCCUUCCAACGGUCGAUUCUUCCAUUGAACUUUGAUGGAUGCAAUCUCCCUUGAUCUCAACUUGCGGACUUCUCUAUCUAAACUAGCAAUAGGCUCCUCCUCAUAAGACAUAUUCUCAUCAAGAAGAACUGAAUCCCAACGAAUAAUGUAGUUUCCAUCCCCAUGGUAUCUUUUCAGCAUAGACACAUGAAAUACCGGGUGCACUCCUGACAGUACUAGAGGUAAGGCUAAUUCAUAAGCUACCUCCCCCACGCGCUUCAGAAGUUCAAAUUGACAAAUAUACCUCGGACUAAGCUUACCCGCUUACCAAACCGCAUCACCCCUUUCAUGGGUGAAACCUUCAGCAAGACUUGCUCACCCUCCAUAAACUCCAAGUCUCUAACCUUUCGAUCUGCAUAUUCCUUCUGUCUACUUUGAGCCACUAGAAGCUUUUCUUGAAUGAAUUUCACUUUCUCUAAUGAUUCCCUCAGAAUGUCAGUACCCCAUGGUCUUACCUCAAAUGCAUCGAACCAACCAAUGAGAGACCUACAUCUCCUCCCAUACAGUGCCUCAAAUGGGGCAUACAAUACUUGAGUGAUAGCUAUUGUUGUAUGAGAACUGUGCUAAGGGUAAGAAGUUAUCCCAAUGAUCACCAAACUCUAUCACACAUGCACGAAGCGUAUCCUCCAAAACCUUAAUCGUUCACUCAGACGGACCAUCGGUCUAAGGGUGAAAUGCGGUACUAAUAUCCAACCUAGUACCUUAAUCAGCAUACAAUGUUUUCCAAAACUUAGAAGUAAACUGCGUACCUCUAUCUUAUAUGAUGGAAACUGGAACUCCAUGCAACCGAACGACUUCUGAGAUAUAGAGCCUGGCUAACUUCUCUGCAUUGUAAGUCAACUUAAACGGAAUGAAGUGAGCAGACUUAGUUAACCUAUCAACAAUUACCCAAAUGGAGUCAUAUUUACCGAUUGUCUUUGGAAGACCAACCACGAAGUCCAUUUCAUUUCUCUCCCACUUCCAUUCAGGAAUGCGCAUUCUCUAAAGUGUCCCUCCAGGCCUCUGGUGUUAAUACUUUACCUGCUGACAAUUCGGGCAUUGAGCAACAAAAUCAACAAUGUCCCGCUUCAUUCUACUCCACCAAAAAUGUUGCUUUAGGUCACGAUACAUCUUGGUUGCACCGGGAUGUAUAGAAUACCUUGAACUAUGAGCCUCUGUAAGAAUAGUGUGAAUCAAAUCAUCUACGCAGGGUACACAUACCCUUCCCUUAAUUCUCAGAACACCUUCCUCAUCGAUUUUUGCUUCUUUAGCCUCUCCUCGCAAUACCUUAUCUCGAAUCCGGAUCAGUUUCUCAUCAGUAAACUGCUUUCCCUUAAUCUUGUCAAGAAAGGAAGAUUUUGCCUCCACACAGGCCAAAAAUUCUCCCUUCUCAUUUACUUCUACCCUCAUAAAGUCAUUAGCCAGAGUCUGAACCUCUCUAGCCAAUGGGCGUCUAGAAACCUGCAAGUGAGCUAGACUUCCCAUGUUCCCUACUUUUCUACUUAACGCAUCUGCCACAACGUUAGCUUUUCCUGGGUGAUACAAAAUAGUGAUAUCGUAGUCCUUCAGUAGUUCCAUCCAUCUCCUCUGUCUCAAAUUCAAAUCUUUCUAAGUAAAGACAUACUGUAGGCUACGAUGAUCCGUAUAGACUUCACACUUAACCCCAUAUAGAUAAUGUCUCCAUUGCUUUAAUGCAAACACUACGGCGGCCAACUCCAAAUCAUGAGUCGGAUAAUUACAAUCAUGCACCUUUAAUUUCCUCAAAGCAUAAGCAAUUACAUUCUUCUCUUGAAUUAGCACUGCACCCAACCAAGAAUAGGAUGCAUCACAAUAAACAAUGAAAUUCUUACCUUCCACUGGCAGGGUAAGAAUAUGUGCAGUAGUCAACAAAGUCUUGAGCUUCUGAAAGCUUUCUUCUCACUGGUUUGACCAUACAAAUGGAACACUCUGCUUAGUCAAGUUUGUCAAUUGGGAAGCAACAGAAGAAAAUCCCUUGAAAAAUCGACGGUAGUAGCUAGCUAAACCAACAAAGCUCCUUACCUCUAUAACAUUAAAAGGUCUCACCCAAAUCUUCACGGCUUCGAUCUUAGAAGGAUCCACCAUCACUCCAUCCUUAGAAACUACGUGCCCCAAGAAGGACACUUAAUCUAGCCAAAACUCACACUUGGAGAAUUUGGCAUAAAGUUUCUUCUCCCUCAACAUUUCCAAUACAAUUCUCAAGUGCUCCUCAUGUUCUUUCCUGCUCUUUGUGUAUACCAGUAUAUCAUCAAUGAAUACAAUGACAAAGAGAUCUAGAUAUGGCUUAAAAAUCCCGUUCAUCAAUUUCAUGAAAGCACCAGGGGCAUUCGUAAGCCCAAAAGGCAUUACUAAGAACUCAUAAUGUCCAUACCUGGUACGAAAAGCAGUCUUUGGCACAUCCCUUGCCCGUAUUAUCAAUUGAUGAUAACCAAAUCUCAAAUUGAUUUUUGAGAAGGUACAAGCACCUUGUAACUGAUCGAACAAAUCAUCGAUGCGAGGAAGAGGAUACUUGUUCUUAAUCGUUACCUUAUUCAGUUGCCUGUAGUCUAUGCACAUCCGAAAACUUCCAUCCUUCUUCUUCACAAACAAAACAGGAGCACCCCAAGGGGAUGCACUUGGUCUAAUAAAGCCUUUGCUUAACAACUCUUGAAGUUUGGCCUUUAACUCUCUUAACUCAGCGGGAGACAUCCUAUAAGGGGGUAUGGAAAUGGGGCGAGUACCCGGCUCUAGAUCAAUUCAAAAGUCAAUAUCCCUAUCCGGUGGCAUACCAGGAAGGUCUGCAGGAAGCACAUUCAGAAACUCACAGACUAUCGAAACCGACUCAAUUGAAGGUACUUGGGUAGUAUCAUCCCUGAGGUGUUCCAAGAAAUCUAAACACCCUUUACUAACAAUUCUCUUAUAACGAAUAAAGGAGAUGAUACGAACUGGAGUUGAAGUGUAGUCACCCUCCCACACUAACGGAUCUGUCACAGCUUGGCCAACGUUACAGUUUUAGCAUUAAAAUCUAAGAUUGCAAAAUUUGGAGAAAGCCAAGUCAUACCCAGAAUUACAUCAAAAUCAACCAUUUCUAAGAUAACCAGGUCUACAUGAGUAUUGCUCCCCACAAAAGUUACAAGACAAGACCUAUACACCUUUUCAACUAUCACAAACUCACCCACCAGAGUAGAAACACGAAUAGGCAUGUCAAGCAAUUCACAAUGUAAAUUAAGACCAGUAGCAAACGAGGAAGAUACAUAUGAAAAUGUAGAGCCUGGAUCAAAUAAUACAGAAGCCAUGCGAUCACAAACCAAAAAAUUACCUGUGAUAACAGCAUCAGAUGUCUCCGCUUCAGACUUCCCAAGGAAAGCAUAACAAUGGGCCCUAUCACAUGUCUGCCCAUUGCCCCUACAAUGUUGCGCUGCAGUAGUUCCAGUUUGCCCAUCACCCCGGCUGUUUUGGUGACCACCAUUACCUCAGCCACCACGUCCUCCAGAAUGACGGCCUCUUCCAUGACCACCUCUACCUCUGACUAUUAGGGGUCUAUAACUCUGUUUUCGACAAUACCUCCUAAUAUGUCCAUUCUCCCCUCAUCCAUAACACUCUCUGGAUUCAAGUACAGGUCUCUGUGAGAAUGAAGAACUGUGGGGGUAACCUCCAAACUCUGAGAAAUGUUGGUCGGUGUGCAGUGGAACCCCAGCUACAGCCUGCAGUAAAGACUGAAUAGGUCGGGCUGGGUAGCCUCCUGAACCCUUCCCUCUGGAGUAAGAACCAUUAAACUCGCCUCCCUUACGAAACUUCUUAGGUGUUGAUGUCAUGGUGAAGUCGUAUGGCUUCACUCCGUCCACUUCUAUCACAAAAUCUACCACCUCCUGAAAGGAUUUUGCUGCAGUAGCUACCUGUAAGCUGGAAUCUGCAAAUCUGACCUCAAUCCCUUCAUAAAAUGGCGAAUCCGCUCUUGUGGACUGAAGCAAAGUUGGGUGGCAUACCUGGAUAAUGCACGAAACUUAGCCUCAUACGUAGUAACCGACAUCCUGCCUUGCUCUAGGCUCAGGAACUCAUCUCUCCUCCUAUCCCUAAAUGUCCGGGGUAUAUACUUUUCCAUAAAUAAGCUAGAGAAUGAUGCCCAAGUCAUAGGUGGUGCCUGUGCUGGUUGACACUCAACAUACGAUCGCCACCAUAUUUUGGCAUUUCCCUGAAACUGAUAGGUUACAAACUCAACACCGAAUCGUUCCACUAUGCCCAUCUUAUGUAGCAACUCAUGACAAUCAACCAGAAAGUCAUAGGCAUCCUCAGAUUCAGCACCCUUGAAGACUAGAGGUUUCAAUUUCAAGAACUUAUUGAAAAUUUCGUGCUAAUCACUUGUAAUUAUAGGCCGCGUAGUCAAUCGAGGAAACGUGCCUAUUUCCAAUGAGGCAUCCAUGCGGGGAGCCACAACAACUGCAUGUUGUACUCCCGGAACCUGAGGUGCUGGUGCAGAAAACACUGGAGGUGUCUGGCCUUGAUCAGAUAACCCGCUAAGUUAAGCAAGAACCUGAUGAAUAAUCUCUGGGGUAGGUUGGGGUGGUAAUUCCUCAUUCUGCACUUGUUCAUUAUCCCCUUCCUCACCCUCUCUUAAUACUUCCUCAGUCGGUGGAGGAGUCAUCACCCUAGUACUAGAUGGGCCAGGUGCUUGUCCUCUUCCUCUAGAGGAUGUCCUCCCGCGACCUCUACCACGACCUCUUGCCACUGCUCCUCUUCGAGCUACAGCCCUAGUGGCUGGCUCAGACGCAUCUUGUCUUGGCGGUGUUGGUAUUGGCGUGGUUGUUGCUCUAGUUCUAACCAUCUACGAAAUAGAGUGAAGAUGGCCAGAUACCAAUUUGUAUCACCUAGAUACCAAUUGGAUCAAUGUAAUAGCACGAAAGAAAGAAAGAAUGGAAUUUUCCUAAAGUCUUAUAGCCUCUCAAAGAAAAGUAAAGGCGUCCCCCUACCGUUCCUCAAGACUCCACUAGACUCGUUCUUGUGUGAUGAGACUAACGAACCUAAUGCUCUGAUACCAAGUUUGUCACGAUCCAAAACGAGUCGUGAGUGGCACCCACACUUAUCCUACGAUGUGAGUGAACCAACCAAUCUAAACACCAACAUUUUAACCAUAAUACACAGAAUAUAAUGCGGAAGACUUAAAACUCAUUAAUAUAACCAAUAAAUAACUUCUAAAAUUUAAUACUUAUUAUUCCCAAAAUCUGGAAGUCAUCACCACAAGAACAUUCUAUCCUCAAAUUACUAAAUCUAAAAGUAUCUAGGAAGCUAAAAUAAGUAAACAAAUGGUCCAUGUCCGAACUUCAAGGACAUCAAGACAUGAAUGAGAGAGAAUCCAGUCCGAGCUAGGAACAAUAGCUCACCGUGAAAUCUGGCGCGAUGAAGACUGGCUAGAGUUGAGGACGAUGGCACGUUUGUUUCACUCCACAAAUAACAAAGAAGAAAAUUACAAGUAUGGGUCAGUACAAGGCACAAGUAAUGAGUAGAUAUCAUCGGCCAACUCAAAAUAGAAAGCAAUAUAUAACAGAUAAUAACAUAAAAUCAAUCAUAACACUUAACAGGUGACAACAACAAGUACCAUAACCAUUGGCCACAACACGAAGCACAUCUAUGAGGACUCAAGCCUCCAUACCAUACUCAUUUAGGAAUUAGGUUCUUCAAACCUGAGUAUAUUAACAUAAUUCAAGAUUCAUUCUCUUUACUAUCCUGGUGUCAGAAAGUGACACUCCGAUCCCCUCAAUAUUCAUUCACCUUUUUUUCCUGGUGCCGGAACGUGACACUCCGAUCCCUUACUAUGAUGGUAUCGGAACGUGACACUCAGAUCCACUAAUACUACGUGUCGGUUCGUGACACCCGAUCCCCUAAUUCUACGUAUUAGUUCGUGACACCCGAUCCAUUAAUUUCAUUCUUUUUAGUUCAUCAAGCCUUCUUUUAUAUCAAGGCAUCUUCAUUAAUAAAGAGAUUUUUAAGGUUUAAGAUUCAACAGCCUCAUUAUGCUAAUUCAUCACAAUUAUAUAAUCACAUCAUGCAACCACACAAUUAAGCAUAUAGAAGACUUUACAAUACCACCCAAUACAUAUCAAUCGCUAUUUAGAGUUAACUAUGAGAUAGCAUAAACCAUAACCUACCUCCAUCGAAGAUCGUGAUAAAGCAAGCUAUCCCCCAAACUUUGCUUUCCUCUGCGUUCUUCUCUUUCUCUCGCUCGUUUCUCCUUUCUUUUCUGUUCUUUCUAUUUUUCCUUAUUCAACCUCUUUUACUUUUACCCUAAUUAUCAUAUAAUCAAGUAUAAAAGAUGGUAAAAGUAACCCACUAUAUAUUUCAAGGUUAUCUCCUUUAACCCCCAACUAAUUGAAUUAUUAACAUUAAACAACUAACUUUAUAAUCAUAAACAGGAAUAGUCCAAAACACCCCUUAAAAACAUUAGAAGAAAUCCGACCCAGUCAGGUUUACGCAGCCUGUGACGGUCCGUCGUUCCUAGGACGGUCCGUCCUGCAGAGUCGUCACAGAGUUCAGAGAGUCAAAUUCAUUAAAGAUUCUGUGACGGUCCGUCCUGCUCUUCCAUCGCGAAGUUCAGAGAGUUGUUCUCAGUACCCAAUUUUCCAAAAGUCUAAGUGCUUUAGAACAAGACCCCCUCGACGGUCCAUCGUGGGAUCCGUCGACCCAGACAACUAAUACCAGAAAUAAACUCUGCUGCCCAUAACGACUAAACAGGUCGUUACAGUUUGUCAUAUUAAAAGGUUUAACAAUAUGAUUAUUUAUUAGUUGAUCAAGAAUUAUAUCCUUUAAUGCUCUUAAUAAAUAUUUUUUACAUUCAUGAUCAUCGAUAUGAUCAAUCAUAUUAAUGAAAAUUUCAUUAUUACUAAUUCUAAUGAUAUUGAUGGAGAGAUUUUUGUAGGUGAAAAAUGCACUGUUACAUCCCCGUAUAUCGAAUUAUUAUUUUUAAAACUAUCUCUCAUAUUAAGAUGGACAUCUCUACUAGAAUUUCUUUCAAAACUAGUGUGAUUCUCAUAAAUAAUUGAGUAUAAUAUAUUUUUAAUAUUGUCUUCUAGUUCGAACUUACCUAUCUUAUCCUUCCUUUAGUUAGGGGGUUGAUUAUCCUUAGCAUGAUUUACUAGUUUUCCAUAGUUCCAACAUGCAUUAGUAUCGUUAUUAAUUAAUCUAGAUUUUCUCUUGUAAUACUCGGGUUUUUCAUAUUUAUCGUUAUAAUUUUUCUGACGAUGUUUAGACCUCUUUAAUUCAUUGUUAGGUUUUUACUUGUUUCUAAUCUAGUAGUAUUCAUAAAAAUUUUGAUAUCAUUAUAGUUAAAUUGUUUAUAAUGUAUUUUUCCUUAAAACUAAUCAUAUAAUGUGCCUGUAAAUCCAGCUGUAAAUAUAGUAGUUAACUGUUUAUUUGAAAAAUAUUUCAUUUUAUAAGUCAUAAUGGCUAUUCCUUUUUUUUAUGUAUUUUACUAUAAAUUUGAUUUGAAUGAGUUUACCAAUAUUUAAUUUAGCUAAUUCUUUUUUCGAAUGCGAAGUAUUAGAUAAACUCUCAUUUUCCUCAUAUUGUAUAUUUGGAAAAUGUAAUUCUUUUCUGUAGGAUAAUUAUAGCUUAUUUAUCAAUAUCAUUAUCAUUGCUUUUUAAUAAAGGAUUAAUAAUUUUUAAUUUGAAUUUUAGUUUUUUAUUGAUGAGAUUAUUUGUGGUUUCCAACUUUUCUUAAAACAUAGGGAAUUUUAAUUUAGAAAAUUUGCGUAAUUUAAAUAUUGGAUAAGUUUCUAGAUUUUUAGUUUAUCCUUGUAGGAAGGAUUUGUUUUAGCUUGUUUAGUAAGGAUUAUAUUAAUUUGUAAAGGUGAGUUCGUAAUAAUUCUACCAUCUGUGGGUAGACUAAUUUCAUCUACAGGCGGAAUUUUAGAUUCAACUAUCUUAGUACUAGUAGUAUACGAUUAUCAAUAAGUAUUUCUAACGACUCAUUUUGAUCGUUUAAUUUUCUGUGUAUUCAAACCUUUUUAAAAACUCUAUAUUACAUUUUAACCUUUUUUCAUAUUACUAAAUCAUUUAUUUGUGAAUGUUAUUUUUUCUGAUAAAGAAUGUCAUUGUAUAUAUCAUUGCUCUUUAAUAGAAUUUUCUAAACUAGUCCAAGGUUUAUUUAAAUAAUUAAAACCUGCUUCAGAAGGUUCUUACAAAUGAAUCAUACUAGUACAAUUCUUAAAUUUCUUUUUACUUAAGUAGUAUAUUUUAUUAAUUUAUUACCCUUUAUCUUAGUAUAUUUAGUUAUUAAUUUACUACCAUAUAUGGUAGUUAAUUUAAAUAUUCGAAGUCUUUUACACAUGGUAGAGUAGUCAUAAAUAAUUAAGAGUGUAUAUGGUAUGGAUUAUCUAGUGGAGAGAAGAACACCAUGCUUGAUCUUAAAUGUCCACUUUAAAGAUUAUUACGGAAAUAAGAACUUCUUUGUGAAGUAAUUGUUUCCAACUCUACGUCACACAGUCUAAGCGAAUCCAAUGGAAGGAACGAGCGUGCCAACGUCUAAACCGGGAAUUGUCUACUUACCCCAUGGGUGUACUAUUAUGAGGGAUUGAAGGUAAUUCCUAUGUGCAUCUUAUUAUUAUGUUAUGAUGCAAUGUUCUCACAUGAUGUUGGGUUUGUGAUGAAAGGACUUUCUCAUCCUGUAUCCUCUAACCUGACAUAUGAACAUGUUAUAUGAAGGGUUAAACUCCUACGACCUAUGAUAUGUAUUAUUGUUAAGAAAGACCUAAAGAUACAUUAAAAAGGAAAUUUAGGUUAGCAUCGAGUGAACUUGAUAAUGAGAGGUGUUCCUUUACAAAGUAAGGGAGGUUUACGCUAUAUUCUAUCAUGAGGUGGAAACUAGAAUGCUAAUUAGCAUGAAGAGGGUUUCUAGUAACAACCUCCUAUUUCCUUAACUAUGAGACUCCAUAGGAAACUUGGCUAACGGAUCCAGCUAGAUGCUAUUAUGAUGUAUAUGCCCUAGCUUGGUAAGUAGGAUACCCUCCUUUUGGUGUAAGGGCUUGACACCGAAUUUCAUAUUUAGCACACAUUGUGUAAUGUCUGUUAUGGAAAAGUACCUCAAAACUAAAAUUAUUGAAUCGAAGUAAGAAUAUGAAAUAUACCUAGGACUACUUAAGAUGUGUUACUUAGUGUAGGUAAGGGUGUGGGACUUUACCUAUACAUUGCACAUGUGGACCUUGAGUGGAGUUCUAGGGUGGAUUAUUUAUAGAAAAAAUGUUAUGAAUGAAAUGUAUAAUAUUGGCCUGAUAUGAUGUUGGUUUCACUAAAUAUAUAUGAUAUUUUUCUAAAUUGUAAUGUAAGAUGCCGACUAUACUUAUUAUGUGUUAUAUGAGGUAAGGUCAAUGUUUAUGGUCUCUUUGCUAGUUAUAUUGGUUUAUGUGGGGUUAUGGGGGUUCACAUACAAAUUGCACUAAUUGACUUGGAUUGGGGUUAUGAAUAAGGCCUUGUGAUAUAUUGAUGAAAUGGACUCUAAACAAUAAAUGUUAACUAUGCAUUAUUUACGAUGGUACUCUUAAAGAUGAAUAUGAAUAUGCCUUAUUGUUUUUGUGUGAUGAACUUGUAUAUAAAAGCUUUUAAAGUGAACUUUGCAUGUUUAUAUUAAAAUUUCCCUUAGCACAUGUCUUCAAAUGUUUUAAUUGCAUAUAUCAAUACUUAGUACACGUGGUUUCUACUAAGCCACAUCUCUUCUAUUUUCUACAUAACGUGUACGUUCGGGCCAUUCAAGGGUUUAUAGUCCUUCUUUAAGAUCAUGGAUUGCUAUCCCCAAGUUAUUGAGUCAUCAAGUACGAGGAUGCACUUGAUUUAAUCUAGUUUCGAAUGUCUUUGUUCCAAGACUUUAUUGUAAUUCCUAUUAUAUUACUUUUUGUAAUGAUGCAAGGGCUACGCCCCGUUUCUCUUACUCUUAUGUUUAGAUGAUCAUGUGAGAUAAUAAUAGAUUCUAUCUGAUAUUUGAAGUGAAGUUGAACUUCAAAAGAAAAGUUUUAGUUUUUCCGCAUUAUUUUAUCAAUGAUGUGAUGAUGUAUUCUAAGGGCUUGUCUAAGUCCUUUUCGAGAACGAAGACGUCAAUUACGACUAGAGGGUGAUGUUUGGUCAUGAUAAUUCACUUUCGGUGCAUUGAGGUCAAGUACUCUUGAGAGGAGGCUGACAGAAAGAGGGCAACUUUUCUAAACACAUCCCAGGAGGUGGAAGUUUAUUUGAUACCUACAUAGGCGUUUUUUCCUACUCCGUCGUUCGAUCUAUCAGGUACCUCUCUCCCUUUUUCUUUCUCACAGGCCCCAAAACUUUUUACCUCCUCCCAUCCCACCAUGACGACGUGAGGGCUACCUCUCUUGUGAGAUCCAUCCCAUGGAUGAUUGAAAGUGUCAUUGUUGCUUCACUGAUCCCCUCCAAACUUUUAUUGACACUCUCACGAGAGUUGAGUCUUGCGAGAGUAGGUGGUGAGAGACCUCCGAGCUGACGUCUUUAAAAGCUAAAGUUGUAGAUUUAACGAAGGACAUUGACUAUCUAAAUUGUACUAAAUUCACUUUAUUGCUAGAGGUUGCAGAUGAUUUGGACGUUCUUGAGACUUUCAAUAUUCCUCCAGCUGCCACCGAAUAUGUGUAUAGGUAUGAUGUUGAAGUUUAUGAGUUAGAGUAAAUAACGACGAGGAUCUGAUUGAGAUCAUGGAUGUGAGCAUAUAUAUAGACUUGUCGGGCUUACCAAAUUUGUAGGAGAUGAUUGUGCAGUCAAUGAUCCAGACAUAGCUGGUAGAGACAUCAAUGGGUGAGUCCAGUUAAGUGGGCCCUUGUAAGGUAACUAAGGGCACUAAUACCCAAGUUCAGAGUGAUGCACCGGGCAUUGAUUCCUAGAAAAAUGAGGGUUCUGUAGAUAAGAUUCUACUUUACCUCCUUCUUUGUCUUACUUUUUUACUUUUGAUAUUGUUUUAAUUUUUUUUGACCUUUUGUGACUAUGGUUUUAUUUAUAUAUUGGGCUUUGCGUUUUAAUAGGUUUUUUAUUGCAUUGUGUGGAUAAUGAAGCUUGUUUCUCCUUGUUUUUGAAUUAUAAAUUAUUUUUGGAACAUUCCAGAAAAGUUGUACCACCUCUUGUAUGUGUACGAAUGUGAGUGUUCUUUUGAAAAUUUGAGUAUCGGUCUUGAUCAAUACCGAUGACUUUAAUAGUGCUCAUAAUAGAAUGAAAAUGAAUGUGUUGUUACUAUGAUGCUAAAUGAAGUUGCAUAGUCAAUAUCUGAACGUUUUGCAUUUUAUUAUUACUAGUUUAGUACUAAAUUAAGUCUCUUGUGAUGAACAUUGCUCUCCAGCAAAAGUGUGGAGUCUUGUUUUACAUUGGUGUGAAUGCCUUAGUUGAUGAGCUUACCUUGAACCAUGAGUGAUUAAACCUACAAUUUUCCAUGUUUGUCCUAUUAAAUAAGUGAUGGAAUACCUUAAUAUGAUCUUAGGCACCUUUGAAGAGUGUGAAACAAUUUGACAUUAUACCUUGUUAGUGUGUGAACUAUGCUUGAACAUCGUUUUAACAUUAACCUUUUCCAUUAGCCAUAAUCCUCAUGAUUUGUGGUUUGUGUUAAUAGCCAACUUAGGCUAGUGAAAAGAGAAGACAAAUCAAGAAGUGCAAGAAAGUUCCCUUUGGCCCAUGGUCUAAGAAAAAACAAAACUUCUCUCUCUCUCUCUCUCUCUAUAUAUAUAUAUAUAUAUAUAUAUGUAUAUAUGUAUAUAUAUAUAUACAUAUAUACAUAUAUAUAUAUAUAUACAUAUAUACAUACAUAUAUAUAUAUAUAUAUAUAUAUAUAUAUAGAAUGAAAAAGAAAAAAAAAUUUGUGGGAUAAAGUUAUGAAGGUGAAAAGAAAAUGAAGUUUGAAAUAGUCCAUGGAAGAUAAAUAAUGAGGUGACUUGUGAGCACGAAUUAAGAUGAUGUUUAAAAGAAAAGGAAAUGUUGUUCACACCACAUUUCAUGAGGAUUAUAUCCAUAGAGCCUAAAUUGUUAUACCUUUGAAAUAAGACCCAUUACAAACAUUGAAAAGACCUUUUUCAUUUUUAGUGAGCAGAAACAAGGGUCAAUUGAAAAAUACGGACAACCCUACGGGUGAAAUCGUGCAUUAUGUUCAUCUUUGUGACUGUGACCGUUGCAAUUGAUUCUGGAGCUUUAAAUUGUGAAACAUUGUGUGAAUAUGGAAUCAUGCUUUGUGUGAGGGCAUAUGAUUACUUUUGUUGAACUUUAACUUGCAUUUGAAGGAGGUAUUUCAGCUUGCAAUUCUUUAGUAAUGGUGAAUAACAACUUGAAUUAUUGGCUGCACAAUUGAUCCUUGCAUUAGUAAGUUCAGUCUUUUUGUAUGCAUUUAUUUAAAAGUCUUGUGUAGAACUAUUUGAGACAUAUUUUUUAAAUUGUUAACUUGAGUUUUAAUUAAGGACAAGCAAAAUUUUAAGUUAGGGAUGUUGAUCAGUCCAUGAUUUGGACUGUUUAAGGGUUUUAUUUUAAUUAGUGUUCUCAAAUGCAUAUUUUGUGACAAUAAGUGAUAUAAAUCCUUGAUUUUCAGGUAUUUCGAUUGAGGAAAAAUCAUGGAAAGUAAUAAUCUAAAAGGAACAAGGCAUGUGAUAGACCGAAGAAAAGAAGGUUUGAGGAUCACCUAAAGAAUUGAGCGAGUUGCCAAAUGGACAUGGCCUCGCCUAAUCUUCCAAUGUACCAAGAUCUGAGGGAUAAAAUCUAGUCGGCGAUGGAAAGGAUCUAUUGGAACGUCAGCGAUUGAUUCCGCGAUGCAGUGAUAUAUCACCCAAUGUAACAAAACUUGAAUUUUUUGAAGUGCAAAGAAAAAUGGUGAAUGGAACUGACCAAAGGGCGGAUUGUCCAGUGUAUCGGCGAUCCUGACUUAUUGCGUCGAAUGGUCCGUCUCGGUACCGAUAUUGGAAACUCUAAAUACAUUUUUACAUUUAUAGUUUAUUAUUUGUUCCCAAUUAGGAGAAUUCAUUUUUCAGCUAUUGUACCAGUUUGAUGUUUAGAGCUUAUAAAUGAGUUUUUAGAUAAUAUAUCCUUAGCUCUGAAGAUUUCAAUUUUUGAGAAAUAUGAAAUGGGUGUUUAAGGUAUGAAUAUUAUACCUUUGGAAUAUGAAUUUACUCUUAUCCAUUUGAUUGAAACACAAUUUGGUAAUUAUUUCUAUCUUUUUAUUAUGUCUUGCUAAAACCCAAAUUCAUGGGGUGUGACUAAGUUAUUUUUGGUUGAUUUAGUUGUUGUGUGUUAUUAAUUGAUAGAGUAGAUGUUGUUUCAAAGUUAUUUUAUUUACUUAUUGUGGCUAAUCUAAAUGGUUGUAGUUGCAAAUGCAACUUUACCUAAUUUGAUUGUCUAUGGGUAUUCCGUUCUCAUGAUUUCAGCUCGAGGGAGUGAAUCCUAAACCCUUUUGCACAAAUUCAAAUCUAGAGAGUGAAUUUUCUAAAGUGAAGGUUGUUCAUAAUUGAUUCUUAUUGGUGUUUGAGAGAAGCAUAUUUGAUUCGGGGUAAAUUGUUUGAGAGAAAUUUCAACCCCCACCAAAGUUGUAAUACUCCUAUAAUCCAUGAAAUAAGCUACAGAAUCACAUGAUAAACUGAACUUUAAAACACUAUUUCUAAGCCUAAAAUAAUGUUUAUAAACUAUUUAGGAAGUUUUAGAAUCAUAAAAACAAGAAACAUCCAUGAUGUUCGGAAACUAGCUAAAUCGAACUAGUUAACGUCCCUAUAUUUUGGGAAGGUUUGGGAGGGUCAUAUGAAGUCCAAAACAUAUAAAAAGAUUUUAAAUAGGUAUAAUAUAUCACAAAGUGUCCAAACAUUCAAUAAAAUACGAGAGGACCCGUCGAAGAGUUUCUGAGGAGGGCCUAAGCCAAUUGUAGAAUCAUGAAAUUGGACAAUUCAACUUUGAAAACAUUAGAAAACAUUUUGAGAGUUGGGCUCCUUGAUGAAAAAAUUUUCAUUGAUCAAAAUAAAUACCUUUAUGAAGAAAAUUAUUCACUUUGAUGAAGAAUAUCCACUCAAUUCGUCACACCAAGCUCUUCUUUGACUUUGGACUUUGAUGGACUCUCUAGGAAUUUCUAAGGGAUUUUGGGGUUUUGAUUUGGAAGAAUGAAAUCUUCUUAGUGAUAUACACUUAUAUACACAUUUAAAAUACCCAAAAUAAACAUAAAAACCCUCCAAUACUCUUACUUUGAAGUGGGGUGAAAUUACAAGUUCACCCCUCAACUUACAGUGAACCUGCACGCAGGACAGUGCCCAUCGACGGUUGGGCAGGCUACGGACCGUUUGUCCACAAAAGAACUGUCCUAUCCUUCUGUCAUUGAGUUUAGAGACUCAACAUGGGUCAUUUCAAUUCCAUUACAAAAUCUACAUCAACUUCACCCUUCUACGUGGCAUCGAUAUGCCCACGAGCCGUCGAUUGUCUCCGUCGUUUGGGGCAGCCUUGGACACUCGUGCCACAACCUUUAGGGUCCUCCUGACCCUUGGAUGGUCCUUGGGGAUUUUUUCCAGGACAUUUACAACGCAAACAUGAUUUUAUACGAGUAAAGUACCUCUCACAUGACUUUCAGCAUAAACGAACACAUAAAACACGACGAAACAUGCCUAGACACACAAGGUAAUUUCAAGGCAACACUUUCCAACGUCAUGGAUGUUCUUGGACGUUUGACCUCCAAACUCCACGAAACUCAACACACUGCCUACAUAUGAUGUAAUAACUCAUUUAAAGACCUUUUAACCCCAUGAAUCAUACAUAAACACAUAGAACCAUAUAAGAGGCACAUAGGUGACUUAGUCGUCAAACAUGUAGUCAUUCCUUGACGUUUGACUUCCAAUGCACCUAAACUCUUAGACACUUCCUCAAUACCAUAUAAUGCACCUAUUUAUGACCUUAUAGAAUCAGCAUUAACAUGUUAGGCUCUAGUUCACCUAAUUCAUUUUCGGGGUCUUACAAUCUCCCACAUAUGGACGACAUUCGUCCUCGAAUGACACUUGUCACUCUAUGAAUACUUCCAAAAAUAGAGAUUCAACUAGAAUCUCAUGACCAUACUGCAUAACACAUAAUCAAGAAGAAAGAAUCAAUUUCACAUAGUCAAGCGAUUCAAAUACAACAAGAAACUAGAAAACAUUCUAUAACUCAUCAUGCUACAAAACUCACAUACUUCAUUCCAAAUAACAAAAACUAAUUUUAUAUUCAAUAUUAUGCUUAUAUACAUCACUUAUAACAACAUUACAACAAUUUUAUUCAUUGAAUUUGUGCAACUUUUAAAAAAUGCAGCUUUUAGGCAAUUGAUGUUAGAAACAAGAUAAUAUGCAAGGUAACAUUAUAUAAACACUCUUAGAACAUAACCAUGGCUUCAUGAAACAAACUUGCAAGAAGUUAAUGUAAUUCAAUUUCAACAAAACUCCUAAAGACCCUUCACAUGCAACAUACAUCUAUUACUUUUUAUCCUAUCUACUAACCAUACUCCCCCAAUUAGAAGGAACACAUAUCACUAUAAGAAAAAUGCAAGGACUUACCCUCAUCAUCAUCAUUAUCAUGUGGCUUUGAUCCUCUUGUACGGAGUGCAUAGAAACUCCUCUUUGUUGAAGCAUCAUCCUUUGGAACACUAGAAGCAACUUGCAUACUCUCUCUUCCUCUAGAUGCAAUGGUAGGACAAUCUCUCACCUUAUGUCCUUCGUUACCACAACCAUAGCAACUUCCGGUACCCACUAGACACUCACCAUAGUGUUUGUAGCCACAACUGACACAUGUAGGUUUUGCAUUUUCAGAACCACCUCUUUUCUCCAAAUUCACCUUAACACUUUUAGGUUUUGACCUUAGGCCCUCUUCUUAAACCUAGGUUGUCCUUGAUCACUAGAACAACUCCUUUUCAAGUUUAUAGACAUCCUGUUAAGGGUAGACUCUUAUAUUGAUUGUUCAUAAACCAUGAGUCUAUAUAGGGUCACAUCAUCUUGUAGCAUCGUCGUACGAUAUUCCUCCCUCACUAUAUCAGCCACACCCGUCAUAAAAUGACUCAUUUAAUCCUUGGAUUAGAUAAAAGGUAAGGGACAUAUCUAUAUAACAUAGAGAACUUUAAAGAGUAUUCCUCAACACUCAAAUUUCCUUGUUUUGAUAUUGACAAACUCCUCCACCUUAACUUCUCUCCUCUUACGGGGAAAGUACUCACAAAGGAAAGCAUCCUUAAAUUUUUCCCACUCAAUAGGACCCUAUUACUAUGGCCUAUUAUCAUUCCAUUGAGUGUACAAUAUUUUUGAAACAUCCCUUAAUUGGUACGAAGCCAACUCCACUUUCUCCCUAGAUUGAACUCCCAUAGUGCUCAACCCCUUCUACACUCCAUCUAGGAACUCUUAGGGAUCCUCUCCCUACUUAGAGCCAAUGAAUAUAGGAGGAUUCAUCCUCCUAAAAUAUCUUAACCUAGACAUCAUAGCGGCACAACAUUCACCCUAGUCACCAUACUCAAAUUUUACUUACGUAGUCAUGGCUCGAGCUAAGACAAGAAAUGCCUCUCUAAUAUCCUUAUUACUCAACUCCGGGACAUCAUCACCUCUAGCAACAAUAGGGACUUUAUCACCUUGAGGAACUUUCUCAACUUCCUCAACUUGAGGAGGAAUCUCCUAUUGCACCACAUUUUUCUUAACUCUCCUAGCUGGUGUCCUCUUAUUUAUCUUCCUAUAAACACAAGAAAAACCAUAAGAACAGAGUACACAUAACUUUUACUCUACGACACUACAUAGGAGUAGAAAAGAAGGGAAACUCUAUUGCCAAUUUCCUCUUUCCCAUAGAUGUGUCGCGACUCACACCGAUGGUCAAGUCUCUACUAGACUUGACUUGAUGAGACUUUUUUGAUUUAUAAUACUACAUUCAUAACCUAUGCUCUGAUACCAAGCUUGUGACGUCCCGAAACCACACCCUAGAAAUUAGGGGCAACCUAAGAUUGCAACUGGCAUACUUGACCUCUUGGAGGUCUUUUACAAACCCUUACAUAUGAUUCAUCGCAUAAACAUAAUGAAAAGUAGUGUGGAAUGUAAAACUUUUCACAAAACAUAUCAUACUAUUGAAAACCUGUUUCAUAUAAAGUCAUAGGAAAUUCUAAGUCUUAAUCUCAUCAAACUUAAGACACAAAAAUACUUGGGACACAGACAUACUCAAAAAUAUAGAAAUACUUAGUCUAUUACAAUAUUUCAAAUUGAAACAUAAAGGACAUCUAGGACCUCAAAUCAAAUGAGGACAUACUCGACUUCUCAUUAACGAUGCUACGGUCCAUAUAUUCCUUCAAAAUUCUCCUCACCUACCAACUACUAUAGAGAUAGAUGAAAGCUUGGAUUAGUGCAACCACAUGUACUAAGUAUUGCAUAAUGCAUGAAAAUGGACAUUUAUUGGAAAUAUGCAUCUUUUAUUUUAAAAAUCAUAUUAUAAUCAUAAGAAAAACUAUUAUCAACUUAGAAACACAUAAGAUAACAUGUAGCAAAUUAUUCACAUUUUUGAGCUCAGUUUACAUUAAACUACUUUCACUGUAUGUGAAUUGCUUCACUAUAAUAGUGACAUACUUUCUCUACCUUUUAAAACCUUUAUUGUUUGUAGUCUUCUCACUAAAAUCUAUCCUAACACACACUUAAGCAACACAAAAAGAGACCACCUAUACAACCUCUCUAAGAAUACCUAAAUGACUGUGAAGAACACUUAUAAUAAGGCACAUGCACACUUACAAGACAUCAAACCUCAACACAUAGAUAAUAUGACAUUCUCCUUCAAAGGGCUAUCAAAAUACAAACUUAAGUAAAUCAAGAAGAUAACUUCCAUUCUUGACCUCUUCAAGAUUCCCUAAGUAAUCCAUAAGACUACCUAAGGCUUAGAUCAUGUCCACAAAAUCAACCAUUUCCCUAACUAGAGUCAUUCUCAAGACUUCCAAAUAUAAGAUAGGAAGAGAUCAUCUCUUAUGACCUCUUCAUACAUUAGCUAAGGAAUCUUAAGUCAUUUUAUAUUAGGUACUCAUUCAUUUACAUACUUCAUAACGUAAGUCAUUAGUUCAUUAGUUCAAUAAGAGACUCAUACAUCACAUAUAGGACAUUCAAGUAAUGGUCUUAUACAAGACCUAGGGACUCCAACUAACACCUUCAAAGCCUAUUGUGCAAUGUCUAGAUAGAAUCCCAUACCACCACCUAAACUUCAUAGAACUUCUCUAAUACUAGUGAGUAUCCCACAUGAGUAGAAUAGGCAAUAACCGAAAUAUACCAUGAUAGAAAGGCAUGGAAUCCGGAGUUCUAUCCUACUCUGAUGAGGUUGUUCUACUUGCUAAUGGUAGAUCUUAGACAUAUCCGAUGUAGGCACAUGGUUAACGCAUAUGAAGGGCAUGCAUUGUAUUCUAGUCUCAUUCUAUGACUAAAACUACUUCCCUUACCAAAGUCAUUCGGUGCUAGCGUUCGUUCUCAUAUCGUAAUUCACAUUAAGGUUCAUAUAUAGGGGUUCCAUAACAAGUUCAUAACACAAUCACAUUUACAACACCGAAGAGGUCCUCUUAAGUCUACCUUCCCAUGGCGACAAGAAGCUCAUGAUGACUUUCCUAAGGAUUAAUAUGAUUCCAUUCUAUCCAAUUAACCUUAAGUCUAUCAUUUCUUUACUUGGAAGGAUACCAUUACCGCUUAUGACUUUAACAUUCUUAACUUUACCACUAAGUCAUGUUUUUCACAUAAAAUACACUCUUAACAUCAUUUAAGGUCUCAUGUAAUUCAUGCAUGAAAAAACUAAGAUUUUAACAUCCUAAAUCAAGAUAUCACAUAUUCAAAUUCAUAUAUACAUAAGGUAAGGGACAUAAGUCAACCAACACAAGACACCACAUACUUCACGUUAGCACACAUUACAUGUCAUUCUAGAAGCACAUAGAAGCAACUAUUAUCAUCUUUAAGAAAUCUAAUAUACUAUUAUAUCAACAUCAUUAUGACCAAUAUAGACUGAUAUAGUCAAGUAGGAAUAAAUGCAUCAAUCCUAAGACUAUACACCCAAAGCCACAUUCAUACUCUAACAUGAUCACCUACAUAACAUUAAUAGAACACAUAUACUUUUACAUUACUUAACAUGUAGAUAGAUAUCAUCAUACUUUAUUCAAUCAACUACACAAAUAAUCACAUUAGUUCAUGUAGUGCUGACCUGGCCAUGAUAUUCAUAAUACAUAUAGUAACAUCGACAAAGCCACAUCAACGACAAAGAAAACACAUAAGACCACCAUCAUAAUUGUACCAUACCAAGCAAAACAUAAAUUAAGUAUAAAUAAUAUCAAAAUAAAUUAAAUAGGGAAGAGUACCACCACUCCAUCCUCAACAUCUCUUUUCGAUGCUAAAUCAUCCAAUUCAAUAACAUAAGACCCUUACCAAUGGUCAUGAACAUCAAUUCAACCUAAAAACUAUAAUAAUAAAUGAACUAGGUCAAUUCAAAGUAAAUUCAUCAAUAAAAUACAACCUAGAUAUCAAUUGAACACAAUUAUUACAUCAUUAGAUAGCCCAUAGAAAUCAAUAGCAUAAUUCACCAACAUUAAGUCAAUAUCAAGUAACCCAUAACUUAGUCAAAAACUAGGUUCAUCCAAUUCACGGGUUCAUAGGUAAUUUAGGUUAAAAUCAUCAAUACAAUAACAAUUUAAUCAAUAAUAAACGUUUAAUUAAUUGAUGCAAGACCGAAUGUAUAAUCAUGAAAUCGGACAAUUCAACUUUCAAAACAUUAGAAAACAUCUUGAGAGUUGGGAUCCUUGAUGAAGAGAGAUUCAAGUAUAAAAAAUUCAUACCUUGAUGAAUCUAAUUGUUCACUUUUAUGAAGAAUCUUACUCAAUUUGUCACAAAAAGCUCUUCUUUGACUUUGGAAUUCAAUGGAGUCUUAGGGAAUUUCUAAGGGAUUUUAGGGUUUUAAUUUUUAAGAAUGAAAUCUUCUAAGUGUUAAAUAAUUACAUACACAUUUAAAAUACCCAAAAGACCCCUAAUGAACCUCCAAUACUCUUUUUUGAAGUGGGAUGCAAUUACAAGUUCACCCCUCAACAUACUAUAAAUGUGCACGCAUGACAGUACCCAUCGAUGGUGGGCAAUUGGAUGACUUUUUCUCCACAAACAGACCGUCAUGUCCUUCUGCCAUUAAGUUCAGAGACUCAACAUAGGUCUCUUACCUCCCAAUACCAAGUUUUCUCUAACCGCACCCAUCGACGGGGCGUUAAUUAGCCCACGAGCCAUUGAUUGCUGAUGUACCGUGGAUUCACGGUACUUUCAAUGUUUUUUCCUUAAGAUUAGUGUGUACGUAAGGCCUCUUUGAAGUAGUUUUAAUGUAUUUUUUUGUGUUUGCAGAGAAACUUACCAGAAUGAAAUGCUAAAGAUGUGAUGAGAAUUGCAGAAAAGAUAUCCUACGGAGCCAUCGAAGGUCCAUCUACCCAUUGACGAUCGUGGUGGAAACCAUCGCCACGAAGAUGUUAUGCAACCAAGGAAAGAUCGGGAAAUUCUGACUAAGUGUGAUACUACAGAAGGGAUCACGGUUCGUUGUGGUGAUCUGUUGGUGUUAACAUAAUGUAACCUCAGUACCUAAAAAUAUUCUAAGUAUGGAGCAACGAAGGCCAUCCACGGAGCAUCGUCCGAUCAAUGGACCAUCGUCUUGGUCCAUCGAUUGUAACAAAGAGUUUGAGAAGAAAGCAAUUGAAAAUAGAGUUGAAGUAUGGACGGACAGAGGUGUCGAAGAUCCGUCGUUACGUCGACAGUCCGUUGGUCAGGUCGUCAACAUGAGACACAUUGUUGGACUGAUUUUAAUUAUUAAGUAUCUAUUUAUGUGUAGGAUUCUUUUGUUAUAAAUAGAACCAAAAACCUUGUUUUUGGGGUUAGACUCUUUGUUUUUUUAGGAUUUGUUAUAUUUGUUGUGGAAUAUUGGGUUAUGGAAACCACUUCAUUUUUCUAGAAUCAUUUAUUAUAUUAUCUUCUUGAAUUCAAGUGAUUUUCUUGAUUUUCUUCAAUCUCACAAAUAUAUGUACAUAAAUUUUUUUCUAAUUAAUAUGAAUCGGUUAAUUAUGAACAAGGGUAACUAAAUCUAUAACUAGGAUUGUGGAAACCGUGGGUAAUUAAAAAAGUAAAACUAACUAAAAUAAUAAUUCUCGAAGAGUUUCUUGCAUGUAUUUAUAAUUCUUUUGUUUAGAAGUCUUUUUAACGAGUGCACACAUUAGAAGUCACCUCAUGGCUACUUUCUGGACAAAGGAGGUACAUAAUAAGAAAAGAAUUAUCAACGUUGAUUUAGUAUAUACUGUUUAAUAGGCUAGUGUUGAUUGGUCCGAAGUAAUAUCUAAGCCAUACAUCGAUUAUGAUGCUUAAUAUGAGGUAAAAGGUAAAGUUUAGUAAAGUACACAUAUAUAGCCAGACCAAGGUGCGGAGUGAAAUCCACUAGUUGUCGGACAAAGGAAUUAGGGAUACAUAACUUACCACUUUGCAUGCAAGAUACUAGGAUAGAGUUUUUAUAGCUAGGGUUACUGCAUUACGAACUUAUAGGUAAAUCUUACACCCUGGUUUCUCUCAUCAUUUGAUAAACAUCAAAUAUUUGAACUAGCUAGUUGUUUGCUAAGACUUAAUUAAUUACUUUUGUUACACAAAAUCCCCCUUUUAAUUAUUUUUUUUCUGGAAAGGACUUGACUAAAUAGAAGUAAUCAUAGAUUUAAGUUAAGUCUAAAUCAUUUUCCUCGUGGAAUCGACCCCAACCUAACAUUUGGGUUCUUUACUUGAUACGAUCGCUUAUACUUAUUUAGGGAAGUAUAGUUUUAGCGUAUCAAAUUUUUGUGCCACUGCCGAGGAAAAUUGUUUUUAUAUUAACUUUAAGCACAAUACCGAAAUUUAGUCAACAAUUUUCUAAUUUUUCUUUUUCUUGUCACUUGCAUGUCUAGCUUUAGUGUAUGUCAAGUACACAGAGUAAAGGAGAACCAAUACUUCCAGUUGAUACAGAACUUAACUGAAUAUUUCACAGAAUGAACAUUCAAUAAAAUCUUUCAUAUAUCGAACAUGAGAUCAGCCCGCAAUUUCCCUCGCCAGUUGAUGCUCAUAAUUGAGUGGUUUUUGAUAACCCUGUUGACGGUAAUCCGAGGAGGCAAUGUCACGCCCCACGCCUUCAAGAGUAAUAUAGGGGAAAUGGUAACAUCACUGACUCUGAUGGACCACUUGUCCUACCUCCUCUAACACAUAGUCAUACUUUUGAGGUAACUAGUAGUUUGAUGCAGACGCUCAAUGCUAGAAGUUUGUUUUUGGGGAUACCAUAUGAGGAUCCACAUGCUCACAUCACCAAAAUAUGUUUGGUGUGUAAUAGUUGUGUAGGGAGGCAAGAGAUAGACAUGUAUUUAAUUGGAUUAAGGGUGUUCCAUCUCUCUCUGACGGGGGAGGCGACAAUUUGGUUUACUAGAGUUUCCCUACAAUUCAAUCUAUACUUGGGAGAAAUUAAGGGAUGCGUUCCUAGCAAGGUUUUACCCGGUUUCUAAAAAUUUAAACCACAAAGAUAUGGUUAAAAACAUUGUGGCAUAACCAGGGAAGUCAGUAAGCAUUCCUUGGGAAAGGUUCACCUCAUUCUUAAUAAGUGUCCCAAACCACCUCAUUGAUGAUGAGUCACUGAAAGAGUACUUCUAUUAGCGGAAAGAUGAUAAUAAUAAAUAAGUGCUUGAUAUGAUUGUGGGUGGUUCUUAUGGGGAGUGUACUCAUUCAGACAUAUCUGAAAAGUUAAAGAAAAUCACCCGAAAUAAUAAAAGUUGGAGCACUAGGAAGUCGGAUACUGGGAGAAACACUAUUGCAGUGCGAGCUUGACAUAAUCUAGCGGCAAAUGAGAUUCAUGAAGUGAUGGAUGAAAUGAUAACUGAGCUUAGGUUAGUGUUAAAAUAUGUCACGGGGGGUGCAGAAAAGGUAAAUGCGGUGAACUAUUUGGCUAAACCACCACCACCGGUUGAUGAGUACGACUAUGAAGAAGAUUCUUAUGCACUUAAUGAGAAGACUGGGGGUUUUCGGCUGAACGCCCAAGUCUCAAUCCAGGAAAACUGGCACCAAGGUCAAGGAAAUCAAGGUAGGAACUAUGGGAAUUACAACCGAGAGGGUCACUAUGAUCGAGAUGGAAACUAAAACCGCAAUAACAACUUCAACCGGGGUAACUGUGGUAACAAAAAUGAUAACAGUGGGCCCUAUGGUGGUGGUAGUAUGGCGCGAGUUGAGGAUAUGUUGCAUAAUAUGAGGAGGAGGUUUGAUGAUAGUGAUGAGCACGCCAAGGAUUUAAGAGGUGAUUUAGCAAAUAUUGGGCAAAAGGUUGAUGCACAUGCGAUCGCAAUCAAGCAUCUUGAGUUGCAAAUGAACCAUUUGUCUUUUACUUUGAAUCAACGCCAAUCACGUACUCUUCCUAGCAAUACUUUCUAGAAUCUAAAAAAUGAUUGACUUUAUAUGAUUGUCACUACUUGAGGGGCUAAGCGGACCAUGGAUCCACCUAUGCCAUAUGGCGUCAAAGAUGAUAAGAGUGGAGAUGAUGAGUUAGAGGAAGUUAUUGGUGAGUUGGUGGAUAGAUCGGGGCAAGAAGCUGAGACACCCCAAAACGUGACCCCCAUUCCUCGACCACCACACCCGUUUUUGCAAAGAUAGGUGAAAAAGACAAAAGAUGGUAAAUACCGGUAUUUUAUUACUAUGUUGAAACAAAUUUCCAUCAAUGUCUCUUUGAUAAAAGCUCUUGAAUAAAUGCCCGGUUACGCCAAGUUAGUUAAAGAUAUGGUCACUAUGAAGAGAUCAGUUAGUUUUGAGGAUGAUGAUCGGAUGAAACACUGCAGUGCUAUUGCUACAAGGUCUCAUGGGCAAAAGAAAGCAGGUUUGGGGAAAGCAUAAAACAACUUUCCAUCAAUGUACAAUCGAAUUGUUACACUUUGCUAAAGCAUUGUGUGAACUUGGGGAAAGCAUAAAAUUCACGCCUCUCUCUACUUACAAGAAGUUGGAUUUGGGUGACCCAAUUGCGGUGCGACUAUUGAUGGAGGAGCGAUCGGUGAAGGGGCCUAUUGGGAUACUCCAUGAUGUGCUAGUAAAAGUGGAGACAUUUAUUUUUUUGGACGAUUUUGUGAUUCUUGAUUGUGAGGUGACUUUGAGGUUCCUAUUAUUCUUCAGAGACUUUUUUUUGCUACCAGUAGUGCCUUAGUUGAUAUGGACAAAGUUUACUUGAAGUUUCUCUUGAACAAUGAUGAUGAGAAUUUUAACAUUUGUAGGUCCAUGAGGCAGAAUAGUGAGCUCAAAUCGGUAUCUGUGAUAUCCUACAAAAUUGAGAGUUUGUCCGAGGUACAAAUAGAAGAGCGUGUUGGUGUUGAGUCACUAGUGGAAGUGAACAUUAAUUUUGAGAUUUAUUAUAUUGAAGAGUAUGGGUCAUUCGUUGCGGCACUUGAUGAAGGUAAUGUUCGGUUCAAACAAAAGAAAUUCCAUUUAGAUAUGAAGGAUCGCGAGUCUCCACCUGCAAAACCAUCUAUUGAGGAGGCUCCAAAAUUGAAGCUUAAUUCUCUAGUGCCUCAUCUGAGGUAUGUUUUCUUGGGGAAAGGUAACACUUUGCUGAUAAUUAUUGCAUCAAAUUUGAAUAAGCAACAAGUAGAAUAUUUUUUUGAAGUGUUGAAGAGGUUCAAGAGAGUUAUUGGGUUGACUAUUGUGGAUAUUAUUGGGAUCCCUCCCGGUAUUUGAUCACAUAAAAUCCAACUCAUGCCUCAUCAUAAGCCAAGUAAUGAGAACCAGAGAUAUUUAAAUCCACCUAUGCAAGAGGUAGUGAAGAAAGAGAUUAUGAAGUGGUUGGAUGCCGGAGUCAUAUAUCCGAUCACUGAUAGUAGUUGGGUAUGCCCUAUUUAGUGUGUUCCCAAGAAAGGGGGAAUGACUGUGGUGCCUAAUGAGAAAUAUAAGCUUGUUCCAAUGCAGCCGGUGACCGGAUGGAGAGUGUGUAUACAUUACCGAUAAUUGAAUGCAUGGACUGAGAAGGACCAUUUUCCUAUGACCUUCAUUGAUUAGAUGUUAGAUAGGCUUGUAGGAAAUGGAUGGUAUUGUUUUCUUAAUGGUUAUUCGGGUUACAACAAAAUCUUUAUUGCGCCAAAACAUGAAUUCUUGUCUAAUAAUAUGAAUUGUGUAAUUAUUAACGCGGGUAACUAAAUCCAUAACAAGGGUUGUGGGAACCAUGAGUAAUUAACAAAAUAAAACUAGAUGAAAUAAUAAUUCUCGAAUAGUUUCUUGCAUAGAUUGAUAAUUCUUUCGUUUAGAAGCCUUUUUAACGAGUGGACAUGUUAUAACUCGCCUUGUUGCUACUUGCUGGACAAUGUUUGUAGAUAAUAAGAAAAGAAUUAUCAACGUAGAUUUAGUAUAUACUAUCUAAAAAGCUAGUGUCGAUUGGUGCGAAGUAAUAACUAAUCAUACAUAUAUUAUGAUUCUUAAUAUGCGGUAAAAGGUAAGGGUUAGGAAAGUACAAAGAUGUAGCUGGACCAAGGUGCGGAUGAAAUUCAGUAGUUGUCGGACCAAAGAAUUAGGAAUACAUAACUUACAACUUUGCAUGAAAGAGACUAUAAAAGUCUGGUUAUAGCUAGGGUUACUACGUUACGAACCAAUGGGGAAUACUUACAUCCUAGUUUCUCUCAUCAUUUGAUAAACAUCAAAUAUUUGAACUAGCUACUUGUUUACCUAGACUUAAUUAAUUACUUUUGUUACACAAAAUCCCCCCUUUAAUUGUUUGUUUCUGGAAAGGACUUGACUAAAUAGAACGAAUCGUAGAUUAAAGUUAUGUGUACACCAUUUUCCUCGUGGGAUCGACCCCAAAAUAAUAUUUGGGUUUUUUUUACUCGAUACGACCGCUUAUACUUCUUUAGGGAAGAAUAUUUUUAGCGUAUCAAUUGCCUCUGUCGUUUGAGGAUGCCUUCGACAGUCUUGGCAACACUUUUUGGGUCUUUCCUAAAGGACCCUUGGAUGGUCCUUUGGGAUGUUUUCCCGGACGUUUCCAAAUAUGAUCGUAUAUGUGUUUAGAACCCCUGACACUUAUUUCAUCCAAAACAAACAUAAAAAACUCGAAGAAACAUACUUAGACACACAAGGACAUUUCAAGGCAACACUUUUGAACGUCAUGAAAGUUCUUGGACGUUUGACGUCCAAACUCCAUUAAACUCGAACACUGACUAUAUAUUCUAUAAUAAAUCAUUUAAAGACCUUAAAACAUCAUGAAUCAAAUAUAAAAACAUAGAACCACAAAUGAGACAUAUAGGUAACUUAAUCAUCACUUAAAGUUUGACUUCCAAUGCACCUAACCUCUUAGUCACUUCCUCUAUAACAUAUAAUAGAUCUAUUUAGGACCUUAUACUAUCAAUACAAACAUGUUAAGCUAUACUUCACCUAAGUCAUUUUUGGAGUCUUACUGUCUUUAAGGGCGAUGAAACAGGUUACUUCUAGGGGUUGCUCCCCGGAUAUGAAAAAUUUGGUAUCAAAGAUUAGGUUGAAUAUCUUUAGGAUUGAUGUCUCAUUAAACCACAUCUAUGUAAGUUCUUAUUAAAAAUAGUAAAGCGCACCACAAUUUUGAAUGAGAAGUUAUAUGAUGCUUAGGAAAUUCUCUUCGUCUUGAAAAUCCAAUGUCGUUCCUCUAGUCUAUUUUAUGUGUUCUUUAACCUAAACCUUGUAUUUGGAUGUAGGUAUCAAUACGCGAAGGUUAGCCACAUGAAGACUUGAUGAAGAGAUUGCUAAUGCAGCCUUGUCAGAUGGGGACAUAAGGGAAGCCUUUUUCCAAAUGGCCCAAGUCAUUAUUGCUCAUGCACAAGCUAUCAGUACUCAAGCUAAAUUCAUGACAUCCCAAGAUAAGUAGGAAGUGGUACCCUAAGGAAACUAACAUGUUAGAACCAUGGACUCCCGUUUGAAGGAUUCCACAAGAAUGAAUACCUCUACUUUCUAUGUGUCCAAAGUGGAGGAAGACCACAAACAGUUCAUUGAUAAAGUCUACAAAAUCCACUAUGCUAUGAGGUUGACUACUAGUGAAAAGGCCGAGUAAGCAAACUACAAACUCAAGUAUGGACGAGACCUGGUACAUCUAAUGGAGCGAUAAUAGGCCUUUGAGGGGUGGUCCGGUGACAUGGAAGAUUUUCAAGAAAGCUUUUCUUGAUAGGUUCUUUCCAAGAAAAAAAAUGGAAGCUCGGGGGGGAUAAUUCAUCAACCUUCGUCAAUGAGGUAAGAGUGUGCUUUAAUACUCUUUGAAAUUUUCUAAGUUUGUCAAAAUGUGCUCCUUCUUUGGAUUUUGACCCGAUGGAUGAGAUGAGCCACUUUGUGACGAGAGUGUCCGUUGACUUGAAAAAAGAAUGUCGUUCUGAUAUGCUACAUGAUAAUAUGAAUAUUUCUCGUCUCAUGGUUCAUGCUCAACAUGUGGAGGAGGCAAGGGUUAAUGAAGAGUAGAGAUGUCAAUAGGGCAAAGACAUUUGAUAGUGGUUCUUCUAAGGGUAGGCUUGAUAUCCAAGACAAACCUAGGUUCAAAAAGCGAUAUUCUAAUAAAGUUCCUUCCAUGUUCCCAAAAGCUAGUGAUGAUAGGGUUCCUAAGACUAAGACCCAAAAGGGAAAGAGUGGAAACUCACUUAGUGAAAAACCUACUUGUCCCAAGUGUGGUAAGGUUCAUGUAGGCUAAUUCUUAGUUGCAAUUGGUAAUUUCUUUAGUUAUGGAAAUAAUGUGGGUGUAUUCAUAGUUGGAAUGGGUAAUUUCAUUGGUUAUGGAAAUAAUGGUAAAAAAUUUAGGGAUUGCCCUAGUUUUAAGGGGCUAGACAAAGGAAGUGGGAAAGAUCAAUCAAGUUGCUCGAAUAUGGAUGGUCCAAAGAAGAAUCACUUUUAUGUUGUCCGUUCAAGGGGUGAACAAAAGAGUUCUCCCAAUGUGGUGACCGGUAUCUUACAAAUCUUCUCCAUUGAUGUUUAUGAUUUACUUGACCCGGGUGAUAUAUUAUCUUUUGUUACUCCCAUAAUAGAUUGUAAGUUUUAUAUUUUUCCCGAUGUCCUGAAUCAACCAUUUCUUGUAAUUACCCCUAUAGGUUAUUCGGUGAUUGCUAAGAUUUUCCUAUAAUGUUGUCCAAUAGAGUCACUUAUGUUGAACUAGUAGAACUAGAUAUGGUUGAUUUUGAUGUAAUUUUGGGAAUCAAUUUUUUUGCAUGAUUUCUUUGCUUCCAUUGAUAUUAGAAAAAGAAUUGUCAAGUAAAAUUUUCCAAAUCAAACCGUUUUAGAUUAGAAGGGGGGAAUACUAUUCCUAGAGGUCAUAUCAUUUCUUGUCAUAAACCUUGUAAAAUGAUCUCUAAAGGGUGUUUAUACCAUAUUGUGAGAGUCAAAUAUUUAGACUAGGAAGAUCCUCUCAUUGAGUCGGUCCCGAUAGUGAAAGAAUUUUCGGUGGUCUUCCCUAAUUAUCUUCCCGGAAUUCCUCCCUAACGAGAAAUUGAUGUUUGUGUUAACUUGCAACCCUAUACCAACCUCAUUUCAGUUCCUCCUUAUCAGAUGGCUCUAUCCGAAUUGAAAGAGUUGAUACUCAACUCAAAGACAUACUAGAUAAAGGCUUUAUUAUACCUAGUAUUUCUCCAUAGGGUUCUUCGGUAUUGUUUCUGAAGAAGAAGGAUGGGUCCCUUAGAAUGUGCAUUGAUUAUUUCCAAGGGGAAAGCUACUUUUCUAUGAUGAAGUUAUCGUAUUAUUUACUAUUGAAUGAUGCUACUAUACCUAUUAUUGGUUGAAAUUAGUUGGUUGAUGGUAAGACCAUGAUUAUGGCUUUUGAAGGAUAUUGGGUAAGUCUUUAUAAUCCUAACCUUUACUUCAUUUAUGAUGACUUGUGAGUGAUGAUGUAGUUCAACUGAAGCAUGUCUUGUGAUUAACCUAAGUAGGCAUUGGUAUGAUGUUGAAUUUAAAUAUCUUGAUUAUGUGAUUGUGAGAUUAUGCUUAAGAUAUAAUGAUAUAAGGUUUUUAUGAAGUAUAUGUGUGCUUUACUUUGAUGCAAUUAGAUUUAUUGUGUAAUCUCACAUGUUAGGGUUGUAUUGAAAGUAUGUUCUAAUGAAAUUCCUAUUGAGCUAAUGACUAUGAGUAUAAAAAGAUCUAUUCUCCAAUGACCUAAAAUAAUCUAUGAUUGUUGAAGAAAGACAAUUCAAAAUGGGACUUAGAUUAGCAGAAAGCGAACUUGACAAUGAGAGGUGUUGGCUUCCCGUGGAAGAAGAUUCACCCUAUAGUAUCAGUUGAGGUGUUGAUUCCCCUAUGAGGGUGUCACAUACGGGUUUGCCCUCUAGACGUAACCGGCGUCGUCAUCCUUCUGAACGUCUAAGACUAGCUUCUUAGUUUUAUGUUAUUACAUUCAUAGGUUUAAAAAUGAGGAAAAAUUUAAAACAUUUAUUUUCUCUACUUGGAGGUUUACGUAGACCUUUACAUACACAUAAUAUAUAUUCAUAUCGAGUAUACAUAAACCCAUCAUAUUAGGAAGUCCGGAGACGUCGGCGGGAGCCUCGGGAAGAGUUAUCUUUUCUGUUUAACAGCCUGCCCACCCUGGAAUCGGCUCAACCGGAGGUAGGGUCCAGCGGCUGGAAGAGAACCGCACGUCGCGUGGUGUCCGGUGCGCUCCCGGCUGCCCUUGAAAAUCCGGAGGACCGAAUGCCGUCCCAAAUAUGCGCGGUCUAAGGUACAAACACACAUCAGCCUUCAUAAUUAACUUUAAUAUGUAUAAAAAAAUAUUUUUCAACAAUUUUUUUAAUUUUUAUUUUUUUCAAAAAUUCUGAAAAAUUAGUAAUAAAUUAAUAAAAAAUAGGGAAAAUAUCGAAAAAAUAUGAAAUCAACUCCGAAAAUUCACAAAUAAAUAUGGUAACCUUAAUAUAUAAAAUUUAAUAAAUUUUAAUUUUUAAAAAGAGACGUAAAAAUCAAAAAAGCGUAAAAAUAAAUUAUAAAAUAAUGAUUAAAAGUUGGAAAAAUAUGGAAAUGCUCGAAAACACUUCUCAACAUGUCAAAUUAAUGAUAAGAUGCAUAUUUGCACAAACAAAAGAUGUUUCAAUAUCAUACGAACCGUAAAAGUAACGAAAAUGAUGCGAAAGAGCCACGUUAGGCGGAAACGUUGUUGAUCGAUUAAGACAGCAGGACGGUGGUCAUGGAAGUUGAAAUCCGCUAAGGAGUGUGUAACAACUCACCUGCCGAAUCAACUAGCCCCGAAAAUGGAUGGCGCUUAAGCGCGCGACCUACACCCGGCCGUCGGGGCAAGUGCCAGGCCCCGAUGAGUAGAACGAAAGUUGGGGGCUCGAAGACGAUCAGACACCGUCCUAGUCUCAACCAUAAACGAUGCCGACCAGGGAUCGGCGGAUGUUGCUUUUAGUACUCCGCCGGCACCUUAUGAGAAAUCAAAGUUUUUGGGUUCCGGGGGGAGUAUGGUCGCAAGGCUGAAACUUAAAGGAAUUGACGGAAGGGCACCACCAGGAGUGGAGCCUGCGGCUUAAUUUGACUCAACACGGGGAAACUUACCAGGUCCAGACAAUAGUAAGGUUACAUAGCCUUCUACUUUUAUUAUACAUACAUAUGUAAGAAUAUGGAAUAAAGUCUCGAUGACUCUCUCAUCUCAUACCAUCUAUACGAAUAUAACAAUGUGGGCAUAGCCCUUACAUCAAUUCAACAAGACUAUAUAUAGGUCUUACAAAAGUAAAAUAUUCAAAUAACAUUGAAAGGGAUGAUAGAGUCAAUAAACUCAUAAUAAUAAUUCAAAGUUAGAGGAUGGCAUUGCGCUCGAGUGUUGAGGACCUACCCUACUUGGAUGAAAGGAAGAAUCCAAGCCUUCAACAAUGACGCCUCAAUAACUUCUUCAACGACCAGAACCUAAAAUAUUUGGGGAAAAAAGGAAGAAAAUGAGGUUAGUACUCCACAUGUACUAAGUAUGAGACCAUAUGCACAUGUAACACCAAAACAUGUAAAAAAAAGGAACAUGUAGUUAAAUCAUGGCAUUUUACCCAUUUAAAAACUUUUGCACAACGAAUAGUUAAGGAAGUCAAAUGUAUAUCAUCAUGCUUGAAUUCAUAAUAUCAUAAACUUUAUCACCAAGUAACAUCAUCCAAAGCAUGAAUAAGAGUUAUCACAUAAAUAUAAAAUUACGGAAACAAAUCAUAAAUUUUGAUAGAGUCACCUUGAACUAUAAUUAGUAUCAUACUUCACACAAUAUAACCUCAUUUAUUCAUAAAUUCAUAUAUUUAGUAAUUAAGAGAAUUUGCAUGUUCAUAACCUUUAUAAUCAUCAUAUAAAAACAUUUUCAUUUAGCACCAUCCAUAUAUAAAACAUUAACUUCCCAAAUCUCUCAUCGAGGCAAACUAGUGCAAGGAAUAGGUAGAGUCCCAUACCCCUACCUAAGCUAAGUAAAUCCCCUCAAGUCACUUUAGUUAGUCUUUACUUCAUUAUUUUAUUUUGGUUUAGGUUACACUCACUUUAACCGACAUAGACCACAUGAGCUAAAUGUUGAAUCCGGUAUCAUAAGACCUUACACCAAUGGAAAGUGGUCUACCGGCCAAGGUGAAGCCUAAUAUAAACAUAGCUUUCUCGGGGGAUCCACUAGCUAGUAUACUAUGGUGGCAACAUAGUUUAAGGAACUAAGAGAUAGAUAUUCCCUCUACAUACAAUUUUGUUAUUGUGUCCUCACAUCAUAGGAAUCAUUGUAUACGUAUCCAUCAAAUGGGAGUCAAUAUCACUUAAAGACCUAUAGGGUAACACUUCCUCUAUCGAAAGCCAUCACCUCCCAUUGUCAAGUUCAGUCGCUGCUAAGCUAUAUCCGUCUAUUGAAAUGUCUUGAAAGCUUUAAUUGUCAAUCAUAACUUAAUUUAAUCCAUAGGGUCUACCCCUUGUAUAAUUAUCAUCAUCAAUAGCUCAAUAAGAAUUGUAUGAGUAUAAGUCCUUUCAUCACAAUUCAUAUAAGUGAGGUUAUCACUUUAGCAUUUUAUAACAUAUUAACGCACAUUGAUAGUUUUGACUAUCCAACAUACACCAUAAACAAACUAACUAUAUAUCCAAGACAUUUCAAUUAAACGUCAUACCAGCCUAUAGUCCUAGUACAAGGCAUACUCCAAAUGUAAUAUCAUGACUUAACAAGAAUUAAUCACAAUUGGAAGUAAAGAUAGAUAUUAUAUGACUUACCAAACCUUCCUCAUAGUCUAUCAUCAAGGUCUUACCAUCAACACCUAACUCAACCCAAUUUGGGGAGUAACAUUUUUCUAUAAUGAUAACCAAUAAAAUAAUAAGGUCAAUUCCAUCUCUAUAACACAACUCAUCUUUAGAUCACAACUUGAGACAAGGUACAUACACUAAUUUCACAUUAUAAUUCAUAACCUAAAUCACAUCUCAUGAACUUGAAUAAUAGGCCUAUAAUUCAUCUAACAUUUAUCAUAAUAGCACCAUAAGAAAGCAAUCUAAUCAACAACCAACUCAAUUGAAUGAUCACCAUACAAUAUAGGUCAAGAUCACUACCUAUGAUUAGGGAUAGAGGAUCAUAAUCUUUAAUUUAGACAAAAUCAUCAAUAAUUACUUUAACAAGUUGGAUUACAUGUUAAUAUACUAAAUAUAACCCUAUUAGUUCAUUAACAACUCAAUCCAUCACAUCAAUUUUGUAAUUCAAUGAAAUCCAUAAGAAAACUCAUCUUUUAUAAAUAUAAUUUGAAUGAUCCCUUUGAGGAAAGAAUCUUACCGUUUAAUAUAACCCAUACCUUAAUGUUUCUCAACAAUUUGAUGAAUAAUCCACCCUUUUUUACAGCCUCAAAACCCUAGUUCUUUCUAGCCUUCAUUGGUGAGUUCAUGUAGAGAGAGAAAUAAAAAAGAAGGAACAUAGUUUAUUUUGAGAGUUGUCUUUAGGUUAAUGAGUGUUAAGGGUAUUUAUAGUGGGGCUUAAUUAACUUAAUUAGUCUCCCUUUAAUCCCUAACUAGCUUUUAAACCACUUAAUUAAUUUAAUGAAAUCAUUUAAAAUUUAGCUGUGAAACUCGACCCUCACCGACGAAACCCCGAUCUACGGUCCAUUGGUGAGUCGACGGACAAACCCCCUUCAUCGUGCACUCUAUCAUCUAUGUCAGAGACUUUGAAAGCGAGGGAUUCCGCCAAGCUUCUCUAAAUGCGGGAUGACGGUAGCUUUGAUGCCCCGUCGAGCCACUGACACCUUGUCAACCCUCUUCCGUCGCGUGUAACAGUAGCUAGGUAAGCAAGAGCCUUCACGAAUCUUUCUAAGUGUGGGAUGACGGUGACCUUGACGCACCAUCAAGCCACACAGACCAUUGUUUAUCCCGUUAAUGCACACUGUCAGGUAGUGCUGCAUCAAACUGCAGGGGUCCUCUUCAAGGGCCCUUUGUUGGUCCCUGGGGAGGCGUACCCAAACGUUUCAAUCAUGAAACAAUUGAAAAACCCAUUAGCUACUUUUCAACCAAUUUCUUCCAUUUCCUUCUCCUAAAAUAGUUAGUCAAAAGGCUAAGCCACUCUACAUCCCUUUGAUCCAACUUCCCAGAUGUUUUGGACUUUUUGGUUUUUAAACCUGUGUUUAGACUUUAUGACCCCUAGGUUGGGCUCUACAUUGAGUUUUUAUUUUCAAGGUGUUAUAGAGAAAUACACUCUAUGGAUUCUCAUAAGAUAAGGGCUCCAAUAUCCAAUAGGCAUGUAUAGGUUUCAAUACAUAUCUCCUAGUUCUUGAACUAUUUUUCCACCAUAGGAAUACUAUCUAGUGGAUCCACCUUAGAUGCUAGGUAUAUAUUUGGUUCUACUUUGACUGGUAGACCACCUUCUUUCGGUGUAAGGUUUUGUAACAACGAAUUCAACACUUUGCUUUUAUGGUCUGUGUCGGUUAAGGCAAGGUUUACCGAAAGUAAAAUUAAUUAAUGAUGUGAAAACUUACAUGGAUAACUUAAGGGUUUUGCUUAGUUUAGGUAGGGGUAUGGAAAUCUACCUAGGCAAUGCAUUAGUUGGCUUUGAGGGAAGUCCUAGAAGGUUGUUAUUAUGUUCUUAUGAUCUUAUAAAGUGAAUUGUAUGUGUAUGCUUACUUUGCAUGUUGAUGAUCCUAAAUAAUUUUUGUUUAAAUUAUGAAUAUGUAUUUUGUCUAUAUUGCUAAAUAUGAUGAUGAUUACUAUUGAUUCUAUGUUAUGUAGAGUUAGACCUUACUUGUGAUCCUUUGUUUGGUUUAGUUGAUUAAUUAAGGUUAUGGGCUUUGCUUGGUCAUUUAACUUGUAAGAUAAAGGGUGGGUUAUGAGUUUGGGUCCUUCUUAUGUGAUAAGGUCAUAGAAUUUAUACUUGUUGACUUGACUAUUACUUAUUGAGGUUUGUCUUGUGUUGUACAUGGGUUGGAUUUAAUAAUUAUCAAAUUGUUUUUCUACAUGGGUUCAUGAUUGUGAAUAAGGAUUUUCAAAGUACCUUAGCAUGGUUUUGAACAAAUAUUCCUUUUAGCAUGAUUUCAAUUGUGUUAUAUUCAUAUACUCUUACUUAGUGCAAGUGUGUACUAACCCAUCUUUUGUGUUUACUACAUAUGUAGGAUCAGUCUAUUUAGCUUAUAGAAGGGCUUUAAAGACUACUUGGAUAAUUCCCAAGUGUUCGAUAGGUCUUCAAUUUCCUAGGACAACUCCAGUAUCUUUGUAGUCGAUAUUGUGUAGUCUUAAAGACAAUUUAGUUCAUUCUCUUUUUUUAUUCACUUUUUAUCUGCCUAUAUCAGGCCUUUAUUAUAAUGAAGUAUGGGCUGAACCCAAUAUGUUGUAUUUGAUAUGGAUGGUUUAAUAUGAGAUGUAUUGUAUAAUUCUUAUGAAUCUAUAUUCCUAUACUGUGUAUGUGAAAUAAAAGUAGAAAACUAUGUAAUCUUCUUAUAUGAGGAGUUUAUGUAUACUCGCUAAAUAUAUUAUGUGUAAGCGAGAGGUCUAAGUAAACCUCAAUGUAGAAGUAGUUAAAAAGUUUUAAAUUUUCCACUAAUUUUACCAAUGAAAUGUAAUAACGAAUGUUACGAGGUUAGUCUUAUUCCUCUUCGAAAACGACGACACUAGUUACUUCUUAGGGGUGCUCCCUUGAUGUGACAAACAUGGUAUCACAACAUGAAUUUUCUUAGAAAUCCAAUGUCAUGACUCUAGAGUCUACUUUAUAACUGCUUUCACCUAAAUCUUGUAUUGUGUUUAUGGGUACGAAUACUCAAAAUAUAACUGCCCAAAGACUUGAUGAAGAGAUUACUAAUGCGGGAGUUCCUCCCCAUGGUAAUCAAGAUCCUCCUCUUGAAGAAGUUGGUAAUACGGAUCAAGCCAUGACAAUUCCUCAGGCCUUGUCAGAUGGGGACAUAAUGGAAGACUUUCUAUAAAUGGCCCAAUCCAUUACAACUCAAGCACAAGCCAUCACUAGUCAAGGUCAAACCAUGACGUCCACUAUUAACCGUGAGGUGGUACCCUAAGAAAACAAACAUGUUAGCACCAUGGCCAAGGAUGAAUCCCCCCACUUUAUAUUGGUCAAAAGAAGAGGAAGACCCCCAAAAGUUCAUUUAUUAAGUCUAAAAAAUCCUCUAUGCUAUGGGGUUGAAUAAUAGUGCAGAGGUCGAGUUAGCCACCUAUCAACUCAAGGAUGUGGCCCAAACUUGGUACAUCCAAUGGGGAUAUAAUAGGCCUUUGAGGGGUGUUCGGUAACAUGGGAGAUUUCAAGAAGGCUUUUCUAUAUAGGUACUUUUCAAUAGAAAAUAUGGAAGCGAAGGUGGAAGAAUACAUCAACCUUCGUCAAUAACGUAUGAGUGUGUUUGACUACUCUUCAAAAUUUACUAAGUUGUUAAAAUAUGCUCCUUCUUUGGUUUUCGACCAGAGGGAUAAGAUGAUUCGCUUUUUGACGAGAGUCUUCGAUUACUUGAAAGAAGAAUAUCAUUCGGCUAUGGUACCUGAUAAUAUGAAUAUUUUUUGUCUCGUGGUUCAUUCUCAACAAGUCGAGGAGGCAAGAAUUAAAAGGAAGAGUAGAGAUGACAAUAGGGAAAAGUAAUUUGAUAGUGGUUCUUCAAAAGGGUAGGCUUUAUAUCCAAGACAAACCUAUGUCCAAAAAGAUAUUUUCUAAUCAAGUUCCUUCAAAGUUCCGAAAAACUAGUUAUGAUAGGGUCAUGUGGGCGAAUUCUUAGUGUGAACAGGUAAUUUCUUUGGUUGUUGAAAGAAUGGUCAGAAGAUUAGGGAUUUCCCUAAUUUUAAAGGGAAAGACUAAGGAAGUGGGAAAGCUCUAGUAAGUAGUUCGAAUGUUGAUGGUCCAAAGAAGAAUUACUUUUAUGCUCUCCAAUCAAGGGUUGAAUAAGAGAGUUCUCCCGAUGUGGUAACCGGUAUUUUACUAGGGUUCUCUAUUGAUGUUUAUUCUUUACUUGAUAUGGGUGCUACAUUAUCUUUUGUUACUCCCUUUAUAGAUAGUAUGUUUGACAUUUUGCCCGAUGUCCUAAAUAAACCAUUUAUGGUAACUAUCCCGGAAGGUGAUUCGGUUGUGGGUAAGAGGGUAUAUAGAAAUUUUCCUAUAAUGCUAUCAAAUUGAGUUACUUAUGUUGAACAAGUAGAACUAUAUAUGGUUUAUUUUGAUGUCAUUUUUGGAAUGGAUUGUUUGUGUGAUUACAUUGAUUCCAUUAAUUAUCUCUAAAGGGUUUGAAUAUCAUAUUGUGAGAGUCAAAGAUUUAGACUCCGAAGUUCCUCCAGUUGAGUCGGUCCUCGUAGUGAGGGAAUUUUCGGAGGUCUUCCCUAAUGAUCUUACCGGAAUUCCUUCUUAAGGGGAAAUUGAUUUUAGUAUUGACUUGCUACCGGAUACCAACCCCAUUUCUAUUCAUCCUUAUUAGAUGGCUCCAGCUGAAUAGAAAGAGUUGAAGGCUCAACUCAAAGACUUACUAGAUAAAUACUUAAUUAGACCUAGUAUUUGUGCAUAGGGUGUUCCGGUAUUGUUUGUUAAAAGAAGGAUGGGUCACUUAGAAUGUGCAUUUAUUAUCGCCAACUCAAUAAACUCACUAUCAAGAACAAGUAUCCUCUCCCUCAGAUUGAUGAAUUGUUUGAUCAACUCCAAGGGGAAAGCUACUUUUCUAAGAUUUACUUGAGGUCGGGAUAUCACCAACUUAGGGUGAGAGGUGAAGACAUACCAAAAAUGUUAUUUUGAACUAUAUAUGGCCACUUUGAGUUUCUAGUGAUAUAUACUCGCUAAAUAUAUUAUGUGUAAGAGAGAGGUCUAAUUAAACCUCAAUGUAGAAGUAGAUAAAAAGUUUUAAAUUUUCCCCUAAUUCGACCUAUUAAAUGUAGUGAACAUUUCUAAGAGGUUAGUCUUAGUUCUCUUCAAGGACGACGACACCUGUUACUUCUAGGGGGUGCACCCCGGAUGUGAGAAAAAUUUAGCAUAUUCAUUGAUAUAAAACUAUUCCCAAUUGAUUGCAACCACCGAUUUCUCUACCUUAGCCCAUAAUCAAAUACAUCCCAGGAACUAUCUCUAUACUUGUUACUUUCGUGUUAUUUGUUGUUGUAGUUGACAAUUACAAUUACCCCCCUCCCCAGGCUAUUUGACAUUUGUGUCACCCUAAUCUUUAAUAAUGCGUUUAUGCGAAUAUGUUUUUUACCUAUAAUUGACUUGAGAAUAUUCUCACGAGGCUAUUUAUUCUCAAAUAUGUACAACAUUCUAUGAGAAUGAUCCCAACUCACUUAGCUAGGUUACAUUACUAACUAACGAUAGUUUACUCUUAGUAUCUGAUGAAGUAUCUAUAAAACAUUGUUAAUCACUAUGUCCAUGAAGCCGUUCGAGACCCAGAUAGGUUAGAUUUCGUCUCAUUUAAACUCAAAACAAUAAGGAGGUUUCCUAGUGAAACUAUGUCAGCCCCAAGAAUGAAGUUUGAGUGAGGACUUGCGUCGUGCCACAACUUUAACUAAGGCGCUUCUUGGGAGGCAACACAAUUUUUUAUUUGCUUUUUUUAUUAAAUUAAUUGUGUGUUGAUCUUUUCAGGUUGAAGUGUAAAAUAUGUUUGAAAAGUGCAUGUAGCCAAGAAAAAGGCUGCGACUAACUAAAAUUAUCAGCGAGCCUGAUAUGACAGCAAACUACAUAUUUUUUUUUAUCAUUAAUUACUGUCAUGACCCAAACAGGGUUGCGACUGGCACCCACACUUACCCUCCUAUGUGAGCGAACCAACCAAUCUUAACAUUUCAAUAUAAUAUCAACAGAAAGUAAUGCGAAAGACUUAAACUCAUUAAAUAAAGACCAAUUCAUUAACUUCUAAAAUUCGACAUCUAUUAUUCCCCAAGAUCUGGAAGUCAUCAUCACAAGAACAUCUACGAUCAAAUGACUAAACUAAGAGUAUUCUAAAAGCUAAAAAUAUAUAAGAAGCUAGUCCAUGCCGGAAGUUCAAGGCAUCAAGACUUGAAGAAGAAGAUCCAGUCCAAGCUAGAAGCAUUAGCUCACCCUGAAUUUCCGAUGUAGUAAGACUGGCUUGAAUUACUGUUGAGUUGAAGACGAUGGCACGUUUGCUGCACUCCACAAAUAAACAAGAAGAGAACAUAAAAGUAGGGGCCAGUACAAAACACGGGUACUGAGUAGAUAUCAUCGGCCAAGUCAAAAUAGAAAUCAAUAUAUACCGGGUAAUAUCAUAAAAUUAACUACAAUACUCAACACGUAGCAACAACAAAUAUUAUAUCAUUAACAAUUACCGUCAAGUUCACACAUGAGGACUCAAGCCUCGAUACCAUACUCAUUUGGGAAUCAUGUUCAUUAGAUUGAGUAUAUUAACAUCUUUCAAGAUUCAUUAUCUUUAUUUCUCUUGUGUCGGUACGUGACACUCCGCUCCCUCAAUAUUCAUUAAUCCUCUUGUGUCGGUACGUGACACUCCGAUCCCCUAAAUCUAUGUGUCGGUUCGUGAUACCCGAUCCCCUAAAUCUACGUGUCGGUUCGUGACACCCGAUCCCCUAAUACUACGUGUCGGUUCGUGACACCCAAUCCCCUAAUACUACGUGUCGGUUCGUGACACCCGAUCCCCUAAUACUACGUGUCGGUUCGUGACACCCGAUUCCCUUAUUCUACGUGUCGGUUCGUGACACCCGAUCCCCUAAUACUACGUGUCGGUUCGUGACACCCUAUCCCCUAAUUCUACGUGUCGGUUCGUGACACCCGAUCCACUAAUUCUACGUGUCGGUUCGUGACACCCGAUCCCCUAAUCUCCUUCCAUCAAUUCAUCAAGCCUUCUUUCUUACCAAGGCAUAAUCAAUCCCAUUAUUUUAGUUCAUCACGCCUUCUUUUAUACCAAGUCCUCAUUAUUAACAAAGAGAUUAAGAUUUUGCAAGAUUUGGGAUUCAAUAACUUCAUCAUGCUUAAUAUAAUCACAAUUAUAUAAUCACGUUCAUGUAUGCAUACAAUUAAGCACAUAGCAGGGUUUACAAUACUACCAAUACAUAUCAUUCUCUAUUAAGACUUUACUAUGAAAGCAUGAAAACCAUAACCUACCUCCACCGAAGAAUUGCGAUCAACAAGUUAUCUUCUCAAAAUCCAUGUUAUCCUCUUCUUUUCUCUUUCUUUUUAUGUUUUCUCUUUGUUCUUUCUAUUUUUCUUAUUCAAACCCUCUUUCUUUUACCCUAAUUAACAUAUAAUCAAGAAUAAAAGAUGGCAAUAAUGCCUCACUAAUUAACGUAAGGUUACCUCUUUUAACCCCCAAGUAAUUAGACUUAUUAACAUUAACCCACUAACUUAAUAAUUAAGGCAAGAAUAGUCAAAAACGUCCCUUAAAACGUAUCAAGAAAUCCGACCCAGACUGGGAUUUCGCAGUCUGUGACGGCCCAUCGCACCUGCGACGGUCCGUCCUGCUGCCUGUCACAUAGUUCAGAGACUCAAUUUCUCUAAAGAAUCUGUGACGGUCCGUCACACCUGUGACGGUCCGUCCUGCCAUUCCGUUACGAAGUUCAGAGAGUCGAUUUCAGUACCCAAUUUUUAGUUUUUCUAAGUGUUUUGAAACGAGACCCUGCGACGGUCCGUCGUGCCCAUGACGGUCUGUCGUGGGGUCCGUCGCCUCAGCCUGUUUUUGCAGAAAUAAAAUCUGCUGCUCAAAACGACUAAACAGGUCUUUACAAUAGAUACCAAUUUACCCAUCUUUCAUCCCCGAACGAUCACAAGAAGGAAAACAAGGGCGAAAAGGAGUACCUGAAUCUGUAAACAGAUAUGGGUAUUUUUCUCGCAUAUCCACCUCCUUCUCCCAUGUGGCUUCUUCAACGGGUCGAUUUUUCCAUUGAACUUUGACGGAUGCAUUCUCCCUUGAUCUCAACAUGCGAAUUUCUCUAUCUAGAAUGGCAACAGGUUCCUCCUCAUAAGACAAAUUCUCAUCAAGCAAAACUGAAUCCCAACGGAUAAUGUAAUUUAAAUCCCCAUGGUAUCUUUUCAACAUCGACACAUGGAAUACCGGAUGCACUCCGGACAUCCCUGGAGGCAAGGCUAACUCAUAAGCCACCUCCCCUACUCGCUUAAGUACUUCAAAGGGACCAAUGUAUCUUGGACAUAGCUUACCCCUUUUACCAAACCGCAUCACCCGUUUCAUGGGCGAAACCUUCAGCAAGACUUGUUCACCCUCCCUAAACUCCAAGUCUCUAAUCUUCCGAUCUGCAUACUCCUUCUGUCUACUUUGAGCCACUAGAAGCUUUUCUUGAAUAGAUUUCACCUUCUCCAUUGAAUCUCUCAGAAGAUCAGUACCCCAAGGUCUAACCUCGAACGCAUCAAACCAACGAAUGGGGGACCUACAUCUCCUACCAUACAAUGCUUCAAAUGGAGCCAUAUCAAUGCUCGAGUGAUAUCUAUUAUUGUAUGAAAAUUCCGCUAAGGGUAAGAAGCUAUCCCACUGACCACCAAAUUCUAUCACACAUGCACGAAGCAUAUCCUCCAACACUUGAAUCGUUCGCUCAGACUGACCAUCGGUAUGAGGAUGGAACGCAGUACUAAGGUCCAACCUAGUACCCAAUUCCGCAUGUAAUGUUUUCCAAAACAUAGAAGUAAAUUGUGUACCUCUAUCUGAUAUGAUGGAUAGUGGAACCCCAUGCAAUCGAACGAUUUCUGAGAUAUAGAUCUUGGCUAACUUCUCGGCAUUGUAAGUCACCUUAACCGGAAUAAAAUGAGCUGACUUAGUUAACCUAACAACAAUCACCCAAAUAGAGUCAUACUUACCCAUUGUCCUUGGAAGACCAACCACAAAGUCCAUUACAAUUCUUUCCCACUUCCAUUCCGGAAUGGGCAUUCUCUGAAGUGUUCCUUCGGGCCUUUGGUGUUCGUACUUUACUUGUUGACAGUUUGGACACUUGGCAAUAAAGUCAACAAUAUCACGCUUCAUUCUACUCCACCAAAAGUGUUGCGUUAGGUCACGAUACAUCUUUGUUGCACCCGGAUGUAUAGAAUACCUUGAACUUUGAGCCUCUAUCAGCAUAGUGUUGAUCAAAUCAUCGACGCGGGGUACACAUACCCUUCCCUUGAUCCUCAGAACACCUUCCUCAUCGAUUUGUGCUUCCUUAGCCUCUCCUCGCAAUACCUUAUCUUGAAUUCUGGCGCAGUUUCUCAUCAUCAGACUGUCUUCCCUUAAUCUUGUCAAGAAAGGAAGAUCUUGCCUCCACAGAAGCCAACAAUCCUCCCUUCUCAUUUACUUCUAAUCUCAUAAGGUCGUUAGCCAGAAUCUGAACUUCUCUAGCCAAUGGACGUCUAGAAACUUGAAAGUGAGCUAGACUUCCCAUGCUUCCCGCUUUUCUACUUAAAGCAUCUGCCACAACAUUCGCUUUUCCCGGAUGAUACAAGAUAGUGAUAUCGUAGUCCUUUAGUAACUCCAUCCAUCUCCUCUGUCUUAAGUUCAAAUCUUUCUGAGUAAAGACAUACUGAAGGCUACGAUAAUCCGUGUAGACCUCACACUUAACCCCAUAUAAAUAGUGUCUCCAUUGCUUUAAUGCAAACACUACCGCGGCCAAUUCCAAAUCAUGAGUUAGAUAGUUACGUUCAUGCGCUUUUAAUUGUUUUGAAGCAUAAGCAAUCACAUUCUUCUCUUGCAUUAGCACUGCACCCAAACCCGAAUAGGAUGCAUCACAAUAGACAAUGAAAUUCUUACCUUCCACUGGCAAGGUAAGAAUGGGUGCGGUAGUCAACAAAGUCUUGAGCUUCUGAAAGCUUUCUUCACACUCAUCCGACCAUACAAAUGGAACAUUUUGCUUAGUCAAGUUCGUCAGUUGGGAAGCAAUAGCAGAGAAUCCCUUGACAAAUCGGCGGUAGUAGCUAGCUAACCUAACAAAGCUCCAUAUUUCUGACACAUUAGUAGGUCUUACCAAAUUCUUUACUGUCUCAAUCUUAGAUGGAUCCACCAUCACUCCCUCCUUAGAGACCACGUGUCCCAAGAAGGACACUGAAUCUAGCCAAAACUCACACUUGGAGAAUUUGGCAUAAAGUUUCUUCUUCCUCAGCAACUCUAACACCAUUCUCAAAUGCUCCUCAUGUUCCUUCUUGCUCUUUGAGUAUAUCAGUAUAUCAUCAAUAAAUACGAUCACGAAGAGGUCCAAAUAUGGCUUAAAAAUCCCGUUCAUCAAGCUCAUGCACGCAGCAGGGGCAUUCGUAAGACCAAAAGACAUCACUACAAAUUCGUAAUGCCCAUACCUCGUUCGAAAGGCAGUCUUUGGCACAUCCGUUGCCCGUAUUUUCAAUUGAUGAUAACCGGAUCUCAAGUCAAUCUUAGAGAAGACACAAGCACCUUGUAACUGAUCGAACAAGUCAUCAAUGCGGGGAAGAGGGUACUUGUUCUUUAUGGUUACCUUGUUCAACUGCCGGUAGUCUAUGCACAUCCGAAAACUCCCAUCCUUCUUUUUCACAAACAAAAACGGAGCACCCCAAGGGGAUGCACUUGGUCUAAUAAAGCCUUUGUUUAACAACUCUUGAAGUUGGGCUUUUAACUCUCUUAACUCCGCGGGAGCCAUUCUAUAAGGGGGUAUCGAAAUGGGGCGAGUACCCGGUUCAAGGUCAAUACAGAAAUCAAUAUCCCUAUCUGGUGGCAUACCAGAAAGAUCUGCAGGGAACACAUCCAGAAACUCACGGACCACCGAAACCGACUUAAUCGAAGGUACUUGGGUAGUUUCAUCCUUGAGAUGUGCCAAGAAAGCUAAACACCCUUUACUAACUAUUUUCUUAGCACGAAGAAAGGAGAUGAUACGCACCGGAUUGGAAGUGUAGUCACCCUCCCACACUAACGGAUCUGUCCCAGGCUUGGCUAACGUCACCGUUUUAGCAUUACAACACAAGAUCACAAAUUGCGGAGAAAGCCAAGUCAUACCCAGAAUUACAUCAAAAUCAGCCAUUUCUUAGAUAACCAAAUCUACAUAAGUGUUGCUCCCCUCAAAGUUCACCAAACAAGACCUAUAUACCUUUUCAACUACCACAGACUCACCCACCGGAGUAGAAACACGAAUAGACAUAUCAAGUAAUUCACAAUGUAAGUUUAGACCAUUAGCAAAUGAGGAACAUACAUAAGAAAAUGUGGAUCCAGGAUCAAACAAUACAGAAGCCAUGCAAUCACAAACCAGAAGAUUACCUGUGAUGACAGCAUCAGAUGCCUCCGCUUCAGUCCGCCCAGGGAAAGCGUAACAAUGGGCCCUAUCGUUUGUCUGUCCAUUGCCCCUAACAUGUUGUGAUGUAGUGGCUCUAGUUUGCCCAUCACCUCGACCAUUUUGGUGACCACCAUUACCUCGACCACCACGUCCUCCAGAAUAACGGCCUCUACCAUGACCACCUCUACCUCUAGCCAUUGGGGGUCUAUAACUCUGUUUGGGACAAUUCCUCCUAAUAUGUCAAGUCUCCCCACAUCCAUAACACUCUCUAGAGUCAAGCAUAGGCCUCUCAGAGAAGUGUUGACCGGUAUGAGGUGGACCCCCAACUACAGUCUGUAGCGAAGACUGAAUUGGUCGAACUGAGUAACCUCCGGAACCCUGUCCUCUAGAGUAAGAACCAUUAAACUCACCUCCCUUUCAAAAUCUCUUUGAUGUCGAUGCCAUGGUGAAUUCAUCUGGCUUCACUCCUUCCACCUCUACCACAAAAUCUAACACUUCUUGGAAGGAUUUUACCGUAGCCGCUACCUGUUAGGCUGAAAUCCGCAACUCUGACCUCAACCCCUUCACAAAACGACGAAUCCGCUCUUGUGGACUGAAACAAAGUUGGGUGGCAUAUCUGGAUAGUGCACGAAACUUAGCCUCAUAUGCAUUGACCGACAUCCUACCUUGCUCUAGGCUCAAGAACUCAUCCCUUUUCCUAUCUCUCAAUGUCCGAGGGAUAUACUUCUCCAUAAACAAGCUAGAGAAUGACGCCCAAGUCAUAGGUGGUGCUUCUGUUGGUUGACACUCAACAUGUGACCGCCACCACAUUUUGGCGUUCCCUUAAAACUGAUAACUCACGAACUCAAUACCAAACCGUUCUACAAUACCCAUCUUGUGUAGUAGCUCAUGAUAGUCAACCAGAAAAUCGUAAGCAUCCUCAGAUUCAAUACCCUUGAAGACUGGAGGUUUCAAUUUCAAGAACUUACUGAAAAGUUCAUGCUGAUCAUUUGUCAUUAUAGGCCCAGUAGUCAGACAUGGAAACGUGCCUAUAUCUAAUGAGGCAUCCAUACGAGGAGCCAUAGUGGCUGCAUGUUGUACCUCUGAAACCGGAGGUGUUGGUGCAGAAAACACUGGAGGUGCCUGACCUUGAUCAGACAACCCACUGAGAUAGGCGAGAACCUGAUUGAUCAUCUCUGGGGUAGGUUGGGGUGGCAAUCCCUCAUUCUGCACUUGUUCAUUUUCCCCAUCCUCCCCUUCUCUUAUUACUUCCUCAGUCGGUGGAGGAGUCACUGCCGUAGUAUCAGAUGGGCUAGGUGCUCGUCCUCUUCCCCUAGAGGACGUCCUCCCACGACCUCUACCACGGCCUCUUGCCGCUGCUCUUCCUCGAGCUACAGCCCCACUGGCUGGCUCAGACGCACCCUGUCCCGCUGAUGCUGGUGUUGGUGUUGGCGUAGUCGUUGCUCUAGUUCUAACCAUCUGCGAAAUAGAGUGAAGAUGAUCAGAUACCAAUUUGUAUCACCUAGAUACCAAUUGGACUCAAGUAAUAGCACGAAAUAAGAUAGAAAGAAUGGAAUUUUCCUAAAGUCUUAUAGCCUCUCAAGGAAAAGUAAAGGCGUCCCCCUACCGUUCCUUAAGAUUCUACUAGACUCGUUCUUGUGUGACGAGAUCAACGAACCUAAUGCUCUGAUACCAAGUUUGUCAUGACCCAAACCGGGUUGCGACUGGCACCCACACUUACCCUCCUAUGUGAGCGAACCAACCAAUCUAACCUUAACAUUUCAAUAUAAUAUCAACAGAAAGUAAUGCGGAAGACUUAAACUCAUUAAAUAAAGACCAAUUCAUUAACUUCUAAAAUUCGACAUCUAUUAUUCCCCAAGAUCUGGAAGUCAUCAUCACAAGAACAUCUACGAUCAAAUGACUAAUCUAAGAGUAUUCUAAAAGCUAAAAAUACAUAAGAAGCUAGUCCCUGCCGGAAGUUCAAGGCAUCAAGACUUGAAGAAGAAGAUCCAGUCCAAGCUAGAAGCAUUAGCUCACCCUGAAUUUCCCAUGUAGUAAGACAGGCUUGAAUUACUGUUAAGUUGAAGACGAUGGCACGUUUGCUGCACUCCACAAAUAAACAAGAAGAGAACAUUAAAGUAGGGGUCAGUACAAAACACGGGUACUGAGUAGAUAUCAUCGGCCAACUCAAAAUAGAAAUCAAUAUAUACCGGGUAAUAUCAUAAAAUUAACUAUGAUACUCAACACGUAGCAACAACAAAUACUAUAUCAUUAACAAUUACCGUCAAGUUCACACAUGAGGACUCAAGCCUCGAUACCAUACACAUUUGGGAAUCAUGUUCAUUAGAUUGAAUAUAUUAACAUCUUUCAAGAUUCAUUAUCUUUAUUUCUCUUGUGUCGGUACGUGACACUCCGCUCCCUCAAUAUUCAUUAAUCCUCUUGUGUCGGUACGUGACACUCCGAUCCCCUAAAUCUAUGUGUCAGUUCGUGACACCCGAUCCCCUAAAUCUACGUGUCGGUUCGUGACACCCGAUCCCCUAAUACUACGUGUCGGUUCGUGACACUCGAUCCCCUAAUACUAUGUGUCGGUUCGUGACACCCGAUCCCCUAAUACUAUGUGUCGGUUCGUGACACCCGAUCCCCUAAUUCUACGUGUCGGUUUGUGACACCUGAUCCCCUAAUACUACGUGUCGGUUCGUGACACCCGAUCCCCUAAUUCUACGUGUCGGUUUGUGACACCCGAUCCCCUAAUUCUAUGUGUUGGUUCGUGACACCCGAUCCCCUAAUCUCCUUCCAUCAAUUCAUCAAGCCUUCUUUCUUACCAAGGCAUCAUCAAUCCCAUUAUUUUAGUUCAUCACGCCUUCUUUUAUACCAAGGCCUCAUUUUUAACAAAGAGAUUAAGAUUUUGCAAGAUUUGGGAUUCAAUAACUUCAUCAUGGUUAAUAUAAUCACAAUUAUAUAAUCACGUUCAUGCAUGCAUACAAUUAAGCACAUAACAGGGUUUACAAUACUACCAAUACAUAUCAUUCUCUAUUAAGAGUUAACUAUGAAAGCAUGAAAACCAUAACCUACCUCCACCGAAGAAUUGCGAUCAACAAGUUAUCUUCUCAAAAUCCUUGCUAUCCUCUUCGUUUCUCUUUCUUUUUCUGUUUUCUCUUUGUUCUUUCUAUUUUUCUUAUUCAAACCCUCUUUCUUUUACCAUAAUUAACAUAUAAUCAAGAAUAAAAGAUGGCAAUAAUGCCCCACUAAUUAACUUAAGGUUACCUCUUUUAACCCCCAAGUAAUUAGACUUAUUAACAUUAACCCACUAACUUUAUAAUUAAGGCAAGAAUAGUCAAAAACGUCCCUUAAAACGUAUCAAGAAAUCCGACCCAGACUGGGAUUUCGCAGUCUGUGACGGCCCGUCGCGCCUGCGACGGUCGGUCCUGCUGCCCGUCAAAGAGUUCAGAGACUCAAUUUCUCUGAAGAAUCUGUGACGGUCCGUCACACCUGUGACGGUCCGUCCUGCCAUUCCGUUACGAAGUUCAGAGAGUCGAUUUCAGUACCCAAUUUUCAGUUUUUCUAAGUGUUUUGAAACGACACACUGCGACGGUCCGUCGUGCCCAUGACGGUCCGUCGUGGGGUCCGUCGCCUCACCCUGUUUUUCCAGAAAUAAAAUCUGCUGCUCAAAAUGACUAAAUAGGUCGUUACAAUUACCUCAUAAUUAUUAUUUAUAUUUGUCCAUUUUAAGCAUAAAAUUUAAUAUAAUUGUGCUACAUUGUGUAUUUUAUUAGUAGGAUUAAAUUGGUGAGGGAAUGAAGAAGUUUGUAACUAAAAUGAAUUAAAGAUGGAUGGUUGAAGAAGAAAAUCAAGCGGACAACUUAAUGGGUGAAAUUUUAUAUAAAAAUGCAUAAACAUAAAGUGCACAUUUCAAAUUUUCAACUUUCAAUUGGGAAACUUUCUGCCACGUGACAGCAAGCGAAGACAAGAGAAUUUUUUAGCCGCACGGAAAGCUCAAGCAGACAAAAUAAAGAAUUCAAUUUCUUUUAGUUUUGGAUUCCUAAUUUAAAGUGGACUUAAUUAUUGUUAGGAUUUUAUUUAUUUAUAAAUAGUCCAUAAAAUUAUUAUUUUUUGGAGGAGGGUAAGAACCAAGAAACAAGACAUAAAUAAAUUCUCUUCUAACUUUGGAGCUUUUUAAGAGCCACCGUGGAGGCCAGAGAAUUGUACUUUAUUCUUUCUUCUCCUUUAUUAUUUAGUUGUAUUCUAGAUUAUAAAAAAAUGUUUCGAUAUUGUUUUUAACCUUUCAUGAUUAACACAAACAUAUUUAUUUUAAUAAAAUUUAAUUGUGUUUUUGAGAUAAUAAGUACCUAAAUUCCACAACUAUGUCUGUGGGAACCAUGAGCGAUUAACAAAGUAUGAAUUUGAAAUAAUAAAUUCUCAAAUACGUUAUUGUAUGUAUUGAUAAUUCUUUUGCUUAGAAGUCUUUUCAACGAGUGCAUGCGUUAAAACUCGCCCUUUUGCUACUAGCCGGACCAAGGAUGUAGUUACUAAGAAAAUAUUUAUCAACAUAGAUUUAGUGGGAUACAAUCUAAUAGGCUAGUGUAAAUUCAUGCGAAGUAAUAACUAAGUCAUACAUCGAUUAUGAUGCUUAAUAUGAAGUAAAGGUAAUGCUUGGUAAAUUAUACACAGGUAGCUAGACCAAGGUACAAGGUGAAAUUCUCUAGAUGUCGAACCAAAAAUUUAGAGAUACAUAACUUAUCACUUUGCAUGCAUAAUAUUAGGGAAGAAUUACUAUUUCUAGGAUUGUCGCGUCAUGAGCUUAUGAGGAACACAUUCCUAGUUAUUUUUAUUAACUUUGAUACAAAUAAAUAAUUAGUUCAAAGCUAUUUUUCUAUUGUUUUUAUUUUUAUUUUAAUUCAAAACCCCCCAUUUCUAUAUAAUGACUAUCAAGUUAAAUAUUUGCUAUUAAUAAUAUUCUCCCAUAUGCUCUGUGGGAUCGACUCAGACUCAUAGUUGGGUAAAUAUAUUGCAUACGAUCAUUUAUAUUUCUUUCGAGAAGUAUAUUUGAACGUUAUCAAGAAUGGCACCGCUAACGGGGAAUAUGGCUUCGAAAUUUUCUGUACUAUAUAUUUUAACUUGUAUUUUUUUUGGCUUUUUGUUUCUUAGGAUUAGUUUUUAAUUUUUUUUUAUUAUUAUUAUCGAGUCAUCUAAGCUUAUAGGAGGGUGUAUGGAGAAGGAAAAUUGUAUCUAUAUUCUUGAAUUUAUUGUUCCAACAUUGAUUCCUCACUUAGGAUCCAAGAAGUCUAUAAUGUAUAUUUGUUGUUUGAGACCUUUCUUUUUGUACCACCACACCUGAGCAUAAUAGAAAAAUUGAUUAAAAAUUGGGGGUGCAAUUCAUAUCUUCAAUGUGAAAGGAAAAAUAGUAAAAUUAAUAGUGUCGCGUUGCACCGCUAAAUUAAGCACUUAUUGAGAGGCAACCCAAUUAGUAGUAUAACUUAUUGCUUUUAUUUUAUUAUUAUAUUAUUUUAUUUUAUCAGUAUCACUUUUUUAUCUUGUUUUUGCAGAUUAUGGGAAGUUUGAGUACCCAACCCAAAAAAAAGGAAAGUCGAAUGUUUGAGUUUAAGUGUGGGGUGACGACCCUUGAUAUAAAUUUAGAGAAAGUGCUACUAACUACGCUAAAGGCCUCAGGGAGCUUUCCUAACCUUUGUUUUAUAUUUUAUUUAACGCUUUCGGGAAAUAGCAUCUUUUUAAGUGUGGGGUGGAGGAAUGAAUUCCUAGUUUUUAAUGUUUUAUCGAUUUUUUUAUGGAUGGGUUCCUUGGAUUUUGUUUUUGAUUAUUUUCCUAAAGAUAGUCUCUUUAUCCCGAGUGUAUUUUAUUUAUUUAUUUUAGAAAUAAUUUUUUUUAAUUGUUAUUUUUCGAGAGAAAAGAAAUGAAUCUUUUGAGGUAUGUGAUACUUACUAUUUGGUCCUAAUUUUAAGUAGUACUUUCUUGUGAAUGCUUGAUUACUAGUGAAAUUGCAAACCUUUUGACAUCUAGGUUCAGGGUUGUGACGUUGUAUAUAGCUUAUUUUAUUUUAUAGUUUAUUGGAAUUUUGUCUCUCUUAGAAGUAGAAUUGAUCAAUCUUGAUUUAUACUUGUGCUGUGUGUGGUUAGAUUUUUUGUUUAUUCCUUGUUUUGCAUCUUAGUCUAGAACUUUCCCUACAUGUUAUUGGAGCAAAACAAAAAUGUGUUGCCUUUUUUUACGAGAUUUUAAUAGGAUUUCUUUGAUUUGUCUUAUAAAUUUUAGCCUUUUCAAAUAUUUAUCAUUAGUUAGCCCUUUUGACCUUGUGGCGUUUUGUAGGUAGGCAUAUUUGUUCCUUAACGAUUUUGUUGAAUCCCUAAUUUUUGCAUCUUGCUUCCUUGAAAAUAAUAGCACAUACUUAUUUUAGUUAUCAAUUUUGAGAAAAAAGGAUAAAUGAGUGAAAAGGUAUUUGAGGAUAGCUACAAAGUGCUUAAAAGCCCUCUUUGAAAGAAUGUGAAAAUAAAUAAAUAAUUGGAAUGUGAAAUAAAAAAAAAGAAAAAAGAAGUUAUUGUGAUGAUGGCCCUGGUCCUUCCAAGGAUAUCAUGCACCUUAACUCAUGUAAAAUACCCAAGUUGAAGGUUUCUUAUGAAGGAAAAUAUAAUUUUUUUUAAAAAAAAUGAGUAAUGACUGAAACAUUCUUGUGGUGAUGAGAAUUACUUGCGAAAUUAUUGUUGAAGAGAGGGCUGAAAAUACAAAGAAGAAAAUAUGGGUGAUCAAGUCUAAUAAUUGCAAAGUGCUUAAGGAAGUGGAAAUCGCUAUUAUAUUAUUUUUCUAUCCAUUCCCUAGCUUACGUACAACCAAUUAAAGUCCUAUUUGACUCUAUUCAAGCAUGCUUAAUUAGUGGAGAUGUAAAUAACGGGCAAGCAUAUGGUUCGUUGCACAUAUAUGUGAAUUUUAUUUGUCAGUGUGAGAGUUGUUCUUGAUAUGAAGUCCUUAAUUUAUAUUCAAUGUUUUGAACUGAGUUUGUCGACAAUUUUUUUAGGGCACUUGUUUCAUGAUAGAUAUGUGAUGUUAUUAACUUUCUUUUAUGAGAGUAGAUGAGAAAGAAUAAAUUUUAUGAGUUCAAAGUCCUUCCUUGAAGUUAGGAGGUUAGAGGUUUGUUGUUUACUUGGAUGUAUUAUAUUAUGAUUGAGAAGUCUAAUUGAUAUUUUAAAAUUGGUAUAUGACCCAAUUGUUUGUAUUAAUCAAAUUGAUGAUAUUGAUAGUAUAAGUUUUUUUAUAGAUAAGCUCUAAUGCUUGCUCGAUGACGAACAAAAGUUUAAGUGUAGGGUGUUAAUGUGAGGCUAAACUACACAUUUUUUAUCAUUAUUUACCUCACAUUUAUUAAUUAUAUUUUUCCAUUUUGAGCAUAAUUUUUAUGAAUUGUGCUACAUUGUGUAUUUUAUUUGUAGGAUUAAAUUGGUGAGGGGAAUGAAGAAGUUUGGAACUAAAAUGAAUUAAAGAUGGAAGGUUGAAGAAGAAAAUGAAGCAGACAUCUUAAUGGAUUAAAUUUUAUAUAAUAAUGUAUAAACAUAAAGUGUACAUUACAAAAUUUUCACCUUUCAAUUCGGAAACUUGGUACCACGUGGAAGCAAGUGAGGACGAGAAUCUUUGAGGCGCAUGGACAGCGAACGUAGCGGGAAAAAAAAGGGAAUUCAAUUCCAUUUGGUUUUAGAUUCUUAAUUUAAAGUGGACUCAAAUAUUUUAUUUAGGAUUUUGUUUAUAUAAAAAUAGUCCAUAAAAUUAUUAUUUUUGGGAGGAGGCCAUGAACCAAGAUACAAGACAUAAUAUAUAUUUUCUUCUAGCUUUGGAGUUUUGUAAGAGCCGCCGUGGAGGCCGGAGAAUUGUGUUUUAUUCUUUCUUCUCCUUUACUAUUUAGUUGUAUUCUUGAUUUAUAAAAAAUAGUUUAGCUAUUGUUCUUAACUUUUUAUGAUAAACACAAAUAUAUUUAUUUUAAUAAUUUUGAUUGUAUUAUUGAGAUUAUGAGUAGCUAAGCUCCACAACUAGGUUUGUGAGAAUCAUGAGAGAUUAAAAAAUUAUGAAUAGUAGAUAAGCAAUUCCCAAAAAGGUUAUGGUAUGUAUUGAUAAUGAUUUCUCUUAGAAGUCUUUCUUACGAGUGCACGCGUUAAAACUCGCCUUGAUACUAUUUAUCUAAUCAAGGAGGUAAUUAACAAGACAAGAAUUACCAACACGGAUUUUGUGGGAUACUAUCGAAUAGGCUAGUGUCAAUUUGGGCGAAGUAAUAACUAAGCCAUACAUCGAUUAUGAUGCUUAAUAUGAUGUAAAGGUAAGGGUUAGUAAAUUAUACACACCUUGCCGGACCAAGGUACGAAGUUAAAUUCUCUAGAUGCUAGACAAAGAAUUUAGAGAUACAUAACUUAUCACUUUGUACGCAUAACACUAGAAAAUAAUUGCUAUUAAUAGGAUUACCGCGUUAUGAGCUUAUGAGAAAUAUAUUCCUAGAUAUUUUUAAUAAUUUGGAUAUAAAUAAAUCGUUAGCUUAAAAUUAUUUUUCAUACUUUUAAUUUUAUUUCAAUUUAAAAUCUCUCAUUUAAAUGUAACGACUAUCAAGUUAAAUAUUUGCUAUUGAUAAUAUUUUCUCAUAUUCUCUGUAGGAUCGACCCCGACACAUAAUUGGGUAAUAUAGUUCAUGCGAUCAUUUAUAUUUUUUCCAAGAAGUAUGCAGUUGGACUCAAGAAACUCUAAGGUUGCAAUAUGUAAAACUCGGUGGGCCCAUGGGUAAGUCGGCGAAUCGCAGCACAGUUUGGCGACCCCGAUUUUGACUGUUGUUUGGACCCCCACAUUAACGAGAAGGUCCUUUAAAACUCGGUGAGGUACUGACCACUCAGCGUGUCGUCCAGUGGUUCGGCAAGCAUAAUUAAUAUGGUCGAAAGGGCAAGAAAUUGAUUGUUUUUCAUGGCCAAAGUUUUAAAUUUUCAAACUCUUUCACAUUCCUUCACUUUUUAACUUCCCAAGAUGACACGCGCAUUAUAUUUUUCUAUAUUUUCAUGUUUUCUCAUCUUUCUAGUCGUCAAUAUUUUGCUUGGAGUUCGAAAUCAUUGCCGCAUAGCAUUUCAAAUUAUGCAUUUGGUAUUGAAGGUUGGUUUUCUAAACCACAAACUUGCACUAAGCGCUUUAACUCAAUAGCAGUUGAUUGUUGUUAAUGAUGUGUGUUGGGCCUUUUGAAUUUGUUUAAGUGUGCUUGUUUGCUUGUUUUAAAUUAAAAAUAUUUCCUAAAUUGCCUAUAAUGUUGAUUUCUCGAAUUUCUUACUUUAAAUUGAUAUAAUUUUUUGGCUUGUGCUAAAUUGAGUUAGGUCAAGUAAGGUAAAGUUUUAGUAAGCAAAAAUUGUGCUAAAUAACGCACUCUAUUCGAUGAUGGAGCAUUUGAGGUAAUUCUUAAAGGCAUAAGUCAUCAAAUAGCCACUUUUGGCCAAAUCGGGAGAAGUUUGAGUACACUCGAGCUUAGGUAUUAUGGGUAUGAGUAUAAAUAUGUUGGAGUAUGUUUUGUUAUCGUUUUUGAGAGUGUCGGGGUUUAUUUUGGAAGUUAGGGUACAAAAUAGGUAUGUUGGGCCGUUGGAUGAGCUGGUCGAGCUCGUCGAACAACUUGGCAGUUCGUCUACCACAUCGCGAGAGCACACCCUAGAAGAUAUGGCACUCUGGGAGUGCGACACGAUGUAAUUGACCUCUUGGAGGUCUUGCACAAUCCUUUUGACACCAUUUAUAUCAUACAUGUAUCAAAACUAGUGCGAAAUUAAAACUUUUCACACGAAAUAUCUUGAAACAUCUAUUAUAUUAAAAUCAUACGAAAAUACUAAGUCCUAACAUAUACCAAUCUUAGACUCAAGAAUACUUGGGACACGGACCAUACAUUAUGAAUAGUGAAAUACUUAGUCUAUUACAAUAAUUUGAAUAAAAAAAGUCUAAAGAUAGUUAUGGCCUCGAGUCAAGUGAGGACAUACUUCAACUUGCUUAAAAGAAUCCUAGUUUCAAAGUUUUGCUUCAUGACACUUUUUACUGUCCACCUACACCUUUAGAUUUAACAAAAUUUAUGGAAUUAGUACAAUAGAUGUACUAAGUAUGGCAUAAUGCAUAAAAUUAUGAGAAACAGACAUUUAUGAGGAACAUGAUCUUUUUCAUUGAAACAUCAUAUUAAAAGUAUAAGAACCAUAAUUAAGUACCAAAAAUUACAAAUAGAAUACAUUACAAAAUUAUAUUCAAUUUAUAAUAAAAUUAUAGUACACCUACAACAAGCUUACAAUAUCACAUAACUACAUCAUACAAAACAUAUAAUCAUGAGACCCUCUUUAAGAUAAGAUCAUCUCACUUCCCCUCAUAGUUUACAUAUAAUAUGACAUUCUCCUCACAAAAGUUAUUAAAAGACUUAUUAAGUAAAUCAAGAAGAUAACCGACGUACCCUCUAUACAACAUCACCUAAAUAAUCCUUAAGACAACCUAAGAGAAGAUCAUGUCUAUUUUAUCAAUUUACUUUCCCUAUCUACAUUUAUUCUUAAGACUUCCCUAGGUAAGACAUGAAGUUACAAUUCCUGUGCUCCCUUCAUACCAUAACUAAACAACUCAUAAACUACUCUAGGUAUGUACUUAGUCAUUAACAUACAUUCAAACUAUAUUUAUUAUGUUUAUAAGUUCAUGAAGAGAAGUUCAAUACAUAAGGACAUUCAAGUAAUGGUCUUGGAGAAGACUUAGGGUCUCACUCACUAACAUCUUCAAAUCCUAAUCCUGCAAUGCCUAGAGAGAGUCCCAUACCACCACCUAAACUUCAUAAAACUUCUCCAACACUAGUAGGCAUCCCAUAUGAUGAGAAUAGACAAUAAUUGACAUAGACCAUACUAGAUAUGCAUGGAAUCCAGAGUCAUGAACCUACUCCGAUGGAGGGUUGUUCUACUAGUCAAUGGAAGAAGUAGCACACAUCCCAUGUUCGCACAUGGUUAAUGAAUAUCACUACUAGAAAUUUGAUCUACUUUCACAGUUCAAUUACUGGUGCAAUAGACAUUACUACCGUAGCCAUAGGUCUAAGGCUACGAUUACGUUAACCACUACAAGAGAUCGCGUAGCAAUAGCUCUGUUGCUACGAUUUGGUGCGACGGGUCAUAUAACCAUAGCCAUACAUUGACCUGUUGCCACGGUUCUCACUUGAAUUAAUUGCCAACGGUUAUGGUCGUAUUGGUAUGGUUUUGAACCGUUGUAAUAGAGGUUUAUGAAUCAGUUCUAUAGAGGCUAUGGCUAGAGUUUUUCUUUUGAUUCAACACAUCGUUUCAUUCUAUUGCGACGGUUGUUAUAGGUUAAUGCAACACUUUUAAGCAACUAUAGAAAUGUAGCUUAAUGGCUAUCACAACGGUUAUUACAUGGUAUUGCAACAAUUCUAAUGCAACAGUAAUUUUAUAACAUAAAAAUACACGUAAAUCGUUCACGAGAAUAAAUGUUCAUUACAAAAAUUAGAAUUCAAGAUCCGUAAUUCUAAUAUCAAUAAAAUCAAAAUAUACAAAUCAUUUUAUAGCAUUUAAAAAAGGUGAAACACAUGCACCACACAAUUUUCAAUCUUCAAAAAUAUAUUAUUUCUAGAACAUCAAUACUUUAGCUCCUAUGUCAAGUCUUCGCUACUGCUUUCAUCCCCUUCUUUGAUUUCAUCACCUACAUAAAAUUAGAAAAAAUAUAAAUAAUUUCGCAGAUUUUUUGCCAAAAUCUUAAUAGAUCCACAAUAGUGAUAUACUACAAGUUAUUACUCUAUAUAUAAUACAUACAUAUAUAAACUCAAUAAACUGAAAUUAUAUACUAUAUAAAAUAUGGAAUAAUCUAAUUAUGAGUAUUUAUUGUUUUACUGUGAUGAGUGUGAGAUGGGAGGCUUUGAAAAUUAAGUACAAUAACAACCAUUAGCUUUUAAAAUUGUUAAAUUAAAUUGUCUGCCAUUGAUUUAUCUUUACUCUAACAAACGAGUUGGCAAACUUCUCACGUUCCUCAACAUGUCUCAUAUCACAAACCAUCAAAAACCUCAAUUCUCUUUACAAAUCUUGAUUCAACAAUUCUUUGUCUCUCUACAUACAAAUCUCAAUUUUGAUAUUUUCAUUAUGCCAAGUUGUUGGAAGCAAUGUCUGAUUUUUAUUCUUUUUUUAGCAUUGUUAUUUCAGAAGGAUCAAGAUUGAAAAAGUCUUCUAUUACUACCCUUCUUUAACACCAUCUAAAGUUACAAACUCUGUCACUACUUCAUCUACAACGACGAAAAUAAAUCAAAAAUUCUCUUCUGAUGAUGGGAGAUUAGUGAAAAAAUUGGAGUAAAAUUAGAUCAAUUUGAAUGUGCACAUAUAUGAAAAGUUGAUUCAGAAUUUCCUGUCUACUAUAUUGGAUCGGCUACACAUACUCGUCAAGCUGGGAUUCAACACUAUCAUGCAAGAUAUAGAGGUUCUUAUAUCUAUGCAGCUGUCUUAUAACUUCUGUCGUAGAUUAGGACGAUAAGCCAGAACCAAAACAAAAGGGAGCAACAUUUAGAUAAGAAGGAAAAAUAUAAAAAGGAAGAAAAAGGGACAUGUUUAAUUAGUAGAAACAAGAAACCAGACUACAAACAUAAAGUACCAGAAAACUCAUGAAUCUACGACUGGUCUUCCACCAGACUACAAGCAGCAAGUACUUGAAAACUCAUGAACCAGACUACAAGAAGUAACUCAGACAUUAAACUUUCAGAGGACAAGCGUGCAUUAAUUGAACAAGCAUGCAUGCUAGAACAAAUAUCGAAGCAAUAUGAAUAGAUUUCUCACCUUAGAUAUUCCAGAUGCAGAAAGUGUACAAAACAUAAGUAGUCACACCACAGUGCAACAAACUGCAUCAAGAAAAUCAAAUAACUAUCAGUAUAUUUAUUUGGAUUCUAGCAAACAAUUUCAUGUAUUCUAAAAUAGUAAUAGAUUUUAAUGUUCACAUGGACAACAUGAUUAGAACAAACAGUAACAACUGCUAUCUCAUAAUACAAAAACACACAAGGGUGUUGUCUUAUCAGUUUAACAAUUACUGUACAUAUAAAAACAUUUAGUGUAGUACUGAUCCUAGAGCUAGUGAAAAUAGUAGAAUAAAGCUAGUGACAUCUAUUGAGUUGUUUUUUACAAUUAGAGCACAAACCAAACUACUGGAAGAUCAAACCAAAUAAUUUCCGGUAUGUCAAUGAAAGCAUGCACACAAGCUGAACUAUAGGAACAAUAAAAAAAUUAAACGAGAAACCAUGCUAACCAAAUUUAAAGAACAUCGAUUGAUAACUCCUUAAACAUAAUUAACUAAAUAACUCAUAAACUACUCUAGGUAAGUACUUAGUCAUUAACAUACAUUCAAACUUUAUUUAUUAUCUUUAUAUGUUCAUGAAGAGAAGUUCAACACAUAAGGACAUUCAAGUAAUGGUCUUGCAGAAGACCUAGGGUCUCAGUCACUAACAUCUUUAAAGCCUAAUCGUGCAAUGCCUAGAUAGAGUCCCAUACCAUAACCUAAACUUCAUAGAACUUCUCCAACACUAGUAGGCAUCCCAUAUGAUGAGAAUAGUUAAUAAUUGACAUAGACCAUACUAGAUAUCCAUGGAAUCAAGAGUCAUGAAACUACUCCAAUGGAGGGUUGUUCUACUAGCCAAUGGUAGAAGUAGGACACAUCCCAUAUUCGCACAUGGUUAAGUAAUAUCACUACUAGAAAUUUGAUCUACCGUCACUGUUCAUUUACCGUUGCAAUAGAAAUUACUACCGUAGCCAUAGGUCUAAGGCUACGAUUACUUCAACCGCUACAAUAGAUCGCGUAGCAAUAGCUCUAUUGCUACGAUUUGGUGCGACGGGUCAUAUAACCAUAGCCAUACAUGGACCUGUUGCCACGGUUCUCACUUGAAUUAAUUGCCAAUGGUUAUGGUCGUAUUGGUAUAGUUUCAAACCGUUGUAAUAGAUGUUUAUGCAUCAGUUCUAGAGAGGCUAUAGCUACAGUUUUUCUUUCGAUUCAACACAUCGUUUCAUUCUAUUGCGACGGUUAUUAUAGGGUAAUGCAACACUUUUAAACAACUAUAGAACUGUUGCUUAAUGGCUAUCACAAUGGUUAUUACAUGGUAUUGCAACAAUUCUAAUGCAACAGUAAUUUUAUAACAUAAAAAUACACAUAAAUCGUUCAUGAGAAUAAAUGUUCAUUACCAAAAUAAGAAUUCAAUAUCUGUAAUUCUAAUAUCAAUAAAAGCAAAAUAUACAAAUCAUUUUAUAGCAUUCAAAAAAGGUGAAACACAUGCACCACACAAUUUCAAUCUUCAAAAAUAUAUGAUUUCUAGAACAUCAAUACUUCAGCUCCUAUGUCAAGUCUUCUCUACUGCUUUCAUCGCCUUUUUCGAUUUCAUCGCCUACACACAAAUAGAAAAAAUAUAAUUAAUUUCGCAAAAUUUUCGCAAAAUCUUAAUAGAUCCACAAAAGUGAUAUAGUACAAGCUAUUAAUCUAUAUAUAAUACAUACAUUUAUAAACUCAAUAAACUCAAAUAAUAUACUAUGAGCCUGUUUGGCUCAGCUUAAAAGUUGGUCAAACUAACUUAAAAGCUAGCUUUUGACUUAAUUAACUGUUUUGUAAUACUCAAAAUAACUUAUUUUAAGUUAAAAAAACUUAUUUUAAGCCAAAAGUUAAAAACUGGGGUAGGGGUGCUUUUUUUUAGCUCAUAAGCUGUUUUAAGUUGACCACAUUUGUAUCUUUUUGCCCUUAGUAUUUUUAUACAAUCUCCAAAUUAGAUAUAUAACCCUAACAUCUCUUUCUUCCAUUUUUCCCUUUUCACGUUUGGCAUAUCAACUUCAGCACAUUUAUCCAAACGCAUAACUGCUUAUUUUAAAAAUAAGUUUCAGCACUUUCAAAAGUACUUUUUUAAAGCUGCUUUUAUUAAGCCCAUCCAAACGGGCUCUAUAUAGAAUAUGGAAUAAUCUAAUUAUGAGUAUUUCAUGUUUUACUGUGAUGAGUGUAAGAUGGGAGGCUUUGGAAAUUAAGUACAGUAACAACCAUUAGCUUUUAAAAUUGUUAAAUUAAAUGUUGUCUGCCAUUUAUUUAACUUUAGUUUAACAAACAAGUUGGACAACUUCUCACAUUCCUCGACAUGUCUCAUAUCAAAAACCAUCAAAAACCUCAGUUCUCUUUACAAAUCUUGAUUCAACAAUUCUUUGUCUCUCUACAUACAAAUCUCAAAUUUUGAUAUUUUCAUUAUGUUAUGUUGUUGCAAGCAAUGUCUGAUUUUUAUUCUGUUUUUAGCAUUGUUAUUUCAGAAGGAUCAAGAUUGACAAAGUCUUCUAUUUUUUAGGAACAAGUGUUGCCUAAGAAAUUGCCUUUCCCUUCUUCAACACCAUCUAAAGGCACAAACUCAGUCACUACUGCAUCUACAACAACGAAAAUAAUUAAAAAAUUCUCUUCUGAUGAUGCGAGAUGAGUGUAACAAUUGUAGUAACAUUAUAUCAAUUUGAAUGUGCACAAAUAUGAAAAGUUGAUUAAGAAUUUCACGUCUACUAUGUAGGCUUGGCUACACAUACUCAUCAAGUUGGGAUUCAACACUAUCAUGCUAGAUAUACAGGUUCUUAUAUCUAUGCAGUUGUCUUAUUACAUCUGUCGCAUAUUAGGCCGAUAAGCAAGAACCCCAACAAAAGGGAGCAACAUAUAGAUAAGAAGGGAAAAUGUAAAAAGGAAGAAAACGAGACAUGUUUAAUCAGAAGAAACAAUAAACCAGACUACAAACAGAAAGUACCAGAAAACUCAUGAAUCUACGACUGGUCUUCCAUCAGACUACAAGCAGAAAGUACAAGAAAACUCAUGAACCUGACUACACGCAGCAACUCAGACAUUAAACUAUCAGAGAACAAGCAUGCAUUAAUUGAACAAGCAUGCAUGCUAGAAAAAAUAUCGAAGCAAUAUGAAUAGAUUUCUCACCUUAGAUAUUCCAUAGGCAGAAAGUGUACAAAACAUAAGUAGUCACACCACAUUGCAAUAGACUGCAUCAAGAAAAACAGAUAACUAUCAGUACAUUUAUUUGAUUCUAGCAAACAAUUUCAUGUAUUCUAAAAUAGUAACAGAGUUGAUUGUUCACGUGGACAACAUGAUUAGAACAUAAAGUAACAACUGCUAUCUCAUUAUAACAAAACACACAAGGGUGUUGGCUUAUCAGUUUAACAAUAACUGUACAUAUAAAAGCAUUCAGUGUAGUACUUAUCCUAGAGCUAGAGAAAAUAGUAGAAUAAAUCUAGUGACAUCUAUUGAGUGGUUUUUUACAAUUAGAGCACAAACCAAACUAUUGUAAGAUCAAACCAAGUAAUUUCCGGUAUGUAAAAGAAAGCAUGCACACAAGCUGAACUAUAGGAACAAUAAAAAAACUAAACGAGAAACCAUGCUAACCAAAUUUAAAGAAAAUCGAUUGAUAACUCCUAAAACAUAAUUAACUAAACAAUUCCACGGACAAGAUUAAAGCCAUAUCACUCACAACAAAACAACAACAAACACAAGAGCAUAGCUUAGACCUCCAACAACUCAGACACACACAAUUUACAAGGGAAUCUGCUGCAAAAACUGGUACAAAUUGAUUAUCAGAUUAUUAAUAUAUGGAUCUUCUAUGUCGGCAUGUUCCUCCCUCGACAUUGCCUCUCAAAUCAUACAAAAUCUUUUAGAAAUAAUUGUAUUAUACAAAAUAUUUAUUUCACAUAAGAGCAUCACACUUCAUAGACGUCCCGUACAGAAAAACAUAACUCCAAAUUGAAGUUGUUUGAAAGGAUCCCAACUCCAAAUCAUUCUUCUAAAGAUUGAUGUUUUCUUACUUUUUUGGGUGGAGGGGACUACAUUAAUCAUUCUUCUAAAGCUUGAUGUCUUUUUAAUAGUACACCUAACUUUGUCUAGAAAAAGGUCUAACCAGGAUACACCAAUCAGAAAGUAUUAAUUUUUCGUAGAUUCUAAGCUAACAAAAUUUUCUCAACAUUUAAGAUGCGGCAAUAAGGAGAAUGGGACAUAUUGUACAAAAACUAAUGCAACACACAACACACAUUAAUCCCAUCGAAUUAAGACCUAGUUUAUCUAACGAUCAGUUUCCAAGGAACUAACCACAAAUCAAACUAUGGGAAGAUCAAUCCAAAUAAUUUUCAAUAAUGAAGAAAGGACAAAAUAUUUAUGGGGAAGCCAAAGUAAUAUCUUAACAUCAAAAUAAGUCCCAUCCAAAAUGGAAACAAUACUUCCUAGACCACAUAAACUUCUAAUCCAAACACAUUUAAAUCAGUCAUAUAGAAUGAGAAAAUAGGUCAAAGAUUAAUGAGAUGAGCAAGGAAAUUACAAGAACUAGAUGGAUAGUCGCAGCCUCCCUGUUCAAUGCUCUUUAAACUCAUCAAAAAUUCAAACAAACAUGAGAAAUAUAAAUACUCAAAUUAAUUCGAUAAGUAAAAGGAAGCAAGGACACAAGCUGAAAUUGAGGAACAUUAAAGAAACCAGACAACUAGAAACCAUGCUAACUAAACUAAAAUAAAGUCGAUAGCUAACUCCUAAAACAUACUUGAUAAAAAUCAUUCAAAGGAAAAAACCAAUGAUUGAAGCCAUAUCACUAGCUGACAAAACAACAAUAAACACAAGAGCACUGAUUUUACCUCAAACAACUAAGACACACUCAAUUUGAAGCCAAGAUGUCCAUCACUAGGCACCAACAAUAUAUGAAAGAAGAAAAAAAGCAUACGAACAAAGGAGAACAAGUUGAGGUCUUAAGGAUUAUCUUUUCGAAGCAGCGACAUUGAAAUGAGGACAGAAAGAGUUUUCUAACGAUUCUUCUACAGUUCUACUUCACCAAGGGAUGACUUAACCCUACAUCAUCAUCAAGAUUAACCUGAAAUCCUCUGCAACUUAAAUUUAGAAGUGAUUUCUUUUCUUGUUUCAGUAUAUAUCAGAAAUUCAAACAAAGAAAGUUUAUACACUACAUAGAUUAAAUUAAAAAAAAACAUAGAUUUAAGACUAACCCAUUGUUUACUCUUUAAGAUUUUUAUACAAAUAAUCCAACGGAGACUUAGAAAUCAUGAACUAACAGAGAAAACAUACACAUCAUUCACCUUUAUAUGGAAGAAUUAUAGUUGACCCUAGCUAUCCAAUAGAACCAACGAGCUUCACCAAAAGCUUCGUUGUCCAAGAGCCUGUUAUCAAGAGAUUAGAAAUCGGUCCCUCUUGUUUUCAUCAACAAAAGCUCGCUAAAACUUCUGAAUAACUGCUUCAAUCGUUUCGUGUUGCUUCGUCGUUCCUCGCCAUUUCAUUGAGAGAGGAAAUAGGUUUUUUUUUCUUUUAUAUUUUUUAUGUGAAACAAUAUUGUUUAGGAGGGAAAUAUUUUUCUAGUGAUAAAAAUCAGAACCAAAAUAAUUUUUCUUAAAUAACUGUUGCCAUAGAUUUCGCUAACCCUUGUCAUAGAGUUAGAUAUUGCAACAAUUCUCAAUUUGUAGACAUAUAAUCUCAAUAGGACGAUUAUAAGGAUGAUGCCACAAUUUAUUUAAAGAAUUGUUCUAUUAGAUUCAAGGAUAUUUGGCCACGGUUAUAACUGUUGUAAUAGGUGAGCUAUUGCUACGAUUAAAUAACUGUGGCUACAUAUGCGUUGCUGUAAGUCAAAUUUCUAGUAGUGUAUGAUGGGUUUCCUCGUACUCUAGCCUCAUCCAUAACUAGAGAUACUUCCCAAACCAUACUAACUCGGUGCUAUCCUUUCUUCUCAUAUAUUAAUUCAAUAAAGAAGUAUAUUAAGAGGUUCCAUAUCUCGUUCACAACUCAAUCACAUUACACCUUACCAAAGUGGGAACACUAUGCCUACCUACAAUGAUCAAGAGGAUAGCUCAAUGACUUUCCUAAGGAUGAUUUCAUGUCAUUCCAUCCAGUCAAUCCUAAGUCCACCAUUCAUGCAAGAAGGAAAAUUAUGACUUUCAACUUCAAAUCAUUACAUUCCAACUGGGUUGAAGGUUCCACAUAAAAGAUCUUCUUAACAUGUUUAAGGUCACAUGUCAAUCAUAUAUACAAGACAAAGAAGCUUUAGUGUAGUAUGUCAAUAACUCAUAUUCACAUUGUUCAUGUAUUAAGUAAGGGACACAUGUCAACCAAAACAAGAUACACACAUACUUCACCAUAUCACAUAUAACAUAUCAUUCAAGAAGCACAUAGGCAUACCAACGUCAUCUAUAGGUUACACCAUUCUCUACUAAAAUAUCAAAAACUUAACUAUCACAUGUAUCAUAUAUUCUAUCAAUAAACAUCAUACUUCAAUACCAAGAAACACACAUAAUGAAUACUCUAUUGUCAACUAGAGACACGUACCAUCAACUAGAAGAACUCAAGUUUUUACUUCACUUAAACACAUAAAUCAUAAAUACAUUCAUACUAUCCACAUAAUCAAGUUAUAACAUGAUGAAUACAUAAUGAAUAAAGUAAUAUCGAUGAGGCAACAAUGUUUCACAAUUCAUAAAGUAAUACCGACAAGGCCACAUUAGUCACGAGUAUAGCACGUAAGCAUCACAACCAUAAGUGGACCAUACCAAACAUCAUCGUCAUAUAAGAACUAGACUACACAUCAUAGAGGGUGUUAGGUCAACAUACCAUUGAUCCAACCUCACAAUUUCAAUCCAUAGCCGAUUCAACCAAGACAAUACAAAAAGGUCAUUACCAAUGUCCACGAUCACCAAUUAAAUCCAAUAAUAUACAAUAAAUAAUGAAUCAAGGAUAAUACAAUAUGAAUUUAGGAAAUUAGGGGAUCCAACUAAGAAUUCUAGCAUGAUUCACUCAUUAUUAAAUAUCCCCAAUCAAACUACACAAUAAUUCAAUUGCAUUAAGACAUAAUCAAUUCACACACAAAGUAGUCAAAUUUAGGGUUGCAUGAAUUUCAUGGGUUCAUAGAGAUUUUUAGGUUAAAAUAAUCUAAUUAACAUAAAUUCAAUCAAUAUACAAUAGUUCAAAUUUUUUUAUGCAAGACCUCAUGGAUAGAUUGAAAAAUUGGACAAUUCAUCUUUCGAAGACUUUAGAAAUCACUUUGAAGAUUGGCCCUUUGAAGAAAAGAGACUCAAUGAUGAAGAACAUACCUUAAUUUAAGCUAGACCAUGGAUUCGAUUAUGAAUUGACGCAGAAUCACAAAAGAAAUCUUCAAUCGAAGCUCUAUCUUGAGUUUUAGCUCCAAUGAAGUUCUAGAGAGUUCUUUAGGGAAUUUGGGUUUAAAUUUUUAAAAGUGAAUUCAUCUAAGUGUUUUAGACUAACUUUUUAUAAUAUCAAAAAUAACCUUAGGAAAAUAAACUUUGAAUUAUUUGUACGUGGGUUGAAUUUACCAAUUCACCCGUACACUUCAUAGUAAGGCUGCGUGAAACACAGACCCAAUCAACUAUGGCCCAUCAACGAGGCGUCGACCAGAUGAUUGGCUGUUCUGGCAACUGUAGUCUUGGUCAGAGACUCACAAAAGAAGGCUUAAUACCCCACAACAAAGUUCCAACCUAUACCCCUCAUAGUUGGGGCGUCGACCAGCCUACUAGUCAUCGAUUGCCUUCAUUAUUUGGGGCUGGUUUUGGCAGCUUUUCUAAUAUGAUGGGUCCUUCCUCAAGGACCCUAGGUUUGUCCUUGGGGAGUUUAGCCUAGACUUUUCCAACUUGAAUAUAAUUGUAUACGUGUUUAGGAACUCUCACAUAAAUUUCGUCAAAAAAAAACACGUAAAACUCAACGGAACAAACUAAGACACACAAGGACGUUAGAAGGCAAACCUUUCGAACAUCAUGUACGUUCUUGGACGUUUUACCUCCAAACAUCAUGAAACUUUAACUACUACUUACUAACCUCAUUAUAACACAUUUUAGGAAAUCAAAAUAUCACCUUUACUAUCAUGCAAAUAUUAAGUUUUGUCUAUGUAACUUUCGGCAAGAAGCCAUAAGUCACUAAGUAAACUCGAUGACUUACUUAAAGUUUCUUUUAUCAUCAAUUAUGCGCCCCUGACCCUUAUAAUACAUUGUAUAUUUCGAUGGGCUUGGUUGUGGUCUCUGAAUUUUGUCGAUGAUUCCUGAAAGGCCUCUCCCAUUGCCGACGUGACAAUUUUUUGGGAAAUUUUAUCUAAUACUUUUGGAAAGAACGAUCUGGCUAGCCCAAGUGAUUCGGCGACUCACCCAUCGGUUCGGCGAGUCUGUUUGCACUAUGAUUUCUGUUAUUUAUCUUGACAUGUUUCUAACUUUCUAUGAUUUUUUUCUAGAUAUGUCUAGAACCAACUUGUACAAUCGCCUCAUAAAAGUUUACGGGGCUUAAGGAUUAUGAAAGGGCAUUAAAUACCCCUAAAAAGGGAAAGAUGACACCUCCCAAAGGAGACAAGGGAAAGGUCAAGAGGCUCGUAUAUGAGGUUCUAGAUCACAACUUUGGCAGUAAAGGAAAGUCCUUUGACUCAGAAAUUGCAUUCUUCGAGCGUGAUGAUGACUAGUCGCUACAGUCUAUGUGAGCAAAAAUCAAUGCUAGGUCUCGCCCAGACUUGUAAAGAGCUCUAGUGUCUACCCCUCCUUCAGUAAAUAUAAUGCCAUUUCUGGAACUGACUGUAGUCUCAGUGCCACCAUUAUAUCCCUAGCAACUCAACAGAUUAAAAUCCAUUGGGUUGCGGACAAAUCUCAAAGAGAAUUUGUUAUACAUAAAGUGCUUAGUGGGUAGAUAUUCCACAAUGAGAAACACGCUCACGUAUCAUCGAUUUGAAUAGUUCAUCUUCCCCAAAGACCCCUAUAUUCAUACAUGGAUCAUGGGGUUCUACACAACAUAUGUGGAGUUGGUACCCAUUAGGAAGAAGAAAACCAAUACUUUUAGGUUGGUAGAGCUUGUUUUGAUGCAGGGAAUAUAUUGAGAUGCAACUGCGUUCAUAUCACUGUUUGAUUGGAGAGGGUCAAGCUCUAACUACCCAAAAAUUUAGCUACACUAUGAAUCCCUCAGAUGAUCUAAAGGGUUUGAUUUCCGUCAUCAUCUCUGACACCACCCCAAGGUGAAUUGAGGCGGGAGCUCCAGUUGAGAAGAAUGAGUUAAAUAUAGCUGUGAGAUAUUGAUUCAAUUUCAUUAGCAGUUGUAUUAUGUCGUAUUAAAAGAUUCCAUCCCAGGGUUUCGUGCCUUGAGUUGAACAUAUCCAGGAGAAGCAUUGACAUGGACUCAUCAUAGAUCACUAGAUGGCCAUGAGGGCCAAGAAGAGCCAAACUUCUCUUGCAUUCUCCAUAUUAAUUAAAAAGUUUUGUCGGUGUACUAGAGUUCCUCGUGAUAAGGUGAAAGAUACUAAUGUAACUCCCACAACCUCCAGUAACAUCUGAUGUAUAGAGGUCGAGUACAAACGGGAAAAGGCAGAUAGGAGGAGAGCAUCUACAGUGGACACAUCCCCGGAGAUUGAUGUUGAGAUGAAUCAUGUAGGGGAACAUGUGCCUACUCCGUCCUUCAAAUACACCUACUUCCACUUCUUCCUCCAAAGAUCUUGAUGGUUCUUGAACUACCCAUCCACCGAGGAUUACGCAGGCCAUGAUCUUGAAGAUGGGCACUUAGCCCAUUCUGCGGAUGUGAGGGCUACUCAAUUAUACACUGUGGUGCUGUGGAUGAUUGAGAGUGAAAUACUCGAUACAUUGACACCACCUACGAGCAUCUAUUGACAUUGUCACAGCGAGAGUUGAGAUGUGUGAAAGUAACAAAGUACUACUUCACUUGUGUCGUCUUUAAAGUUGAGGUUGUUGAUUUGAGAAAGAAUGUGGACUACUUAAAGUAAACAUAUUUUACUUCACUUCUGGAGGAAGCUGAUGAUGUGGAUGCCUCGACUACUUCUCAAUUUCCUGUCUCUACCACCGGAGAUGUACAUAUGGAUUACAUAGGAGUUGAUGAGUCAAAGGUAGAGAACAACGAGGAGCUGAUAGAGUUGCCGGAGGAGACCAUCUAUGGAGACUUUCCUGACCUUGAAGAGAUAUUUGUACAGUCAGUGAUUCAAACAUCGUUGAUCGAAACUUCCAUGGUAGGCUCUAGUGGAUCAAGUGUUGCAAAUGUGACACCGAGCAAUAAUUCCCAAAUAGAUGGAGCGAUAGUGUAUACAAGACCCUUCUUUACCUUCCACUAUGUCUUUUUUAGUGAUCUUUAGUGUUUUUAUUGCAUUUUUGGACAAAUUUCUUUUUGUUUGUUGUGAAGUGAGGUAUUUUCAUACCUACCGUUCCAAAAAAGUUUUCCAACUCUCGAUUGUGUUUGAAUGUGGUUGUUCUUAUGCAAAUUAGAGUAUCACUCAUGAUCAAUAGUGAGGACUUGAAUAGUGAUCUUAAUCGAACAAAAAUGAAUGGGCUACGAUGAGGCCAAAUGAACUUGCAUAUGCAAUGUGUUAACUUUUUCAUCUUGUUGUGACUAGUUGUCAUCAAAUUUAGUCUCUUAUGAUGAACAUUACACACUAGAAAAAGUGUGGAGUCUUGUUUGAUAUUGAUGCCUUGUUUGAUGAUGUUAUUGUGAACCAUGUGUGAUGACACUUUGAAUUUUCCCGGUUGGUUCGGUUGAAUAUGUGAUGAAACCUUUUGAAAUGAUCUUAGGAUACAAUUUUAAAGGGUGAAAUAAUUUGACAUUAUGCCUUAGUUGUGGCCAACAUUGUGAGUUUGUGUACAACAUUCUAUAAAAUGUACUUGUCUAUUGAAGAGUUUAUUAGGUUUUAAGAAUGCGCAUUGGGUACAUAGGCAUCCUAAUGCCUAAUAUUGAGUAAUGUUGUGCACGUUUGAGAAUAUUGGCUUAUGGGUGUUAGCCAAUUUCUAUGUAUUAACAAGUAACUUGAAAUACACUUUCGUUCAAAUGCCCCAAUCCAAGCAUGUUUAGGAAUUGUACCUACAAUGAAGACUCUAAGAUAAAAAUUUUGUUUUCAUAGCUUACACAUAUUAGGUACAAGGCAUCAAAGUUUCAAGCCUAGGUACCAUGGCACAUAAUCAUUUAAAAUGAUAAUGUAGGUUAAGUAGUGCCCAAGGACAUAGUGAAGAUCCUUGGUCAAGAAGUGGGAACCAACACAUGUGCAAGCACAUGUGCUACCGGCCAAGGGACCAAGCUCCAAGCCCAACCGAAUUCAAUUAGGCGGUUAGGGAAGGCACGUGUAUAUGUCAAUCCACGUAGGGCCUAGCUUCCUAAAAAUACUAGGCUGUAAGAAACAUAGCUAACUAUAUAACUAAUCUAGGAAUAACUAAAAUAAACUAACAAGUGUACCCGAAAUCCUAAGACCUAACCGGGUGACACUAGCCGAGUAACUAACUAAACAAACAUCCUAGUACGUAACCUAGGAUGGUCCAAAGGGGUUUGUUAUGGUCCUAGUGACUUAGGGAUAAUUUAGUAAAUAGCAAGGUCACUUAAUUGAUUAAAUUAGCAACAUAAUUAUUUAAUUAAAAAUCAUUGUUAAACCCGAACACUUUGAAAAUUUUCAAAUUUGGCUAACUCAAAUGCUCUCCUAAUUUAAGUCAAUUUAGGAUGGGCAUUUUAGUAAUUAGCUAAGUGAUUAUUUAAUUAAGUUAAUUAGCUAAAUUGAAUUAGUCAAUAAUCAGUUCUUAAGACUUAGAAUCACGUUAUCCAUAGAAACCCUCGACUGACAGAGAAAAUAGUGAAUAAACUUAGAAAAAUAGAUUGGUUCUCCUUACGAGAUCUCAAGGCAAUUUCUUCAAGAUUUUUGUGCAAAUUACAGGGAGAUCUUCAUAGAUUCAAUUAUAAAAUAAUGUAUGAGUUUUUAUCUCUUGGAUUCCGUUCCCCAAGAGGCUUUUCAAACUCUUUGAAUUCAAGAAAAUCAAAACUAGGGUUGUUCCCAAUGAAAUUGUAUAAUGUUCAUCUCCCUAGUUCUCCCUAUUUACGAUUCUAGUAGUAUGUAUAAUAUAAAUCUCGAGAAUGUUGUGGUAUGUGGUGUUAACUGAUCAUUAUGUGUAAAUGUUUAUGAUUUGAUAAUGUCAAAUGAUACCUAUAGGUUAGAUCCGUAUGAUUAAUGGCUAAUUUUGUUCGAGAAGAUGAAAUUGUUAUUAGUCGCUUAUGAAAUUUAGUUUACUUUUGAAAAGAGUGAAGGUUUUGACUAUUGUAUGUUUUUUCAGUAGAUAUGUUUGUAAGUGUUUGGAAUUAAAUGUUUCAAAGAAGAAAAAGACUGAGAAUAAAAACUAAUUAAUGAAUCAUCAAUGCCAAAUCAUCUUUAUGGCUUGACCAAACUAAGCAUCGAAUUGUUCCUAUAGUAUAUAUAUGAAGUUAAUUGACUUAGCUAGUGAUAAAAUCAUGACAAGUUGUUAGUGAAAGUUUGGUUUAUGCAAAUAAAUUGGCCACCAAUAUUAAUUCAAAAAUAUGUAAUAGAAUUUGGCAGUGGUUAUGUUAUUUCAAUCUUCUAUGGCCAAUGGAAAUUAUCAUGCUCUUCUAAUGUCAAAUACAUGUUAAAGAUUAACUUGACAAGAUGUUACUCAAUGCCCUAAUAACCUAGGGUAUGCCAAUGAUAGGGACAAGUCCCAACAUACCCUAUCUAAAUGAACUUGUGAACAUAGUAGCUUAAUAAAAAGUCUCCAUAACUUUCAUAAAGAAUGGUAUAAGACUACCAAAUAACAUUGAACAAGACAAGGUGAGUAAUGAAAGAACUAAAAGAUUAUGAGUCAUGAAAUUGACCAAGAAUGGGGUAUUUAAGGAAGAGAUACAAGUCACACUUGCACCUAAGCAAUUAUGUUAAAGAUACUCACAUAAGAGGGUGUUAGAAAUUGUGAGAUAAGUCUCAUUCACACCAUAAAUAUAAUGUAAGAUUUAAGUUCACAUUCAUCAAGUAACAAGUCAUCCAUUGAGAUAAGAAUACCUCACACUAAAACAAGCUCCCAUAAUGUAUGAGACAAAUCCAAAAUGUGUAAAGUAUGAUAAAUUAAGAUAAUCACCGAUAGACUAGAAAUGAGCUCGUGCAAGCACACGUAAGCCUCAUGAGUUGAGACUACCAACAAGGUGGAUAAGGGUCUUUGAAAUCUCCUAGUCUUUGAACUAUGUUGCAAGCAUAGGUUACUAGCUAGUGGAUCAACCUAAGAAAGCUAGGUAGUAUUCGGUAUCACUUUGUUUGGCUAACCACCUCUUUUCAGUGUGGGGAAGACACUGGAUUUAAUGUUAGCUCACAUGAUCUAUGUCGAUCAUAUGCUCCAGAUUCGGUUUCACUUUAGCCGGUGAACCACGUCUUUUAAGUAUGGGGAAGAUACUGCAUUUCAUGUUAGCUCACAUGAUCUAUGUUCACAGGCUAAAGUAAGAAAAAAAAGUAUGUUCAAAGUGAACACGAGAUCAAAGAAGAAGAGAUGUAAGUACAAAGUGAACUUUGUAAGAAAAAGAGUAAGUAUAUAAAUCAUCAAUGUUUGAUAAGAAUAAAAUUUGAACAGUUAUUGGCUUAUGCCAAUAAAGAGAGUAAAAGAAAUAAUGGGCAUAGCCAAUAAUAUAUAUAUAAUGCAAUGAUCACAUAAUGGAAAUUUCCAAUAAUCUUUAUAUUAUGAAAAUGAUCAAUUGGUGGCAUAACUAACAAAGAUUGUUUUAUGAAUACUUCAUGCCCAAUUUAACAAGAAUGGAAAGAACAACUUGUGAGUAGGAUAGUCAAAUCAUUUCCUUAGUCUUUUGUAUAACUUACUUGAUUAAUUGUAGGAAUUGGAAUACAUGAAUCAUUGCACUCGUUAGUAUAACAUCGGAUGAAAGGAGAUCAUUGACUUACACAAGAACAAGAAGAAAAGACUGAAGAAUAAUCUAAUUCUUGAUUAAGGAGCUAUCGGCCUAAGAGGGAGCGAAAAUAUUAAUUUCUAUUCGAGUUGUUCUAAAAUUAUGUUCACGAUUCCAAGGUCUUAUGUUAAUAUAGAAAAUUAUUUUUGUUCUUUAAAUGCAUAAAAAUAUGUCAUAUUAAUAUCAUGAUUGAUAAAGAAUGAUUUAGGAAAGUAAAUUGACUUUACUUUCCGAAAAUGUAAUGUUGCUAUAGAAAGAGUUUUCCUUGAUCAUGCAUAGUCCUUAUCUGUUUGUGUGCAUAAACACAUACUUAGUACAAGUUUGUACUAAACCAUAUACUAUUACUAUUUUUGUAGGUGUAGGUCCUUGAAGAAGAUUGAAGAUCAUUCAAAGCUGUUUGGACUAGUACGUCCAAACUUUGGUAGGUCCUCUUGAGUUCGAGGAUGCCUACGCUUCAUAUUGAAGAUUUAGUAUAUUAGACAUAGCUAGUGGAUGUUAUACCUAGCAUUUCAUAUCAAACAUUGUUCAAGCUUUUGGAUUAAGGCCAGUUUGGUUAACUAUUAUUUAUAUUAUGAACUCUUCAUUUCAAUUGUUCAAUCUAAUACUAGAUUGUUGUUUAAUUUGAGCAUGUAAUUAUAUCACUCUUAUGAAGAAAUUAUAUAAAAGUCUACGUAUAAUUCAAUAAGUCUAAAAAGAUUUAAAUUUUCUGCAAAUUGAACUGAUUGUGAUAAAAGCUAAGAAGAGGCUUGUCUGCGACCUCUAAGAAGUUAACGUCGUCAGUCUCAUCUAGGGUUUAAGACUCGGGUGUGACAAAUUUGGUAUCGAGCAUGAGGUUAAAUUACCUAGGAACAAAGGGUCAAAACAAUAAAGUUGGGUUGUUUCUAGCUUAUCGGUGUGAAGUGUACCACAACCAUUACUUAUAGACUUAGUGAUAUUAAGAAUUUUACCUUCCUCUACUCUUUAUUGUAUUGUGUAAGGCUUUGACAUUUAGUGUAAUUCUAGCAUCUAACUUCCUUUUUUGUGUGGGAAAAAUGAACACAAGAUGAAACAUAGCCAUGAAAGAUGGAGAAGCAUCUGCUGGGGAAAACCAAGCUCCUCCUCAUGCCAUAGUUGCUGGAGUGCAAGUGCCUAUCAACCCAGCUACGUUGACGGAUGGAGAAGUGAGAGCAGCACUGGUUCAGAUGACCCAAGCCAUCACUGCUCAGGCACAGGCUACCACAGCCCAGGCCACUAAAGUAGGUACUCCCAUAGGAGACAACAUUAGAGCUGAAAGAGUAUAUAGAUAUUGCCCAAUAAUCGUUCUUGAUAGAGUUACCUAUACUGACGUAAUACAAUUAUCCAUACUUGACUUUGAUAUAAUUUUGGGUAUGGAUUGGCUCCAUAAAUUUUAUGCUACCAUAGACUGUCGAAACAAGAUAGUAACACUUAUUAAUAACAGUGAAUACCGACAUAAAAAUUACAGAUCUCAAAUGAUGUCGGUAAUUGUUGACCUCCGGAGGUCAAUAUUUUUAAAAUAAUAAAACUAGUUGGGUUUUAGGCAAAAUAAGGAGGAAAAAAAAUUGCGCCCUCAAAAUGUCGGUAUUUUUCACGGAAAAAGUUAAUUAUAUAAAAACCGACUUCUUGACGUCGGUAUUCAAUAAAAUAAAUGAAUAAACGUAUUUUAUUUUCGGUAUUUUUAUUUCAUCAAUAUCAAAAUACCGAUAUCAUGAGGUCCAUAUUUUUAUUUCAUCCAUAUACUGACAUCAUGAAGUUGGCAUUUCAUCCAAAUAUUGACAUCAUGAAGUCGGUAUUUUUAUUUCAUCCAAAUACCAAUUUCAUGAAGUCGGUAUUAUUUCUUCAUCCAAAUAUCGACCUUAUAAAAUUGGUAUUUUUACUUCAUCUAAGUACUGACCUCAUAAGAUCGAUAUUUAUCUUUCAUCUAAAUACUGAACUAAUAAGGUCAGUAUUUUUAUUUCAUCCAUAUCCAAAUACUGACAUAUGAGGUCGGUAUUUUUAUUUCAUCCAACUACUGACAUCAUGAAGUUGGUAUUUUUAUUUCAUCCAAAUACCGACCUCAUGAAGUCGGUAUCUUUUCUUCAUUCAAAUAUCGACCUCAUGAGGUUGGUGUUUUUACAUCAUCAGAGUACUGACCUCAUGAGAUCGGUAUUUAUCUUUUAUCUACAUAUUGACCUAAUGAGGUCAGUAUAAAUACCGACAUCAUGUGGUCGAUAUUUAUAUUUCAUCCAAAUACUGACAUCAUGAAGUCGGUAUUUUUAUUUCAUCCAAAUACCGACCUCGUGAAGCCAGUAUUUUUUCUUCAUCCAAAUAUUGACCUCAUGAGUUUGGUAUUUUUACUUCAUCUAACUACUUACUUCAUGAGAUUGGUAUUUAUCUUUCAUCUAAAUACCGACCUAAUGAGGUCAUUAUUUUUAUUUCACCCAUAUCAAAAAAUCAACAUCAUGAGGUCGGUAUUUUUAUUUCAUCCAAAUACUAAUUUGAUGAAGUCAGUAUUUUUAUUUUAUCCAAAUACCGACCUCAUGAAGUUGAUAUUUUUUCUUCAUUCAAAUAUGGACCUCAUGAAGUCGGUAUUUUUUCUUCAUCCAAAUAUCGACCUCAUGUGGUAAGUAUUUUUACUUUAUCUAAAUAUCGACUUCGUGAGAUCGAUUGUUAUCUUUCAUCUAAAUACCGACCUAAUGAGUUCGGUAUUUUUAUUUCAUCCAUAUCCAAAUAUCGACAUCAUGAGGUCAGUAUUUUUAUUUCAUCCAUAUACUGAUAUCAUGAAGUCGGAAUUUUUAUAUCAUCCAAAUAUCGACCUCAUAAAGUAAGUAUCUUUUCUUCUUAUAAAUAUCGACCUCAUGAGGUCUGUGAUAUUAUUUCAGUUAAAUACCGACUUCAUGAGGAGGAUUUUGUGUAAAUAAAUAAAAAUUAUAUUACCGACUUCCAAAAAUCGAUAAAAUUAAAUAUCAUGCAACUUAAUUAGUUUUGAUAUAAAUAUUUAAAUAGUUCAAUUAACAUUAAAUAAAUUAUACUCUCGAUGACGGUUUUAUAUAAUUUUAAAAAUAAACUAAUAUAAUUUACCGACCUCUCGCUGUUAGUAUUAUUUAUUCAAUAUGAUUCCUUGUCACGACCCAAAUCGGUCCGCGACUGGAACCCACACUUACCCUCCUAUGUGAGCGAACCAAUCAAUACCAAACCCAACAUUUCGUAUAUAAUAACAAAAUAUAAUGCGGAAGACUUAAACUCAUUAAUGAAAAUCAAUUAAAUAAAUUCUAAAAACUCGACAACUAUUAUUAUCCCCAAAAUCUACAAGUCAUCAUCACAAGAACAUCUAUCCUCAAAUUACUAAAGCUAAGAGUAUCUAGAAAGCUAGAAUAAAUAAAAAGCUAGUCCAUUCCGGAACUUCAAGGCAUCGAGACAUGAAGAAUAAGAUCCAGUCCAAGCUAGAAGCAUUAGCUCACCCUGAAAUCCGGUGUAAUGAAGACUGGCUAGAGUUGCGGUUGAGUUGAAGGCGACAACAGGUGUGCUGCACUCCACAAAUAACAAGGAAAGAAACAUACAAGUAGGGGUCAGUACAAAACACGAGUACUGAGUAGAUAUCAUCGGCCAACUCAAAAUAGAAAAUAAUAUAUAUCAGAUCAUAUCAUAAAUCAAGUACAAUACUCAAUCUGUAGAAAAAACAUGUACAAGAAUCUUUGAUAAAUAACGUCAAGUACACUCAUGAGGACUCAAGCCUCCAUAUCAUACUCAUUUGGGAAAUAGGUUCUUUUCAUUCGAAUUUAUUAACAUAAAUCCAAGAUUCAUUAUCUUUAUUCCUCUUGUGUCGGCACGUGACACUCCGCUCCCCUACUACUAUGCGUCGGAACGUGACACUCUGAUCCCUUAAUUCUACGUUUCGGUUCGUGACACCCGAUCCCCUAGUUCUACGUGUCGGUUUGUGACACCCUAUCCCCUAAUUCUAUGUGUCGGUUCGUGACACCCGAUCCCCUAAUUCUACGUGUCGGUUCAUGACACCCGCUCCACUAAUAUCAUUCUACUAAUUCAUCAAGCCUUCUCUUAUACCAAGGCAUCAUCAUCUCAUUACUUUAGUUCAUCAAGCCUUCCUUCAUAUCAAGGCAUAUUAAUCUCAUUACAUAAGUUCAUCAAGCCUUCUUUUAUAUCAAGGCAUCAUCAUUAACAAGGGGUUUUCAAGAUUUGGGAUUCAAUAGCUUAAUCGUGCUUAUUUCAUCAAAAUUAUAUAAUCAUAUUCAUGCAAGCAUACAAUUAAGCAUAUAUAAGACUUUACAACACAACCCAACACAUAUCAUUCGCUAUUAAGAGUUCACUACGAAUAGUAUAAAAACCAUAACCUACCUCCACCGAAGAAUUGUGAUCAAGCAAGCUAAUCCUCAAAAUCUUUGUUUUCUUCUCCGUUUCUCCUCUCUCUCUCGAUCAUUGUUUCCUCUCCUUCUGUUCUUUUCUUUUUCUUAUUCAAACCCUCUUUCUUUAACCUAAUUAGCAUAUAAUUAAGUAUAAAAGGUGGUGAAUUAACCCAUUAAUUAACUUAAAGUUACCUCUUUUAACCCCCAAGUAAUUGAGUUAUUAAUAUUAAACCACUAACUUUAUAAUUAUAAGCCAGAAUAGUCAAAAACGUCCCUUAAAACAUUUAAAGAAAUCCGACCCUGCCAGGGAUUACGCACCCUGUGACGGGCCGUCGUGCCUGCGACAGUCCUUCCUGUUGCUCCGUCACAGAGUUCAGAGACUCCAUUCCAUUAAAGGGUCUGUGACGGUCCGUCGUGCCCACGACGGUCCGUCCUGCCAUUCCGUUACGAAGUUCAGAGAGUCGAUUUGAGUACCCAAUUUUCAGAAUUCUAAGUAUUUUGGAACGAGACACCCUCGACGGUUCACCGUGCCCAUGACGGUCCGUCGUGAGUUCCUUCGUCUCUGCCAGUUUUUCCAGAAAUAAUAUCUGCUGCUCAAAACGACUAAACAGGUCGUUACAAUAGAUACCUAUUUACCCAUCGUUCAUCCCCGAACGAUUACAAGAAGAAAAACAAGGGCAAAAAGGAGUACCUGAAUCUGUAAACAUAUGUGGGUAUCUUUCUUGCAUGUCAGCCUCUUUCUUUCAAGUGGCUUCUUCAACGGGUCGAUUCUUCCAUUGAACAUUGAUAGAUGCAAUUCCCCUUGACCUCAAAUUGCGAACUUCUCUAUCUAAAAUAGCAACAGGCUCUUCCUCAUAAGACAAAUUCUCAUCAAGCAAGACUGAAUCCCAACGAAUAAUAUAGUUUCCAUCCCCAUGGUAUCUUUUCAACAUAGACACAUGAAAUAUCGGAUGCACUCCGGACAGCCCUGGAGGCAAGGCUAACUCAUAAGCCACCUCCCUUACUCGCUUAAGUACUUCAAAGGGACCAAUAUACCUUGGGCUUAGUUUACCUCUUUUACCAAACCGCAUCACCCCUUUCAUGGGCGAAACCUUCAGUAAGACUUAUUCACCCUCCAUAAACUCCAAGUCUCUAACCUUUCGAUUCGCAUUUUCCUUUUGCCUACUUUGUGCCGCUAAAAUAGAUUUCACUUUCUCUAAUAAAUCCCUCAAAAGGUAAGUACCCCAAGGUCUGACCUCAAAUGCAUCAAACCAACCAAUGGGAGACCUACAUCUCCUCCAAUACAAUGCUUCAAAUGGGGCCAUAUCAAUACUUGAGUGAUAGCUAUUGUUGUAGGAGAACUCUGCUAAGGGUAAGAAGCUAUCCCAAUGACCACCAAAUUAUAUCACACAUGCGCGAAGCAUAUCCUCCAACACUUGAAUCGUUCUCUCAGACUGGCCAUCGGUCUGAGGAUGGAACGCAGUACUAAGGUCCAACCUAGCACCCAAUUCCGCAUGCAAUGUUUUCCAAAACUUAUAAGUAAACUGCGUUCCUCUAUCUUAUAUAAUGGAGAGUGGAACUCAAUGCGAUCGAACGAUUUCUGAGAUAUAGAUUCUUGCUAACUUCUCUGCAUUCUAGGUCACCUUGACCGAAAUGAAGUGAGCAGACUUACUUAGCCUAUCAACAAUUACUCAAAUGAAGUCAUACUUACCCAUUGUCUAGGGAAGACCAACCACGAAGUCCAUUGCAAUUCUUUUACACUUCCAUUCAGGAAUGGGCAUUCUCUGAAGUGUGUCAGGCCUCUGGUGCUCAUACUUUACUUGCUGACAAUUUGGACAUAUGGAAACAAACUCCACAAUGUCACGCUUCAUUCUACUCCACCAAAAGUGUUGCUUUAGGUCACGGUACAUCUUGGUUGCAGCAGGAUGUAUGGAGUACCUUGAACUAUGGGUCUCUAUCAGAAUAGUGUUGAUUAAAUCAUCAACACGGCGUACACAUACUCUUCCCUUGAUUCUCAAAACACCUUCCUCAUCGAUUUGCUCUUUCUUAGCCUCUCCUCGCAAUACUUUAUCUUGGAUUCUGCUUAGUUUCUCAUCAUCAAACUGUUUUCCCUUAAUCUUGUCAAGAAAAGAAGAUCUUGCCUCCACACAAGCCAACAAUCCUCCCUUCUCAUUUACUUCUAACCUCAUCAAGUUGUUAGCCAGAGUCUGAACCUCUCUAGCCAAUGGACGUCUAGAAACUUGCAAGUGAGCUAGACAUCCCAUGCUCCCUGCCUUUCUACUUAAGGCGUCUGCCACAACAUUAGCAUUUCCCGGAUGAUACAAGAUAGUGAUAUUGUAGUCCUUCAGUAGUUCCAUCCAUCUCCUCUGUCUCAAGUUCAAUUCUUUCUGAGUAAAGACAUACUGUAGACUACGAUGAUCUGUAUAGACUUCACACUUGAUCCGAUAUAGAUAAUGUCUCCAUUGCUUUAAUUCAAACACAACUGCGGCCAAUUCUAAAUCGUGGGUCGGAUAGUUACGUUCAUGCACCUUUAAUUGCCUUGAAGCAUAAGCAAUUACGUUCUUCUCUUUCAUUAGCACUGCACCCAAACCCGAAUAGGAUGCAUCACAAUAGACAAUGAAAUUCUUUCCUUCCACUGGCAGGGUAAGGAUUGGUGCAGUAGUCAACAAGGUCUUAAGCUUCUGAAAGCUUUCUUCAAAUUCAUCCGACCAUACAAAUGGAACAUUCUUCUUAGUCAAAUUCGUCAAUUGGGAAGCAAUGGAAGAGAAUCCCUUGACAAAUCGGCGGUAAUAGCUAGCUAAACCAACAAAGCUCCUUAUUUUUGACACAUUAGUAGGUCUUACCCAAUUCUACACUGUCUCAAUCUUAGAAGAAUCCACCAUCACCCCAUCCUUUGAAACCACAUGCCUCAAGAAGGACACUGCAUCUAUCAAAAACUCACACUUGGAGAAUUUGGCAUAAAGCUUUUUCUCCCUCAACAUUUCCAAUACCAUUCUCAAGUGCUCCUCAUGUUCCUUCUUGCUCUUUGAGUAUACCAAUAUAUCAUCAAUAAAUACGAUCACAAAGAGAUCCAGAUAUGGCUUGAAAAUCCCAUUCAUCAAGCUCAUGAAAGCAGCAGGGGCAUUCAUAAGACCAAAAGACAUCACUACAAAUUCGUAAUGCCCAUACCUGGUCCGAAAAGCAGUCUUUGGCACAUCCGUUGCCCGUAUUUUCAAUUGAUGAUAACAGGAUCUCAAGUAAAUCUUAGAGAAGACACAAGCACCUUGUAACUGAUCGAACAAGUCAUCAAUGCGAGGAAUGGGAUACUUGUUCUUAAUAGUUACCUUGUUCAACUGCCAGUAGUCUAUGCACAUCCGAAAACUCCCAUCCUUCUUCUUCACAAAUAACAGCGGAGCACCCUAAGGAGAUGCACUUGGUCUAAUGAAGCCUUUGCUCAAAAACUCUUGAUGUUGGGCCUUUAACUCUCUCAACUCCGCGGGAGCCAUUCUAUAAGGGGGUAUAGAAAUGGGGCGUGUACCCGAUUCAAGAUCAAUGCAGAAGUCAAUAUCUCUAUCCGUUGGCAUACCCAGAAGGUCUGCACGAAACACAUCUAAAAACUCACGAACUAUCGAAACUGACUCAAUUGGAGGUACUUGGGUAGUAUCAUCCCUGAGAUGUGCCAAGAACGCUAAACAACCCUUACUAACCAUUUUCUUAACACGAAGAAAGGAGAUCAUACGAACCGGAUUGGAAGUGUAGUCACCCUCCAACACUAACGGAUCUGUCCCAGGCUUGGCUAACGUAAGAGUUUUAGCAUUACAAUCCAAGAUCGCAAAAUUUGGAGAAAGCCAAGUCAUACCCAGAAUUACAUUGAAGUCAACCAUUUCUAAUAUAACCAAGUCUACAUGAGUAUUGCUCCCCACAAAAGUCACAAGACAAGACCUAUACACCUUUUCAACUAUCACAGACUCACCCACCGGAGUAGAAACACGAAUAGGCAUGUCAAGCAAUUCACCAUGUAAAUUAAGACCAUUAGCCAAUGAGGAAGAUACAUAAGAAAUUGUGGAUCCAGGAUCAAACAAUACAGAAGCCAUGCAAUCACAAACCAAAAGAUUACCUGUGAUGACAGCAUCAGAUGUCUCCGCAUCAGAUCUCCCAAGGAAAGCAUAACAAUGGGCCCUAUAACCCGUCUGCCCAUUGCCCCUACCAUGUUGCACUGCAGUAGUUCCCAUUUGUCCGUCACCCCGACCGUUUUGAUGACCACCAUUACCUCCGCCACCACGUCCUCCAGAAUAAUGGCCUCUACCAUGACCAUCUCUACCUCUAGCUAUUGGGGGUCUAUAACUCUGUUUUUGAAAAUUCCUCCUAAUAUGUCCAGUCUCCCCACAUCUAUAACACUUCCUGGAGUCAAGCAUAGGUCUCUCGGAGAAGUGUUGACCGGUCUGAGGUGAACCCCCAACUACAGUUUGUAGUGAAGACUGAAUUAGUCGGACUGAUUAACCUCCUGAACCUUGUCCUCUAGAGUAAGAACCAUUAAACUCACCUCCCUUUCGAAACCUUUUUGAUAUCGUUGCCAUGGUGAAGUCAUCUGGCUUCACUCCCUCUACCUCUAUCACGAAGUCUACCACUUCUUGAAAAGAUUUCGCUUCAGCCGCUACCUGUAAGGCUGAAAUUCGCAACUCUUAUCUCAACCCCUUCACUAAACGGCGAAUCCGCUCUUGUGGACUGAAACAUUGUUGGGUGGCAUACCGGGAUAAUGCACGAAACUUAGCCUCAUAUGCAGUAACCGACAUCCUACCUUGUUCUAGGCUCAACAACUAAUCUCUUUUCCUAUCCCUCAAAGUGCGAGGUAUAUAUACUUUUCCAUAAACAAGCUAGAGAAUGAUGCCCAAGUCAUAGGUGGUGCCUCUGUUGGUUGCACUCAACAUCUAACCGCCACCACAUUUUGGCGUUCCCUUUAAACUGAUAAGUCACAAACUUAUCACAAAACCGUUCUACUAUACCCAUCCUGUGUAGUAGCUCAUGACAGUCAACUAGAAAAUCGUAGGAACCCUCAGAUUCAGCACCCUUGAAGACUGGAGGUUUCAAUUUUAAGAACUUACUGAAAAGUUCAUGCUGAUCAUUUGUCAUUAUAGGACCUGUAGUCAGACGAGGAAAUGU